RNAcentral lists this long non-coding RNA (161061 nucleotides) under Hordeum vulgare. RNAcentral describes it as "long non-coding RNA (HVUL_LNC007489)". The record is from RNAcentral. Lineage: Eukaryota; Viridiplantae; Streptophyta; Magnoliopsida; Poales; Poaceae.
AGAAUGAGAUGCCAUUCUGCUGCACAGCAUCCCAGCAACUAACACUAGCGCAUGGAUUACUGCAAACAAGAGUUCGAGUGAUGUGCAAAACAAGAUUUAUGUCAGGUUGGUUCAGCCAAUCAGUGAACAGAUGUGACUAAUAAUAUCAGCUGAAGCAUUUGGACGAGCAGCAUUUAAUGCCUUCUGAGACAUCUCUGCCAUCAAUUUCUCAUCACCUGUACAACAAGAAUGGUCAAGGAAACAUCAGUUCGAAGACAUGGAACAAGACAACUGGGACGAAAAAUGUCAUAAAUGCACAAACGAUCAAGAAUAGCAGAUUUCAUGCAAGUAGCAAAAAAAUAGAAAACAUCUGCAUUCAUCAGUGUCAUCAGAUAAUUAUGCAUGCCACACCACCAUCGCUCCGCAGGGCGCUGAGGUCUGCCCCGCUGCUGGUGCCCUGGAUGAUAUUGAAGCAUAGGAAUGCAUGUGUCUUCCGACAAUAUGACUCCGUCGCUCGACGAGCUCUUGGAUAUGAUCAAGGAUGAGAUGAGGUGCUGGGCUAGAGCCGGGGACAAAGGGCUUAGGGUAGUCUUACCCCCAUCCUGGGAUGUCCAUUAAACCCCCUAUAACAAUGAUGUAACCACCUCCUAGGAGGCUGUGAUCCCCCUUCUUUUCAAUACAAAGAAACGCAAGGCUCUUUGCGUUUUCUCGAAAAAAAAUUAGUGGCAGUCUGUACCACACCGGAGGAAAGGGGUAAAGGGGAUCAGAUCGGGGGUGAGAGGCAGAGAGGAGAGGGACGAGACUUGGAGGAGAAGGUGGGAUUGCAGAGGAAUCUUAGGUAGGUUCAGAAAAGUCUCAUACAACACACGCACUCUCGCUGCCACAUGCGGCUGCUUUAUAACCCCCACGCCCACGCCCACUCCUGAGUUGCCUGCUGGCAUGCCAGGUGUAGCCAGCUGUGACAUUCUCCCCUCCUUAAGCAUGAUCUUCGUCUUGGGCACCGUGGUCUUCUUGGUCCCAGAUGGUCGCCGUCGGAAAGCGCUGUCGAAGCACCUCAUAGUCCUCCGAGGUAGUGGCCGGAUGUGUGCCAGCGCCUCAUUGAACCAUGAGUUGCCCAAUCGCGACGUUGCCCCACUUGGUCAUGCGCCGCUCCCGGAUCAGUGUUGGAUCCGUCGUCGAUGUGGACAGAUCCAGAACGCUUGGCAGCUCGGCGAAGACCGGGGUGUAGUCAGGCGUGAACGGCUUCAACCGGGAGACGUGGAAGACGGGGCGCACCCGACUCGUGGCUGGCAGGUCCAGCUUGUACCCCAAGGGCCCGAUCUUCUCCAGCAUGGUGUAUGGCCCGAAGAACUUGUACGAGAGCUUGGCGCAGGGGCGACUGACGACGGACUUCUGAACGUACGGCUGCAGCUACUGCAGCUACAGGAGGACCUGCUCCCCCACGUCGAAGUGACCCUCGGUGCGGUUGUGAUCAGCUUGCUUCUUGAACCGCCGCUGCGCGCACUCCAGCUGCGCCUGCGCGGUGUGCGCCGCCCAGUCCAUGUCAUCACCGACGGACGCCUCCGCCGGCCAUGUUGCAUUGGCCCCCAGAUUUGCUCGUAGAGUACUUUGAAGGGAGUGCAGUUCAGGGACGAAUGAAAUGUGGAGUUAUACCAGAACUCCGCCAUGGGCAGCCAUCGGCGCCACCGGCGUGGUGGUCAGGUCCUCCCAUGAAGCUGUUGGGAUGGCUGCCACCGGCGUGGUGGUCAGGUCCUCCCAUGGAGCUGUUGGGAUUGGCAGGGGUGCCAGGAGCCCCGUCGGCUUGGAGUGUUCGUGCUUGGCCUGCUGACAGGUCGACACUGUUGCACGAACUCCUCAACGUCCCGCUCCAGUCCGCACCAAUCGAAGUGCUUGUGCAUUCGCUGGUAGGUCGCCGUGGAGCCAGAAUGCCCGCCCACCGCGAUGUUGUGCAACGCGGCAAUGAGCUUGGUGCGGAGCGCGGUGUUGGCGCCGAUCCAGAUGCGUCCGCCGCGGCGAAUGACGCCCCGGUGCAGCUCAUAGCCUUCGGCGUCGGGGCUGUGUCGGGGUACGGCACCUAUGGGAUCGCGUGGAUCCCUUUACGGUUCGGCAGGGAGAGAGGGGUGCACCAAGAGCAGAAUCAACGAUCAACACGAGGGGGAUUUUACCCAAGUUCGGGCCGCUGAGAAGCGUAAAACCCUACAGCAGCUAGGUACACUAACAGACCCAGAAGCCUCCCUUUCUAAGAGUCUAAAAACCGGAUCCCCUUUGUAGCUACGCCUUGGGCCUCCUUUUAUAUGUCAAAGGGGUCACCAACAGUGGCGAACAGGGCACACACGGGAUGCACAGUUUCUAGUGUUUACUGACGUCUCAAGACAAACGCAUUAAAUGCUUCGUCAGGCGUCCUUGGCCUUCUGCGGGGCAGGGACCCGUCCCAUCGGCACCGCUCAACCCCCUCCAUUGCUAGUGCCUUGACACGUAUUCAGGAGGAAUGACAGAUGGUUGCUGCGCUGGAGCGGUGGCAGGUUGGUGGGAUCUUGCCGGGUGCACGUCUUGCCGGAGCUCCGCUAGCUACCCCGGCAAGGAUCUUGCCAGGAUCCCAGCCUUUGGUCUUCUAUCUUCUGGUUGUUGACUUGGAUGUUUUCUUGACAUCUUCGUAUUUGCCUUCAGCUGUCCCCCGGCAGGCCUUGCCGCUGGCGUGGCUACAACUGCCCGUGCACAAGUAUGGGGUACUAAAGACCCAAACUUUAGUACACCGACAGGAGCCCCUGGGCCUAGGCCAUUCAUGGGUGCGAGGCGUUGUUGGGCUAGGCCCAAACAGUGCACGGGCACGCGUGGCAGGAGUCUGCGGUUGUAACCAUUUCAGUUACUACGCGCCACCUCCAUCAACCACGCCACCCAGAGACGGAUCUUUGGCAAGGGCUCCCACCAGCGCAAGCACAGGGGCCGGCAAUCCUACAUCGGCAACCGAUGUUGCCAGGAAAGGAGCAACCACCUCUCAACAGCUUGGCGCAGGUAAACCGUUUGCCCAAGAGUACUCGUCAUUCUGUCUUUAUAUCUUUUUGUCUUCUUGAACUUCUAUCUUGGUCUCAUCUUGUUCCCCUUCUUUUGGUUUUCAGAUCUCCCUCUGAUGGAACAUAUGGAUGUCGAUGCCGUCAUCCAGGAAAUCGCCAUCGAUGCUGCCGCUGAGGCCGACAGAGUUGCCGCUGAUGAGGCCGCCAAGGAUGUACAGGAGGAGACCACCAAGGAGUCCGCGGAGAGGGCCGGCAAGGAGUCCAGUGACCAUACUGACGGCAUUCCUGCCGCAGGAGCGCCAGGCGCUACGCCGGCCACAAAGCCCUCAGUUGCCGGUGGGGCGGAUAUUGAGGAUCAAUCGACAACAUCCGAAGCCCCCUCUUCAAGCUGAUACCUCGAAGUUGGCGAGAACCUAUUCAUCAGCAUGCCGGGAGCGGCAAGCGCUAGGGUGCCCACAGAAGGAGAAACCUUUGUCGAGAAAUCACCACUGCUGCUGGGCUCAAAAUCGUUGGCGAAUCAAGAGCUGGCAGCAACAAAUCCAAGGAAGAACGGCUCCUCCAAACUAUGAGCGACAACUUCCAUCAUCUCCAGGCGCUCCACCGUGCCCGGAAAGAGAAGUUGGACUCUAGGGCAGCAGUCGUUGAAGCAGCGGAGGUGGAUUUCCAGAAGCGCGUCGGGGAAACACAAGCCUGGUUCGCCGAAGCCUUUCAAGAGCUGAAAUCUGGUAGGGAACAGCUGAACGAAGACCGGAUCGAGCUCCUCUUGAAGCAGUCUAACAUCGAGAAGGCGCAAGAGGAGGCCUCGCAACAGGCUGCUGCAGAGGAAGCCCGCCUUACAGAGCGCAGCGUCUGGCUGGAUGCUUAUGAAGAGGAUCUUGCCGCUCGCGAGAAGGCGCUCGCCGACAAGCUUCGCAGCAAGGAUGAAGAAAUCGAGAGACUUGUCGUGCAACGAACUCAGGAGCUGGAGCAGAAGCAUAUGGGAAUCCUUGCGGCUCAGGCCACAGACCAUGCCGGCAAGCUGAAGGAAGCUAUCGACAACGCCGAUGCUGCAGAGGCCGCCAAGAGCGAGCUUGCCGACAAGGUAAAUAGACUGGAGAUCGAUCUUGAAGGUCUCGGCAAGGAGAUCUCGACGCUCAAGGCCGAAAGAGAGAAGACUCUCUUUAGCUUGGCGGAGAUGCAGACCGCCGUAUCCGACAAGACCACACAACUCAACUCAGCCAAUGACUCCAUUGCUGAUCUGAAGCUGAAGCUGACCACAUUGGAAGAGACCCUUGAGAGCAGCAAGGCUCGUGAAAGGGUCUUGGUCAAAGAUCUCCAGGAUGAGAAGGCUCUGCUCGAGAGUGCCGCCGCUGCUCAUGAUGACUAUGUGGGAGGCGUGAAGAACUGGACUGAACGCCUUGCCAAUGCCGCGGAAAGGCUUACGGCACAGCUGUCCACCAUGGGCCUGCAAAACUUCGCCUAUUCUUCCGACGAAGGGAGAUCUCCGAGCGCCAGGUUAACUCUGUUCUUUGAUAGCAUGAUUGAUGCUCUGAAGCAGCUCCACUCUGGUCAAGCAACCCGUCUGGCCAACGAAUACCGCAAACUCUGUCGGGCCGUCCUCCUCAAGGUGCUCACCAAAGUAGUGCACAAGAACCCCGGCAUCAACCUCACCAACGUGCUUGGCCGCUUGCCGAAGGAUGUGGACCUCAAGGUACUCGAGGAGCUUGUCAUGCCCAUCGUCGACAAGGUGGGCCAAGUCAAGAGGGUUGAAGGCCAGCGCAGAAAUUAGCCGCUCCACUUCUUUUUGCCGCUGCCAUUCCAUGUCAAAGAUAAUUUUGUCUUAAGUUAGAAUCGCGGCAACUAUUAAUGUAACAUAAUUGGCUGUGUUUUGAAUGAAUGUGCGCUAUCCUUCUUGUAUGAUUUCUUCCUGUAUGGUACAUGGCCUUUGCUUUACUAGAAACCUGCCGGUGCGCACAGCCCUGCCGCGAGCGCUUCGAGGAACGGAUCCUUAGCAGCCUGCUGGAGGUGUCGCUACCGGCAAGAUACCUUGGUGCAAUGGAAACUUGUCGGUGCGCACAGCCCUGCCGUGAGCGCUUUCAGGAACGGAUCCUUAGCAGCCUGCUGGAGGUGUCGCUACCGGCAAGAUACCUUGACGCAACCAGUGCAGCCACUUAAGUAGUUGAGCAGGCUCGAAACAAAGUAAGGGCGCAACCGAUCAUAACAAGGUUCCUUCGCAUGCGGGUUUUGCAUACAGAAGUCGAAAUCGUCCAAGGAAAAUAACGUUACAGUUCAAAAUUUACUUGAGUUUUUGCAACUUAGCUUUUUGUUGUUGUACUCCUUUCUGUUGAACAUCGCAUGUUGGUGUCCAUACCCUCAUCCCCCGGCAAACUCGUAUGCGAGGGAACCUUCUAUCCUUUGAGAAAAAGAAAGAAGAGAAAAUAGGGAUAUGGAACCUUGGCGGUUCGUUAGUACUUGCUAGAAAUAAGCGUAAUACAAUAUCUCAGACAAACGUUCAUAUAAAUAAACAUGAAAAUCAACAAGAAUUGUGAAACGCUUAAUUUUAUUCAACUACGUACAGGGUGUGCGCCUGGCUUUGCACAAAGGAUUACAUGCCUUACCGGCAAGACUUGUGCAAAAGGUGGUUGCCGGGAGACCCGACAACCGCGCCUUAUGGAUAGAACUUAAGAAGAUGCUCAACAUUCCAGGAGUUGCUCACCGGAAUGCAUCUUCCGUCUCCAGGCGGACUGCUCCAGGCUUGGUGACUCGUACUACCCGAUAAGGGCCUCCCCACUUCCGCAUCAACUUGCUGCGAUUCUUGGCCGACUGAACGUGCCAAAGAACAAGGUCGCCUUCCUCAAGACUUCGGGCUUGAACCUUGCGGCUAUGGUAGCGGCACAAGGCUUGCUGGUAGCGUGUAGCUCGCACAACAGCCUGAAGACGGUCUUCCUCAAGGAGCGUAGCGUCAUCUUGCUGCAACUACUCUUGCUCAAGCUCGUCGUAGGCGAGCACUCGAGGCGACCCGUAUAUGAGUUCCAUGGGGAGAACUGCCUCCAUCCCGUAUACUAGGGAGAAGGGUGUCUGGCCGAUGGCUCGAUUUGGUGUUGUUCUGAUUCACCAAAGAACCGCCGGCAGCUCGUCUGUGCCCAUGCCGGAGCCUAAGGCUCGACGGCAAGGACUAAAGGCAUGUCCUCUGCUGCGGGAGCGUUUGUCUCUAUGGAAAGGACUCGAGGUCCUGCCGGAGCCUGUUGCUCCCCGGCAGGCUUGGUGUUGUUCCCGGUAACUUCCUUGCCGGCAGGUUCUGGUGUCUUUGCGGGAAAGUACUGGCCANNNNNNNNNNNNNNNNNNNNNNNNNNNNNNNNNNNNNNNNNNNNNNNNNNNNNNNNNNNNNNNNNNNNNNNNNNNNNNNNNNNNNNNNNNNNNNNNNNNNUUGAGAUGAUGGUGAUUGUCGUUUCCUCCAUUCCCAUUGCCAUUCUUAUGACCAUUGUGGUUGUGUCCAUUGCCUCCAUGCUGAGAAUGACCACCAUGGUUAUGAUGGUUGUGCCCUCCAAACUUACUAGGUCCUCAAUCGGAAUAUCCCGAGAAAGGUGCGGAGUGGGACUUCUGCCGAGCUCCAGACUGAAACUUGCCUUGACCAUAUUUCCUCUUGUGGUUCUCCAUCUACUGAUGCUUGCCUUCCAGAGUAAUAGCCUUGUCCACUAACUCUUGAUAGUUCUCAAAAGUCGCUACCAUCAACUGAACUCCCACCUCAUCGUUCACUCCCUCCAGGAAUUUCUCCUGCUUGGCUCCAUCGGUGUCCAGUCACUUGGUGAAUAACGAGACAACCUGUUGAAGUCCUCAUCAUACUCUGACACUAAGCAACCUCCCUGGUGCAAGUCAUGGAACUCUCUCUUCUUNUCUCCCACCACGAAGCGGCUGGUCCGUCCAGUUGGUGAGAGGCAAACCUCACCUUCUCCCGACCAGUGCAUCCUGCUAUGGCCAGCUUCGUACCCCUGUUGCGAAGCCAGUCAACUGCGACGAUCGACUCCGAUAUGCUCGUUAAGAUUGGUGGGUUUAGCCUUAGAAGGCUAUCAAUUGGUGGUGCAGGUGGAGGUGGAGGUGGGUUGUUGUUUUGGUUCAUGUUCUGCAUCNNNNNNNNNNNNNNNNNNNNNNNNNNNNNNNNNNNNNNNNNNNNNNNNNNNNNNNNNNNNNNNNNNNNNNNNNNNNNNNNNNNNNNNNNNNNNNNNNNNNUUGAGAUGAUGGUGAUUGCCGUUUCCUCCAUUCCCAUUGCCAUUCUUAUGACCAUUGUGGUUGUGUCCAUUGCCUCCAUGCUGAGAAUGACCACCCUGGUUAUGAUGGUUGUGCCCUCCAAACUUACUAGGUCCUGAAUCAGAAUAUCCCGAGAAAGGUGCGGAGCGGGACUUCUGCUGAGCUCCAGACUGAAACUUGCCUUGACCAUAUUUCCUCUUGUGGUUCUCCAUCUGCUGAUGCUUGCCUUCCAGACUGAUAGCCUUGUCCACUAACUCUUGAUAGUUCUCAAAAGUCGCUACCAUCAACUGAACUCCCACCUCAUUGUUCACUCCCUCCAGGAAUUUCUCCUGCUUGGCUGCAUCGGUGUCCAGUCACCUGGUGCAUAACGAGACAACCUGCUGAAGUCCUCAACAUACUCUGACACUUAGCAACCUUCCUGGCGCAAGUAAUGGAACUCUCUCUUCUUNUCUCCCACCACGAAGCGGAUGGUCCGUGCAGUUGGUGAGAGGCAAACCUCACCUUCUCCUGAUCAGUGCAUCCUGCUAUGGCCAGCUUCCUACCCCUGUUGCGAAGCCAGUCAACUGCGACGAUCGGCUCCGGUAUGCUCGUUAAGAUUGGCGGGUUUAGCCUUAGAAAACGGGUAAGGCUAUCAAUUGGUGGUGCAGGUGGAGGUGGAGGCGGGUUGUUGUUCUGGUUCAUGUUCUGCAUCNNNNNNNNNNNNNNNNNNNNNNNNNNNNNNNNNNNNNNNNNNNNNNNNNNNNNNNNNNNNNNNNNNNNNNNNNNNNNNNNNNNNNNNNNNNNNNNNNNNNCUUUGCCUAUUAUAAGAAACUGUUUUGGCCUGUCCUUUGCCAAAAAAAGGAUUGGACUACCUUGAUGGGCCUAUCUUUACUAUUGCUACUUGUCACUUGUUACAAUUAUCUUGCUAUCAAACAACUUGUUACCGCUAUUUUAGUGUUUGCAGAAAUUACCUUGCUGAAAACCGCUUGUCAUUUCCUUCCACUCCUCAUUGGGUUCAACACUCUUACUUAUGGAAAGGUCUACGAUUGAAACCCUAUACUUUUGGGUCAUCACUACCCUAGAUGCUUGGCAGAUAAGAAGGCUGGCAUUGUCAACAAAAGUAUAUUUGAUAUACAUGUUAUUGAUGUGUGCCUUACUAGAGCUCGUUGUAGCUCAUGGGUAUUUGAUACGGUUUAGUUGCUAAUAUUAGUGCAUCGAAACACGAGUUGCGGAAUAAAAUACAGGCUAGCUAAGGGUGAGGUGUAGAUGUGUGUUGGAAGUGUUUCCAAGGUUGAUGUGAUCACCAUCAGACGCUCCAUCUACCUUCAGGAGUAGUGAUAAACCUAAACAAAUGUUAUUUGCUGUCUGCGUUGAGCAUGAACAUUAUAUUGAUUUUGUUUAUUGUGACACAAUUAUUGAUGUAAGUUAGAUAAUAAUGGGUUAUUCUAUUUACAUGAAUAAUAUCUUAUAUGACCAGGCACCCAAGUUGAAUGGUUUAUUGAAUCUCGAUCGUAAUGAUAUACAUGUUCAUAGUAUUGAUGCCAAAAGAUACAGAGUUAGUAAUGAUGGUACCACUUACUCGUGGCACUGUCGCUUAGGUCAUAUUUGUGUAAAACGCAUGAAGAAACUCCAUGCUGAUGGAUCUUUGGACUUGCUCAAUUUUGAAUCGCUUGGGACAUGCGAACCAUGCCUAUUGGUGUAAGCGCAUGAAGAAACUCCAUGCCGAUGGAUCUUUUGGACUCACUUGAUUUUGAAUCGUUUGAGACAUGCAAACCACGCCACAUGGGCAAGAUGACUGAAGGACUAAUUUUCCAGUGAGAUGGAACAGGCAAGUGACUCACUGGAAAUGAUACAUUUUGAUGUAUGCAGUCCAAUGAGUGCUGAAGCACGCAUUGGAUAUCGUUAUGUUCUUACUUCACAUAUGAUUUGAGUAGAUACGGGUAUAUUUGCCUGGUGAAUUACAAAGUCUGAAAUGUUGGAAAGUUCAAGCAAUAUCAGAGUGAAGUCAAAUAUCAUCGUGACAAGAGGAUAAAAUGCCUACGAUGUGAACGUGGAGGUGAAUAUCUCAGUUACAAGUUUGGUAUACAUUUAAGACAAUGUGGAAAUUGUUUCACAGCUCAUGCCACCUGGAAUACAAUAGUGUGAUGGUGUUCGUACGUCGUAGUCAUGCCCUAUUGGAUAUGGUGCAUACUAUGAUGUCUCUUACCAAUUUGCCGCUAUCGUUUUGGGGAUAUAUAUUAGAGAUAACCUCAACAACAAUAACAACAACCAAGCCUUUCAGUCCCAAACAAGUUGGGGUAGGCUAGAGUUGAAACCCAUAAGAUCUCGAAACCAAGUCAUGGCUCUGGAACGUGGAUAGCUAACUUCCACGCACCCAUGUCCAUGGCUAAGUCUUUGUCGAUAUUCCAAACCUUCAGGUGUCUCUUAACGGACUCCUCCGAUGUCAAGUUUGGUCUUCCACGACCCCUCUUAACAUUCUCAGCACGCUUUAUCCGUUCGCUAUGCACCGGCGCUUCCGAUGGCCUCCGUUGAAUAAGUCCAAACCAUCUGAGACGAUGUUGGACCAGCUUCUCUUCAAUCGGUGCUACCCCAAGUCUCUCUCGUAUAUCGUCAUUCAGUACCCGAUCCUUCCUUGUGUGGCCACAUAUCCAUCUCAACAUGCGCAUAUCUGCUACACCUAACUGUUGGAUAUGUCGUCUCUUGGUUGGCCAACACUCCGCGCCAUACAACAUCGCAGGUCGGAUAGCUGUCCUAUAAAACCUGCCUUUUAGCUUUUGUGGCACUCUCUUGUCACAGAGUACGCCAGAAGCUUGGUGCCACUUCAUCCACCCAGCCUUGAUUCGGUGGCCCACAUCUUCAUCGAUAUCGCCAUCCUUCUGCAACAUGGACCCCAAAUAUCGAAACGUGUCUCUCUCCAGUACCACCUGCCCACCAAGGCUAACCUCUCCAUCCUCGUGCCUAGUAGCACUAAAACUGCACCUCAUGUAUUUAGUUUUAGUUCUACUAAGCCUAAAACCUUUCGAUUCUAGAGUCCGCCUCCAUAACUCUACCUUUCUAUUAACCCCCGUUCGGCUAUCAUCGACUAGCACCACAUCAUCCGCAAAGAGCAUACACCAUGGGAUAUCUCCUUGUAUAUCCCUUGUGACCUCAUCCAUCACCAAAUCAAAAAGAUAAGGGCUCAAAGCUGACCCUUCGUGUAGCCCUAUUCUAAUCGGAAGUCAUCGGUGUCGCCAUCACUUGUUCGAACACUUGUCAGAACAUUAUCAUACAUAUCCUUGAUGAGGGUAAUGUACUUUAUUGGGACUUUGUGUUUCUCCAAGGCCCACCACAUGACAUUGCGAGGUAUCUUAUCAUAGGCCUUCUCCAAAUCAAUGAACACCAUAUGAAGGUCCUUCUUUUGCUCCCUGUAUCUCUCCAUCAGUUGUCGUACCAAGAAGAUGGCUUCCAUGGUAGACCUCUCAGGCAUGAAACCAAAUUGGUUUUUGGUCACGCUUGUUAACCUUCUUAAGCAGUGUUCAAUGACUCUCUCCAAUAGCUUCAUAGUAUGGCUCAUCAGCUUGAUUCCGCGGUAAUUAGUACAACUUUGAACAUCCCCCUUGUUCUUAAAGAUUGGUACUAAAAUACUCCGCCUCCAUUCUUCGGGCAUCUUGUUUGACCGAAAAAUGAGGUUGAAAAGCUUAGUUAGCCAUACUAUCGCUAUGUCUCCAAGGCCUCUCCACACCUCGAUGGGGAUACCAUCAGGACCCAUCGCUUUGCCUACUUUCAUCCUUUUUAACACCUCCUUAACCUCACACUCCUGGAUACGUCGCACAAAGCACAUGCUGGUAUCAUCAAAGGAGUCGUCUAGCUCAAUGGUAGAGCUAUCAACCUCUCCAUUGUAAAGGUUGUCAAAGUACUCCCGCCAUCUACGCUUGAUCGCCUCAUCCUUCACAAGAAGCUGAUCAUCUCUGUCCUUGAUGCAUUUGACUUUGCCGACAUCCCUCGUCUUCCUCUCCCUAAUCUUGGCCAUCUUAUAGAUGUCCCUUUUGCAUUCCUUAGUGUUUAAACGUUGGUAGAGGUCCUCAUACGCCCGACCUCUCGCUUCACUCACCGCCCGCUUUGCUGCCUUCUUCGCCACCUUAUACUUCUCCAUGUUAGCUGCACUCCUGUCCAGAUAUAGGCAUCUGAAAUAGUCCUUCUUCUCCCUAAUAACCUUCUGGACCUCAUCGUUCCACCACCAGGUGUCCUUAGCUUCCCUUCUACUUCCCUUGGUCACCCCAAACUCCUCUACAGCGACCUUCCGCAAGAAGGUCGCCAUACUCGUCUACAUCAAGUUUGCAUCGCCUCCUUCCUCCCAAGGGCCCUCCUUAAUGACCCUCUCCCUGAAAGCCUGGGAUGCCUCCCCCUUGAGCUUCCACCACUUCGUUCUAGCGACUUUGGCGCGCUUAUCCCGUUGGACACGAAUCCUAAAGUGGAAUUCAGCAACCACAAGCUUAUGUUGAGGGACAACACUCUCUCCAGGUAUCGCUUUACAAUCAAUGCAAGCGCGUCUGUCUUCUCUUCUAGAGAGGGCAAAAUCAAUCUGGCUAGAGUGUAGACCACUACUGAACGUCACUAGAUGGGAUUCUCUCUUCCUAAAGAGGGUGUUAGCUACAACCAUGUCGUAGGCUAGAGCGAAGCUCAGGACAUCUUCUCCUUCUUGGUUCCUGAUGCCAUAUCCAAAGCCCCCAUGCACCCUUUCAAAACCUGUGUUAGAUGUACCCACAUGGCCAUUGAGGUCUCCUCCUAUGAAGAGCUUCUCACCAAUAGGUACCCUCCUAACCAAGUCCUCCAGGCCUUCCCAGAACUCCCUCUUGGUGCUCUUAUUGUGGCCUACUUGCGGGGCAUACACGCUAAUAACAUUGAGGACUAAGUCCCCAACUACCAGCUUGACAAGGAUCAUCCGGUCCCCUUGCCUCUUAACGUCCACAACUCCAUCCCUAAGGCUCUUGUUGACCAAGAUGCCUACUCCAUUCUUGUUUGAAGUUGUCCCCGUGUACCACAACUUGAAGCCGGUAUCCUCCACCUCCUUCGCCUUUUGUCCCUUCCAUUUGGUCUCUUGGACACAUAGGACAUCAACACGCCUCCUCAUCGCCGUAUCAACUAGCUCUCGUAACUUACCCGUCAGGGACCCUACGUUCCAGCUACCUAAGCGUAUCCUCCUAGGCUCGGCUAACUUCCUUACCCUCCGCACUCGUCGAGUCAAAUGUGAAGACCCUUGCUCAUUUUUCACUACACCGGGGCGUCGGUGCAGCGUGCUACUAAGGAUGCGGCGACCCGACCCUUGCUCACUUAUCACCGUAUCCAUAUCAAGAUACGACACGCCACCAAGGGGGUGACGGCCCGGCCCUUGCCCAUUUGACACCACACUCGGUUUCCGAUGUGGCGCGUCGCUAAGAGGGUUACGCCCCAACGAGUUUCCUUUGGGUUUCAUCUCCAUAAGAGUGGCUAGGUUUUUCACGUUGGCUCGCCACGCCUAUCACAACCCUCCUCCUUUACCCGGGCUUGGGACCGGCUAUGCUGAGACAACAUAGGCGGAGUUACAUUAGAGAUAACCUCAUUCACUUUAAAUAAGGCACCAUAUAAUUCUGUUGAGACGACACCGUAUGAACUAUGGUUUGGGAAGAAACCUAAGUUAUCAUUUCUUAAAGUUCGGGGUUGUGAUGCUUAUGUCAAAAGGCUUCGGCCUGAUAAGCUCGAACCCAAAGCGGACAAAUGCAUAUUCAUAGGAUAUCCAAAGAAAAUAGUUUUGUAUACCUCGUAUCUCAGAUCCGAAGGAAAAUGUUUGUUGCUAAGAACGGGUCAUUUCUCGAGAAAGAGUUUCUCUCAAAAGAAUUGAGUGGGAGGAUGGUGCAACUUGACGAGGUUAUUGAACCGUCACUUCAACCAGAGAGUAGUAGGGCGUAGGAAGAUGUUCCUUUGGCGCCUACACCAGUUGAAGAGGAAGCUAAUGGUGGUGAUCAUGAAGCUUUAGAUCAAGUUACUACCAAACCACGUAGGUCGACAAGGACAUGUACUACUCGAGAGUGGUACGGUAAUCAUGUCUUGGAGGUCAUGUUGCUGGACAACAAUGAACCUACGAGCUAUGGAGAAGCGAUGGUGGGCCUGGAUUCUGACAAAUGGCUGGAGUCCAUGAAAUCCAUGAUAGGAUCCAUGUACGAAAACAAAGUGUGGACCUUGGAAGAACUACUUGAUGGUCGUAAAGCUAUUAAGUACAAAUGGAUCUUUAAAAGGAAGACAUAUGCUGAUGGUAAAUGUCACCAUUUUUAAAGCUCGACUUGUCGCAAAGAGGUUUUCGACAAGUUAAAGGAGUUCACUACGAUGAGACUUUCUCACCUGUGGUGAUGCUAAAGUCUGUUGGAAUUAUGUUAGCAGUUGCUGCAUUUUUUAACUAUGAAAUUUGGCAGAUGGAUGUCAAAACAUUGUUUCCUUAACAGUUUCCUUGAGGAAAGGUUAUAUGUGAUGUAACCAGAAGGUUUUGUUGAUCCUAAGGAUGCUAAAAGGCAUGCAAGCUCGAGUGGUCCAUUUAUGGACUGGUGCAAGCAUCUCCGAGUUGGAAUAAGUGUUUUGAUGGGUGAUCAAAGCUUUUGGUUUAUACAGAGUUUAUGAAGAAACUUGUAUUUACAAGAAAUUGAGUGGGAGCACUAUAGAAUUUUUGAUAAGUAUAUGUGGUUGACAUAUUGUUGAUCGAAAAUGAUGUAGAAUUUCUGGAAAGCAUAAAGGGUUGUUUCAAAAGAUCUUUUCAAAGAAAAACCUGGAUAAAGCUACUUCAAAUAUUGGGCAUCAAGAUCUAUAGAGAUAGAUCAGGACGCUUGAUAAAACUUUCAAUAAAAACAUACCUUGAAAAGAUUUUGAAGGAGUUCAAAAUGGAUCGGCCAAAGAAGGAGUUCUUGACUGUAUUGUAAGGUGUGAGUUUGAGUAAGACUCAAAGCCUUGCCACAGCAUAAGGAAAAGAAAGAACGAAGGUCGUCCCCUAUGACAUGUUGUGUACCGCACCUGAUAUGUGCCUUGCCAUGAGUUUAUCAGGUGGUACAAGAGUGAUCGAGGAGUGGAUCACUGGAAAACGGUCAAAAAUAUCCUUAGUUGCUAUAGGAAUAAGGAAAUGUUUCUUGAUUAUGGAAGUGAUAAAAGAGUUUGUCAUAAAGGGUUACGUUGAUGCAAGCUUUGACACCAAUCUGGGUGACUCUGAGUAGCAAACUGGAUUCAUAUAGUGGAUCAGUCAUUUGGAAUAGUUCCAAGUGGAGCGUGGUAGCAGCAUCUAUAGUAUGACAUGGAGAUUUGUAAAGUACACACAGAUCUGAAUGUUGCAGACUCGUUGACUAAAACCUCUCUCACAAGCAAAACAUGAUCAAACCCCAGAACUUAUUAGAUGUUAAUCACAUGGUGAUGUGAACUAGAUUACUGUCUCUAAUGCAAGUGGGAGACUGUUGGAAAUAUGACCUAGAGGCAAUAAUAAAUAAGUUAUUAUCAUAUUUCCUUGUUCAUGAUAAUUGUUUAUUAUCCAUGCUAUAAUUUUAUUAAUUGGAAACUUAAAUACAUGUGUGGAUACAUAGACAACACCGUGUCUCUAGUGAGCCUCUACUAGACUAGCUCGUUGAUCAAAGAUGGUAAAAAUUUCCUAACCAUAGACAUGAGUUGUCAUUUGAUAACGGUGUCACAUCAUUAGGAGAAUGAUGUGAUGGACAAGACCCAAUCGUAAGCAUAGCAUCUGAUCCUAUUAGUUUAUUGCUACUGCUUUAUCCAUGUCAAUGUAUCUUUUCCUAUAACCAUGAGAUCAUGCAACUCCGUGACACCGAAGGAAUGCCUUGUGUGUGUCAAACGUCACAACAUAACUAGGUGACUAUAAAGGUGCUCUACAGGUAUAUUCGAGGGUGUUUGUUGGGUUGGCAUGGGUCGAGACUGGGAUUUGUCACUCCGUGUGACGGAGAGGUAUCUCUGGGCCCACUCAGUAACAGAACAUCUCAAGAAGCUUGCAAGCAAUGUGACUAAGGAGAUACUCACGGGAUCUUGUAUUAUGAAACGAGUAAAGAGACUUGUCGGGAGCGAGAUUGAACUAGGUACGGAGAUACCGACGAUCGAAUCUCAGGCAAGUAACAUACUACUAGACAAAGGGAACUGCAUACAGUAUUGGCUGAAUCCUUGACAUCGUGGUUCGGCCGAUAAAGAUCUUCGAGGAAUAUGUAGGAACCAAUAUGGGCAUCGAUAUCCAUGUCCCGCUAUUGGUUAUUGAUCGAAGAGGUUUCUUGGUCAUGUCUACAUGAUUCUCGAGCCCGUAGGGUCCUCACACUUAAUGUCCGAUGAUGCUAGAAUAGUAAUGGGAUAUGUACAUUGGUGACCGAAUGUUGUUCGAAGUCCCGGAUGAGAUCUUGGACAUCAUGAUGAGCUCCAGAAUGGUUUGAAGGUAAAUAUUUAUAUAUGGGAAGUCAUAUUCAGGGUUGCGGAAAAUGUUCGGGAUUUUUCAGUAUUGUACCGAGAAGGUUCCAAAAGGUUUUGGAGUGGGGCCACCUGCAUGGGGACCCACAUGGAUGUGUGUAGUGGGGAAAGUCCCCACACCCCUGGUCUAGGCGCAUCAAUAUUCCCCCUUAAAAGGAAUAGGAUCAUAUCCCAAAAGGAUAAGGUCGAGAUCCCUAAAAGGGGGAUAGUGAUCGGUGGGGAAGGAAAGGAGGGAUUUCCUUCCUCACCCCUUGACCAACGACCCUAGGGGCUUGGAGGGCAAGCCACCAGCCCCUCCCACGCUUAUAUAAAUGAGGGGGGGCACAAGGGGGCAGUAGACUCUCCAACGGCCGUGGCCCCCCUCCCGUCUCUCCCAUUUCUUCCUUGUACGUAGUACCAGAGGUGCUUGGCGAAGCCCUACCGGCAGUACGACACCAGCAUCUCCACCAUGCCAUCAUGUUGGUUGAGAUCAAAUCUACUUAUCCUUCCUAUCUUGCUGGAUCAAGAAGGAGGAGAUGUCAACGAGCCGCACAUGUGUUGAACGUAGAGGUGUCAUCCGUUCGAUGGUGGAUCGGAUUGGAUCAACGCAUUGGAUCGUGAAGAGUACGAGUAUAUCAACCAUGUUAUAUACGCUUCCGCUUAGCAAUCUACAAGGGUAUGUAGAUACACCCCCCUUUGUAAGAUCUUGAUCUCCAUAGAUUGAUCUUGGUGAGCAUAGGAAAUUUUUUUGUUUCCCAUGCAACGCUCCCAAACAGUGGCAUCAGAGCCACGUCUAUGCGUAGAUAAUAUGCACGAGUAGAACACAAAAGAGUUUGUGGGUGGUGAUGUUUGGUACGUACAUUUUGCAUCAUGUUUUUCUACUGUUAUUUAUAGUAUUUUUAUGCAUUAUACCACUUUAUGGAAUAAUUCUAAUGCCUUAUCUCUCAUAAUAUGCUAGGUUUACACCAAGCGGGAGAAUGUCGGUAGAUGAAAUUCUGGACCAAAAAAAGCUAUGUCGGAGAUACCUAAUCUGCACAUCUCCAAAUGGGUUGAAACUCCACGGAGAAUUUUUUAUGGAAUAAAUAAAAAAUACUGGAAGAAAGAAGUACUAGAGGGGGGUGCCAUGAGGCGAGUAGACACGAGGGCACGCGAGCCCCCCUGGCGCGCCGUGGUGGAUAGUGGGCCACCCAACCCACUUCACCGACCAUCUUAUGGUAUAUAUUCACGUUUCACUUGGAAAAUCUAAGGAGAGUACUUUCAGGACGGAGCACCGUUGUCUCGAGGCGGAACUUGGGCAGGAGCACUUUUGCCCUCCGGAGGAGCGAUUCCGGUGGGGGAACUACCUUCGCGCAAGGGAAAAUUGAGGCCAUCGUCAUAACCAACAACCCUCUCAUCUUAGGGAGGCCAAUCUUCAUCAACAUCUUUAACAGCAUCAUCUCCUCUCACAACCCUAGUCCAUCUCUUGUGCUCAACCUUGUAUCGGAACCUCAGAUUGGUACCUAGGGGUGACUAGUAGUGUUGAUUACAUCUUGUAGUUGAUGCUUUGUAGUUUAUUUGGUUAAAGAUCAUAUGUUCAGUUCCAAUAUGCUAUUUAAUACCUCUCUGGUCAUGAGAAUUUUUAUCACUUGUGAGCAGUUACUUUUGUUCUUGAGGCCACGGGAGAAGUCAUGUUGCAAGUAGUCAUGUGAAGUUGAUAUUCGUUCGGUAUUUUGAUGAUAUGAAUGUUGUGAAUCCCUUAAUGGUGUUAUGUGAACAUCGACUACAUAACACUUCACCAUCUUUGGGACUAAGGGAGUUCAUUUUGUAGUAGUUAUUAGAUGAUGCGUUCGAGACUGACAGAAACUUAAACCCCAGUUUAUGUGCUAUUCCUUAAAGGGCUUAUUUGGAUCCCUAUGUUUAAUGCUAUGGUUAGAAUUUAUUCUUAAUACUUUUCUUGUAGUUGUGGAUGCUUCCAGCAGGGUUAAUCAUAAGUGGGAGUCUUGUUCAAGUGAGAACAACACAUCCAAGAACCGGCGCACCCACAUAUCAAAUUAUCAAAGUACCAGAUGCGAAUUAACCCGACAUGACGAAAAUGGCUAGAAGAAAUUCUAGUGUGCCCUUAAGAACACUUUGCCUAUUAUAAGAAACCAUUUCAUCCUGUCCUUUGCCAAAAAAGGGUUUGUCUACCUUGCUGCACAUAUUGUUACUAUUUCUACUCGUGAUUUGUUACAAUUAUCUUGCUAUCAAACAACUUGUUACCACUAUUUCAGUGCUUGCAGAAAUUACUUUGCUGAAAACCGCUUGUCAUUUCCUUUUGCUCCUCGUUGGGUUCGACGCUCUUACUUAUCGAAAGGACUAUGAUUGAUCCCCUAUACUUGUGGGUCAUCAAUUCUCUUUUCUGGUGCCAUUUCUGAGGAGUGAAGCGCCUUUGGUAAGCGGAAUUUAGUAAGGGAAAAUUUAUAUUACGUGCUAAAAUUUACUGUCCUUGUCACUAUGGAAAGUAAUCCUUUGAGGGGUUUCUUUGGGGUAUCUUCACCUCGACUGGAAACACCAAGAGUUGUCCCUCAACCUACUGAACCUACUGAAAAUGUUUGUUAUGAAAUUCCUUCGGGUAUGAUAGAGAAACUGCUAGUUGAUCCUUCUGCCGGAGAUGGAACAAAACACCCCGAUAUGCACCUAAUAUAUGUGGAUGAAGUUUGUGGAUUAGUUAAGCUUGCAGCUUUAUCCAGUGAUGAAUCCAAUAAGAAGGUUUUGCAGUUAUCUUUGGGGGGAAAUGAUUGACAUGGUAUAGGCUAUGGGACAGGAUCUUGGAACUAGAGUCGAUUGCAAUUGGAGUUUCACCAAAAACAUUAUCAUAUGCAUCUUGUUUAUCGUGCUCAUAAUUUGAUCUAUAAUUUUUGGCCUCGUGAAGGAGAGAGUAUCCACUAGCUUGGGGGAGUCUUAUGUCAAUUUUAUAUUCAUGCCCUAAUCAUGAGUUCUCGAGAGAAAUUAUUGUUCACAAUUUUCAUGCGCGGCUUUCUCGUAAUGAUCAAACCAUGCUUGAUACUUCUUGUUCUGGUUCUUUUAUAAAGAAGACUAUUGAAUUCAGGUGGGAUAUUUUGGAAAGAAUUAAAUGCAACUCUAAAGAUUGGGAACUCAACGAAUGUAAAGAGCCAGGUAUAAAACUUGAGUUUGAUUGUGUUAAAUCUUUUUAUGAAUAUGUAUGCCGUCAAUGAUUUUAGCACUAAAUAUGGACUUGACUCCGAGAUAGUAACCUUAUUUUGUGAAACCUUUGCUACUCAUGUUGAUCUCCCUAAACAGACAUGGUUUCAAUAUCAUCCACCUAUUAAAUAAAAAGUUGAAGUACCAAUUAAAGUUGAGGAUGAAACUAUCAGUUACAAUGCUGACACAGUUGUGCCUACUACUUAUAUUGAGAAACCACCUUUCCGUGUUAGGGUAAAGGAACAUGCUAAAGCUUCAACCAUGGUUAAAAAAGUUAUGUUAGAACGACCAAACCCCCUCAGCUAAUGAAGGUAGAACCUAGGAUUGUUAUGGUUAAAGAUCUCUUGGUAGAUAAUAUUGAUGGGCAUGUUAUUUAUUUUUGUGAUGAAGUUGCUAGAAUUGCCAAACCUGAUACUAAAGAUAAAAAUAGACCCGUUGUUGGCAUGCCUGUCAUCUCAGACAAAAUAGGAUAUCAUUGUUAUCAUGGUUUAUGUGAUAUGGGUGCUAGUGUUAGUGUUAUUCCUUUCACCUUAUAUCAAGAAAAUAUGCAUGAGAUAGACCCGCUGAAAUAGAAGACAUAGAUGUCACUAUCAAACUUGCUAAUAGAGACACCAUCACACCAAUUGGGAUUGUUAGAGAUGUUGAAGUCUUGUGUGCAAAAGUAAAAUACCCUACUGAUUUUCUAGUAGUUGGCUCACCACAAGAUAGUUUUUUCACAAAAUAUUCGGUAGACCCUUCUUGAACACUCUCAUUUCUCAAAUAAAUUGCAAAAAGGAAACUAUCAGUGUUAAUUUUGGUGGUAUGUCUCAUGUGUUUCAUUUCUCCAAGUUUGGUAAGCAAACCCAUGACAAAGAAUUGUCUAGUAAAUAUGAAGUAAUUGGUCUUGCUUCUAUUGCCAUUCCUCGUAUGGAUCCAUUAGAACAAUAUUUGCUAGACCAUGAAAAUGAUGCAUAUGCGUGAAAGAAAUGAACUAUAUAAUUUGUUCUUAGAGCAAAAGCCUAUCCUUAAACACAACUUGCGUGUUGAAACUCUAGGAGGUCCUCCUCCACACAAGUGUGAUCCUGUGUUUGAACUAAAGAAAUUACCUAACACUUUGAGAUAUGCUUAUCUUGAUGGAAGGAAGAUAUAUCAUGUUAUUAUGAGUGUUAACCUUAUAAAGCAUGAAGAAGAAAGAUUCUUAAAAACUUUAAGGAAGCCCUGAGCUGCUAUUGGAUAUACUCUUGAUGAUCUUAAGGGCAUUACUCCCACUCUCUAUGAGAACAAGACAAAUAUGGAACGAGAUGCUAAACCUGUUGUUGAUCACCAAUGAAAACUGAAUCCCAAAAUGAAAGAAGUGGUAAGAAUUGAAAUACUAAAGCUUGUGGAAGCAGGUAUAAUUUAUCUGAUAGCUGAUAGUAGAUGGGUAAGUCAUGUUCAUUGCGUUCCUAAGAAAGGAGGUAUUAUUGUUGUUCCUAAUGAUAAAAAUGAACUCAUUCCAUAAAGAAUUGUGGAUGGCUAUAGAAUGAUAAUUGAUUUUAGAAAAUUAAAUAAAUCUACUAGAAAAGAUCAUUAUCAUUUACCUUUCAUAGUCCAAAUGCUAGAAAGAUUAUCGAAGCAUGCAUAUUUUUGCUUUCUAGAUGGUUAUUUUGGUUUCUCUCAAAUACGUUUGUCACAACCUGAUCAAGAGAAAACCACCUUUACUUGUCCUUCUGGAAACUAUGCUUGUAGAGUAUGCCUUUUGGAUUAUGCAAUGCACCUGCUACCUUUCAAAGAUGUAUGACUGCUAUAUUCUCUAAUUUUUGUGAAAAGAUUGUUGAGGUAUUCAUGGAUGUUUUUUCUGUUUAUGGAACUUAUUUUGAUGGUUUCUUAAGCAACUAUGAUCGAGUUUUGCAGAUAUGUGAGCAAACUAACCGUGUCUUGAAUUGGGACAAGUGCCACUUUAUGGUAAAUGAAGGUAUUGUCUUGGGUCAUAAAGUUUUCGAACAAGGUAUUGAGGUGGAUAAGGCUAAAGUUGAUGCAAUUGAGAAGAUGCCAUGUCCUAAAGAUAUUAAAGGUAUCUGUAGUUUCCUUGGUCAUGCUUGUUUCUAUAGGAGGUUUAUUAAAGACUUCUCUAAAAUUUCUAGGCCUCUUACUAAUUUAUUACAAAAGAAUGUUCCUUUCAUUGUUGAUGAUUUGAUUGUGCAGAAUCCUUUGAAGCACUUAAGAAAGCCUUAACUUCUGCACCUAUUGUUCAACCGCUUGACAAGAACUUGCCUUUUGAAAUUACGUGUGAUGUUGGUGAUUAUGUUGUUGGUGUUGUUCUAGGACAAAGAGUUGAUAAGAAAUUAAAUGUUAUCCAUUACGCUAGUAAAACUCUAAAUAGUGCCAAGAGAAAUUAUGCUACCACUAAAAAAGAAUUCUUAGUUGUUGUAUUUGCUUGUGAUAAAUUCAGAUCUUACAUUGUUGAUUCUAAAGUAAUUUUUGAUAGUGAUCAUGGUGCCAUUAAAUAUCUUAUGGAAAAGAAAGAUGCUAAGCCUAGACUUACUACGUGGAUUCUUUUGCGACAAGAAUUUAAUUUGCAUAUCAUUGAUAAGAAAGGAUAUGGGAACCCCAUAGCUGAUAACUUGUCUAGGUUAGAAAAUGUUCUUGAUGACCCAUUACCUAUUGAUGAUAGCUUUCCUGAUGAACAACUAGAUGUGGUCAAUGUUUCUCAUAACACACGGUGGUUUGCUGAUUAUGUGAAUUACAUUGUUGCUAAAUACAUAACACCUAGUUUCACCUAUCACCAAAAGAAAAGGCUCUUCUUUGAUUUAAGACAUUACUUUUGGGAUGACCCGCAUCUUUAUAAAGAGGGAGUAGAUGGUAUUCUCAGACGUUGUAUACCUGAGCAUGAGCACGAACAAAUCCUUCGAAAGUGUCACUCCAAGGCUUAUGGAGUACAGCAUGCGGGAGAUAGAACCACACACAAGGUAUUACAGUGUGGAUUUUAUUGGCCUAUUCUUUUCCAAGAUGCUCGUAAGUUUGUCCUCUCUUCUGAUGAAUGUCUUAGAAUUGGUAAUAUUGGUAGACGUCAAGAAAUGCCUAUGAAUUAUUCACUUCUUAUUGAACCAUUUGAUGUUUGGGGAUUUGAUUAUAUGGGAGCUUUUCCUUCCUCUAAUGGGUAUACACAUAUUUUGGUUGCUCUUCAUUAUGUCACUGAGUGGGUAGAAGCUAUUCCAACAAGUAGUGUUGAUCAUAAUGCCUCUAUUAAAAGGCUUAAGGAAGUUAUUUUCCCACGUUUCAGAGUUCCUAGUGUCGGUGUCACAACCGACAUAUCUCGGGUAGGGGGUCCCGAACUAUGGAUCUCAGAUCGAUAGGUUGCAGGAGAGAGGGGAAGAUGAUGUUUACCCAGGUUCGGGCCCUCUUGAGGAGGUAAAACCCUACGUCGUGCUUGAUUAUAUUGACGAGGAAUGAUGGUUAUAGAUAUGAUCUACCUCAAGAUCGUACGAGCUAAACCCUAGAUGAGAUAACCUGCCUCGACACAUAAGAGCCCCUAAUUUAUAUGGACACCAUGGCCCCUAGGGUUACAUGUUACCGACAUACACCGGGGGUAGAUGGGCCGAAGUGGUCCUUCUGCCUUGGAGUGCACGCCUAGCCUUCGGAGCUUUCCAUCUUGGUUACGAAGUCAUCAGAUAAUCUGUUCUUCAAUGACGCGGCCCAUAUGAUCGGCCCAUAAGGGACAACCCGACUACCCGAGGACCCCUUAAUACAGAACUCCCUCAGUAGCCCCCGAACUAGCCUUCAACACCGAUGUGUAUGGUCUUCGACAGCUGAGCACAAAGACAAAUCGGCUUUCAUGACGAGUUACUGAUACGUCCAUUUUGCAUCAUGCUAUCAUGUUGAUAUUUAUCGCUUCUUGGGCUGUUAUUUCACUUCACGGUACAAUACUUAUGCCUUUUCUAUCUUAUUUUGCAAGGUUUACAUGAAGAGGGAGAAUGUCGGCAGCUGGAAUUCUGGCCUGAAAAAGGAGCAAGUUUGAGAUGCCUAUUCUGCGCAACUCCAAAAUCCGUGAAAAUCGACGUGGAUUUUUUUGGGAAUACAUAAAAAAUACUGGGCCGAAGAAGUGCCACAGGAGCGCAACCAGGGGCCCACAAGCCUAGUAGGCACGGCCACCCCCUGGUCACGCCUAGGGGGCUUGUGGGCUCCCUGCUGGCCCACUGGCCCCCCUCUUCUGCUAUAUGAAGGUUUCGUCUCAAAAAAAUCAGGAGGAGGCUUUUCGGAGGAUUCGCCGCUGCCACUAGGCGGAACUUGAGAAGAACCAAUCUAGAGCUCCGGCAGGACGAUCCUGCCGGGGAAACUUCCCUCCCGAAGGGGGAAUCGUCGCCAUCGUCAUCACCAACACUCCUCUCAUCGGAGAGGACUCGUCACCAUCAACAUCUUCAUCAGCACCAUCUCAUCUCCAAACCCUAGUUCAUCACUUGUAACCAAUCUCCGUCUCGCGACUCCGAUUGGUACUUGUAAGGUUGCUAGUAGUGUUAAUUACUCUUUGUAGUUGAUGCUAGUUGGAUUACUUGGUGGAAGAGUUUAUGUUCAGAUCCUUGAUGCUACUCAUUACCUCUCUGGUCAUGAAUAUGAUUCUGCUUUGUGAGUAGUUACUUUUAUUCCUGAGGACAUGGGAUAAGUCAUGCUAAUAGUAGUCAUGUGAAUUUGGUAUUCGUUCGGUAAUUUGAUGCGUUGUAUGUUGUUUUUCCUCUAGUGGUGUUAUGUGAACGUCAACUACAUAACACUUCACCAUUAUUUGGGCCUAGAGGAAGGCAUUGGGAAGUAGUAAGUAGAUGAUGGGUUGCUAGAGUGACAGAAGCUUAAACCCUAGUUUAUGUGUUGCUUCGUAAGGGGCUGAUUUGGAUCCACUAGUUUAAUGCUAUGGUUAGACUUUGUCUUAAUUCUUAUUUCGUAGUUGGGGAUGCUUGCGAGAGGGGUUAAUCAUAAGUGGGAUUCUUGUCCAAGUAAGGGCAGUACCCAAGCGCCGGUCCACCCACAUAUCAAACUAUCAAAGUAACGAACGCGAAUCAUAUGAACAUGAUGAAAACUAGCAUGACAGAAAUUCCCGUGUGUCCUCGGGAGCGUUUUUCCUCCUAUAAGACUUUGUCCAGGCUUGUCCCUUGCUACAAAAGGGAUUGGGCCACUUUUCCGCACCGUUUCUACUUUUUUUACUUGCUACUUGCUACGAAUAAUCUCACCACACAACUACUUUUUACCGAUAAUUUCAGUGCUUGCAGAUAUUACAUUGCUGAAAACCACUUGUCAGAUCCUUCUGCUCCUCGUUGGGUUCGACACUCUUACUUAUCAAAAGGACUAUGAUUGAUCCCCUAUACUUGUGGGUCAUCAAGACUCUUUUCAGGCGCCGUUGCCGGGGAGUGAAGCGCCUUUGGUAAGUGGAAAUUGGUAAGGAAACAUUCAUAUAGUGUGCUGAAAUUUAUUGUCACUUGUCACUAUGGAAACUAAUCCUUUAAGGGGCUUGUUCGGGGUAUCUUCACCUCGAACGGAAGCACAAAGAUUUGCUCCUCAACCUGCUGCACCUACUGAAAAUAUUUGCUUUGAAUUACCUUCGGGUAUGCUUGAGAAACUGCUGGCUAAUCCUUUUACAGGAGAUGGAACAUCACAUCGAGACUUGCAUCUAAUCUAUGUAGAUGAAGUUUGUGGUUUAUUUAAGCUUGCAGGUUUGCCCGAGGAUGAGGUCAAGAAGAAGGUAUUUCCUUUAUCUUUGAAGGAUAAGGCAUUAACAUGGUAUAGGCUAUGUGAUGAUACUGGAUCAUGGAACUACAAUCGGUUGAAAUUGGAAUUUCAUCAAAAGUUUUAUCCUAUGCAUUUAGUACAUCGUGAUCAGAAUUAUAUUUAUAAUUUUUGGCCUCGUGACAGAGAAAGCAUCGCUCAAGCUUGGGGGAGGAUUAAAUCAAUGUUAUAUUCAUGCCCCAACCAUAAGCUCUCGAGAGAAAUUAUCAUUCAGAACUUCUAUGCUCGGCUUUCUCAUGAUGAUCGCACCAUGCUUGACACUUCUUGUACCGGUUCUUUUAUGAAGAGAGAUAUUGACUUCAAAUGGAAUUUAUUGGAGAGAAUUAAACGCAACUCUGAAGAUUGGGAGCUUGAAGAAGGUAAGGUGUCAGGUAUGAAUUUCAAGUUUGAUUGCGUUAAAUCCUUUGUUGAAACAAAUACUUUUUGUGACUUUAGCGCUAAGUAUGGACUUGACUCUGAGAUACUAGCUUCAUUGUGUGAAUCAUUUUCUGCUCAUAUUGAUCUCCCCAAAGAGAAGUGGUUUAAAUAUCAUCCUCCUUUAGAAGUCAAUGUAGUUAAACCCAAUCCAGUUGAAGAGAAAGUCAUUGCCUAUAAUGAUCCCGUUGUUCCUAGUGCUUACAUUGAGAAACCACCUUUCCCUGUUAGGAUAAAGGAUCAUUCUAAAGCUUCAACUGUGAUACGUAAGGGCUACAUUAGAACACCUACACCCCCUGAGAAAAUUAGAGUUGAACCUAGCAUUGUUAUUAUCAAAGAUCUUCUGUCCGACGAUGUUGAGGGAAAUAAUAUUCACUUCUGUGAAGAUGCUGCUAGAAUUGCUAAACCUCACGCUAGAGACAAACAUAGGCAUGUUGUUUGCACGCCUGUUGUUUCUGUUAAGAUAGGAGAUCAUUGUUAUCAUGGUUUAUGUGACGUGGGUGCUAGUGUUAGUGCAAUACCUCAAUCCUUAUAUGAUGAAAUCAAAGACGAGAUUGCACCUAUUGAGAUAGAGCCUAUUGAUGUCACUAUUCAGCUUGCCAAUAGAGAUACUAUCUGCCGUGUGGGAAUUGUUAGGGAUGUUGAAGUUUUGUGUGGUAAAAUGAAGUAUCCUGCUGAUUUCCUCGUUCUUGCUACCACCCAAGAUAGCUUUUGUCCCAUCAUAUUUGGCAGACCUUUUCUCAAUACUGUCAAUGCUCAUAUUGAUUGUGAGAAGCUAACUGUCACUGUUGGCUUUGAAGGCGUGUCACAUGAGUUCAAUUUCUCCAAGUUUGGUAGACAACCUCAUGAAAAAGAGUUGCCUAGUAGGGAUGAAACUAUUGCCUUAGCUUCUAUUGCCGUACCUCCUACUGAUCCCUUAGAGCAAUACUUGCUUGAGCAUGAAAAUGAUAUGCAUAUGGAUGAAAGGGAUGAAAUAGAUAGAGUUGUCUUAGAACAAUAUCCUAUCCUUAAGAAUAAUUUGCCUGUUGAACUGCUUGGGGAUCCACCCCCACCAAAGGGUGAUCCUGUGUUCGAGCUUAAAAAGUUGCCUGAUACUCUUAAGUAUGCUUAUCUUGAUGAAAAAGAGAUAUAUCAUGUCAUAAUUAGUGCUAGCCUCUCAGAGCAUGAUGAAAAGAAGUUACUAAAAACUCUGAGGAAGCAUCGUGCUGCUAUUGGAUAUACUCUUGAUGAUCUUAAGGGCAUUAGUCCCACUCUAUGCCAGCACAAGAUUAAAACUGAUCCUGAUUCCAAACCAGUUGCUGAUCAUCAAAGGAGAUUAAAUCCUAAGAUGAAAGAGGUAGUAAGAAAAUAAAUACUAAAGCUCCUGGAAGUAGGUAUUAUCUAUCCUGUUGCUCAUAGUGAUUGGGUGAGUCCGGUGCAUUGCGUCCCUAAGAAGGGAGGCAUUACCGUUGUCCCUAAUGAUAAGGAUGAAUUGAUCCCACAGAGGAUUAUUACUGGCUAUAGGAUGGUGAUCGAUUUUAGGAAAUUGAAUAAAGCCACUAGGAAAGAUCAUUACCAUUUACCUUUUAUCGACCAAAUGCUAGAAAGACUGUCUAAACACACACACUUCCGCUUUCUAGACGGUUAUUCUGGUUUCUCUCACAUACCAGUUGCACAAGCUGAUCAGGAGAAAACCACUUUCACCUGCCCUUUCGGUACCUUUGCUUAUAGACGUAUGCCUUUUGGCUUAUGUAAUGCACCUGCCACCUUUCAAAGAUGUAUGAUGGCUAUAUUCUCUGACUUUUGUGAAAAGAUUGUUGAGGUGUUCAUGGAUGACUUCUCCGUUUAUGGGUCUUCUUUUGAUGAUUGCCUCUGCAACCUUGAUCGAGUCUUACAGAGAUGUAAAGACACCAAUCUUGUCUUGAAUUGGGAUAAUUGCCACUUUAUGGUUAAUGAAGGCAUCGUCUUGGGACAUAAAAUUUCUGAAAGAGGUAUUGAAGUCGAUAAGGCUAAGGUUGAUGCAAUCGAGAAAAUGCCAUAGACCACAGAUAUCAAAGGUAUAAGAAGUCUCCUUGGUCAUGAUGGUUUCUAUAGAAGGUUCAUUAAAGACUUCUCUAAGAUUUCUAGGCCUCUUACCAAUCUCUUGCAAAAGGAUAUUCCUUUUGUUUUUCACGAUGAUUGUGAGGAAGCCUUCGAAAUACUGAAGGCUUUGAUAACUGCACCUAUUGUUCAACCACCUAAUUGGAACUUACCUUUUGAAAUCAUGUGUGAUGCUAGUGAUUAUGAUGUUGGUGUUGUUCUAGGGAAAAGAGUUGAUAAGAAGUUGAAUGGUAUUCACUAUGCUAGUAAAACUCUAGACGGUGCCCAAAGAAACUAUGCUACUACGGAAAAGGAAUUUUUAGCACUCGUGUUUGCAUGUCAAAAGUUCAGGUCUUACAUAGUUGAUCCCAAAGUCACUAUUCACACUGAUCAUGCUGCUAUUAAGUACCUCAUGGAGAAGAAAGAUGCUAAACCUAGACUUAUCAGAUGGGUUCUCUUGCUACAAGAAUUUGAUCUGCACGUUGUCGUCAGGAAGGGUGCUGAUAACCCCGUAGCAGAUAACUUGUCUAGGUUGGAGAACGUUAUUGAUGACCCACAACCUAUUGAUGAUAGAUUUCCCGAUGAGCAAUUGAAUGUCAUCAGUGCUUCACGUAGUGCACCGUGGUAUGCUGAUUAUGCAAACUAUAUUGUUGCCAAAUAUAUACCACCUAGUUUCACAUACCGGCAAAAGAAGAAAUUCUUCUUUGACAUGAGACAUUACUUUUGGGAUGAUCCUCACCUUUAUAAGGAAGGAGCAUAUGGUGUUAUUAGACGUUGUGUACCUGAACAUGAACAGGGACAGAUCCUAUAGAAGUGUCACUCCGAGGCCUACGGAGGACACCAUGCGGGAGAUAGAACUGCACACAAGGUAUUGCAAUCAGGUUUCUAUUGGCCCACUCUCUUCAAGGAUGCCCGUAAGUUUGUCUUGUCUUGUGACGAAUGUCAAAGAAUAGGGGCUUUGAUGUUUGUAAUUGUCAGUAAAUGCCUAUGAACUAUUCACUUGUCAUUGAACCAUUUGAUGUUUGGGGCUUUGAUUAUAUGGGACCUUUUCCAAAAUCCAACGGGUAUACUCAUAUCCUAGUUGCUGUUGAUUACGUUGCUAAGUGGGUAGAAGCUAUCCCCACUAGUAGUGUUGAUCGCAACACUUCUAUCAGGAUGCUUAAAGAAGUUAUUUUCCCUAGAUUUGGAGUCCCUAGAUAUCUAAUGACCGACGGUGGUUCACAUUUCAUUCAUGGUGCUUUCCAUAAAACACGGUGAUUAUGUCUUGCUAUAUAAUUAUCUUUUAAGAUUUUUUGCAGGAAAGCUUCUCUCUAAAUGGGAAGGUCCCUAUAUUGUUGAGGAAGUAUAUAGUUCCGGUGCUAUCAAGAUCAACAACACGGAAGGUAAUUGUCCGAGAGUGGUAAAUGCGCAGAGAAUCAAGCCUUAUAUCUCAAGUACUCCCAUAAAUGUUGAAAGCAAUAUUAUCAAUACCAUAACUCCGGAGGAAUACCUAAGGGAUAUUUAUCAGCCUGUUUCAGACUCCGAAAACAAAGAGGUAUGUGAUUCGGUAAGAAAACAGACUCCGAAACUUUUCCAGUAGGAAUUUUUCUCUGUUUUGGAAUAUUUGAAAAAGUAGAAAAAUUGGAAAUAGUCCGGAAAGCGCGCGAGGAGGCGACAAGCCUGCCAGGCGCGGGCCCACCCCCUGGCCGCGCCUGGGAGCUUGUGGCCACCUUGUGUGCCUCCCGGACUCCGUUUUCGUGCGGAUUACUCCUUCUGGUCGAAAAAAAAUCAUUAUAUAUUCUCCCGAAAGGUCUGACCCUCGUAUCACGCAGAUUUCCUGUGUUUUCGUUUCGAGCCUGUUUCUGUUGCAGAUUUAGAUUGCUAUGACGUCCCCAAAAGCUCCGAAGGGUAAGAUCUUUGAGAAGGUCAUCAAUCCCUAUCUCACGGGAGUGCUGCAACACCCUCAAUCUAUUGAGAUGCGUGAGGGUAUGUUGCACAUCCGUGAUGUUGAGGGGCCCAAGAAGACCGGAAGCUUGGAGGCGAGGCUUGAAGCAAUGGAGCAACAAGUCUUCAAGUGCCAAGGGAUGGUGGUGUUGAGAAACGUCGCAUGGGAAACACAAAAAUUCCUACGCACACGCAAUUCCUAUCAUGGUGAUGUUCACCUAUGAGAGGAGAUUCAGAUCUACAUACCCUUGUAGAUCGCACAGCGGUAAGCGUUAAGAAACGCGGACGAUGUAGUGGAAUAGCUUGCGUGAUUCAAAUCACCGUAGUCAUACACUCCAUCCCACGACCUCAUCACGAUCCGUCCCGAGAACUUCAUCGCGAUCCGUCCCGCGAUCUCAUCAUGAUCCUUCCCGAUCUAGUGCCGAACGGACGGCACCUCCGCGUUCAGCACACGUACAGCGCGACGAUGAUCUCGGCCUUCUUCAUCCAGCAAGAGAGACGGAGAGGUAAAUGAGUUCUCCGGCAACGUCACGGCGCUCCAUAGGUAGGUGAUGAUCUAUACCAGCAGGGAUCGGCCCGAGCUCCGCAGAAAUACGAUCUAGAGGAAAAACCGUGGAGAUAUGUGGUCGGGCUGCCGUGGCAAAGUUGUCUCAAAUCAGCCCUAAUACCCCAGUAUAUAUAGGAGGGAGGGGGGACCUUGCCUUGAGGCUCAAGGGAGCCUCAAGGGUUCGGCCGGAGUCCCUCUUCAAUUCGGUUUGGAGGGGCAGGAGUCCUCCUCUUUUUUCCCACCUCCUCUCCUUUUUUUUCUUUUUUUUUCUCCCUUGUUGGUUUUUUUUCUUCUUCCUGCGCAAGGGCCCUCUUGGGCUUGCCCACCAGCCCACUAAGGGCUGGUCGUCCCCCCCCCCCACAAAGCCUUUGGGCUUCUUCCCGGGUGGGUGGGCCCCUCCCGGAAGAACUCCGGAACCCAUUCGUCAUUCCCGGUACAAUGUCGGAAAUGCCCGAAAACCUUCCCGUAACCAAAUGAGACAAACCUAUAUAUCAAUUUUCGUUUCUAUACCAUUCCGGAAACCCUCAUGACGUCUGUGAUCCCAUCCGGGACUCCGAACAACAUUUGGUAACCAACCAUAUAACUCAAAUACGCAUAAAACAUCGUCGAACCUUAAGUGUGCACACCCUGCGGAUUCGAGAACUAUGUAGACAUGACCCGAGAGACUCCUCGAUCAAUAUCCAAUAGCGGGACCUGGGUGCCCAUAUUGGAUCCUACAUAUUCUUCGAAGAUCUUAUCGGUUGAACCUCAACGCCAAGGAUUCAUAUAAUCCCGUAUGUCAUUCCCUUUGUCCUUCGGUAUGUUACUUGCCCGAGAUUCGAUCGUCAGUAUCCGCAUACCUAUUUCAAUCUCAUUUACCGGCAAGUCUCUUUACUCGUUCCGUAAUACAAGAUCCCGUGACUUACACUAAGUCACAUUGCUUGCAAGUCUUGUGUGUGAUGUUGUAUUACCGAGUGGGCCCCGAGAUACCUCUCCGUCACACGGAGUGACAAAUCCCAGUCUUGAUCCAUACUAACUCAACGGGUACCUUCGGAGAUACCUGUAGAGCAUCUUUAUAGUCACCCAGUUACGUUGUGAGGUUUGAUACACACAAGGCAUUCCUCCGGUGCCAGUGAGUUAGAUGAUCUCAUGGUCAUAGGAAUAAAUACUUGACACGGAGAAAACAGUAGCAAUAAAAUGACACGAUCAACAUGCUACAUUCAUUAUUUUGGGUCUAGUCCAUCACAUGAUUCUCCUAAUGAUGUGAUCCCUUUAUCAAGUAACAACACUUCCCUAUGGUCAGGAAACCUUGACCAUAUUUGAUCAACGAGCUAGUCAACUAGAGGAUUACUAGGGACAGUGUUUUGUCUAUGUAUCCACACAAGUAUUGUGUUUCCAAUCAAUACAAUUACAGCAUGGAUAAUAAACGAUUAUCAUGAACAAAGAAAUAUAAUAAUAACUAAUUUAUUAUUGCCUCUAGAGCAUAUUUACAAGAGUCUCCCACUUGCACUAGAGUCAAUAAUCUAGUCCACAUCACUAUGUGAUUCUAACGAAUCCAACACCCUUACAGUUCUGGGGUUUGAUCACGUCUUGCUUGUGAGAGAGGUUUUAGUCGACGGUUCUGAACCCUUUCAGAUCCGAGUGAGCUUUACAAAUCUUUAUGUCAUCUUAUAGAUGAUGUUACUAUGUGUUAUUCGAUAAUAUUCCUAAUAUAUACUCUACCAUACGAAUCCGUUUCACUACUCAUGGUUAUUCGGAUUAGUGUCAAAGCUUGCAUCGACAUAACCCUUUACGACGAACUCUUUAACCACCUCCAUAAUCAUGAAAAAAUUCCUUAGUCCAUUAGUUACUAAGGAUAACGUUGACCGCUGAUCAGUGAUUCAAUCCUGGAUCACUCUGUGUACCUCUUAACAGACUUGUAGCAAGGCACACAGGGUACUAGGGUGCAGUACUCAGAAUGACAUACUUUAGAGUCUACGGCUAAGGUAUAGAAGACGAUCUUUUCCUAUUCUCUUUAUUCUGCCGGGGUCGGGUUUUGAGUCUUACCAAAAUUCACACCUUACAACACAACCAAGAACUCCUUCUUUGCUGAUCUAUUUUGAACUCCUUCAAAAACUUGUCAAGGCAUGCAUCUUGUUGAAACUUCUAUUAAGCGUUUCGAUCUAUCUCCAUAGAUCUUGAUGCUCAACGUUCAAGUAGCGCAAUCCAGGUAUUCCUUUGAAAAAAAACUCCUUUUCAAACAACCUUUUAUGCUUUUCAGAAAUUCUACAUUACUUCUGAUCCAUAAUAUGUCAACCACAUAAACUUAUCAGAAAUUCUAUAGUGCUCCCACUCACUUCUUUGGAAAUACAAGUUUCUCAUAAACCUUGUAUAAACCCAAAAGCUUUGAUCAACUCAUCAAAGCAUAUAUUCCAACUCCGAGAUGCUUGCACCAGUCCAUAGAAGGAUCGCUGGAGCUUGCAUACUUCUUAGCACCCUUAGGAUCGACAAAACCUUCUGGUUUGUAUUACAUACAACCUUUCCUCAAGGAAACCAUCGAGGAAACAAUGUUUUGACAUCCUAUGUGCAAUAUUUCAUAAAUAAUGCAACAACUGCUAACUUAACUCCAACAAACUUUUAGCAUCGCAAUGAGUGAGAAAGUCCCAUCAUAGUCAACUCGUUGAAUUUUGUCGGAAACAUCUUUGCGACAAGUCGAGCUUUUCUUAAUGGUGACGUUUCACCAUCAUCGUAUGCCUUCCUUAUAAAGAUCCAUCUUUACUCAAUAGUCCUACGACAAUCAAGCAGUUCUUCCAAAGUCUAUACUUUGUUCUCACACAUGGAUUCUCUCUCCGAUUUCAUGGCCUCCAGCCAUUUGUCAGAAUCCGGGCCGACCAUUGCUUCUCCAUAACUCGUAGGUUCAUCGUUAUUUCAACAACAUGACCUCCAAGAUAGGGUUACCGUACCACUCUAUAGUAGUACGCGACCUUGUCGACCUACGAGGUUUGUAGUAACUUGAUCCAAUGCUUAAUAAUCACCAUCAUCAGCUUCCAGUUCAAUUGGUGUAGGCGCCACACGAACAACUUCCUGUGCCCUGCUACACACUGGUUGAAGUGAUGUUUCAAUAAUCUCAUUAAGUUCUACCACCCUCCCACUCAAUUCUUUCGAGAGAAACCUUUCCUCGAGAAAGGACCCGUUUUCUAGAAACAAACACUUUGCUUCCGGAUCUGAGAUAGGAGAUGCUCCCAACUGUUUUGGAUAUCCUAUGAAGAUGCAUUCAUCCGCUUUGGGUUCGAGCUUAUCAGACUGAAACUCUUUCAUAUAAGAGUCGCAACCCUAAACUUUCAAGAAACGACAACUUAGAUUUCUCUAAACCUCAGUCUAUACUGUGUCAUCUCAACGGAAUUACGCGGUGCCCUAUUUAAAGUGAAUGCGGUUGUCUCUAAUGCAUAACCCAUAAAUGAUAGUGGUAAUUCGAUAAGAGACAUCAUAGUAUGCACCAUAUCAAAUAGGUCGCGGCUAUGACACCAUCACACCAUGGUGUUCUUGGUGGCAUGAAUUGCGAAACAACUUCCACAUUGUCUUAACUGUGUACCAAAACUCGCAACUCAGAUAUUCAUCUCUAUGAUCAUAUCGUAGACAGUUUAUCCUCUUGUUACGACGAACUUCACUCUGAAAGAGAGUUGAACUUUUUCAAUAUUGCAGACUUGUGAUUCAUUAAGUAAAUACUCCUGUAUCUACUCAAAUCGUCAUUGAAGUAAGAACAUAAUGAUAUCCACUGCCUGCCUCAGCACCCAUUGGACUGCAUACAUCAAAAUGUAUUACUUCCAACAAGUUACUAUCUUGUUUCAUCUCAAUGAAAACAAGGCCUUGCUCAUGUGGUAUGAUUUGCAUGUCACAAGUGAUUCAAAAUCAAGUGAGUAUAAAGAUCCAUCGGCAUGGAUCCUCUUCAUGCAAUUUAUACCAACAUGACUCAAGCGGCAGUGCCAGAAGUAAGUGGUACUAUCAUCAUUACCUUGUGUCUUUUGGCACCAAUAUCAUGAACAUGUGUAACACUACAAUCGAGAUUCAAUAAACCAUUGAAGGUGAUUAUUCAAGCAAAUAGAGUAAUCAUUAUUCUAUUUAAAUGAAUAAUCGUAUUGGAAUAAACACGAUCCAAUCAUGUUCAUGCUUAACGCAAGCACCAAAUAUCAAUUAUUUAGGUUUAACACCAAUCCCGAUGGUAGAGGGAGCGUGCGACGUUUGAUCAUAUCAACCUUAGAAACACUUCCAACACGUAUCGUCACCUCGCCUUUAUCUAGUCUCCGUUUAUUUCGUAGCUUUCAUUUCGAGUUACUAUCACUUAGCAACCGAACCAGUAUCUAAUACCCUCGUGCUACUAGGAGUACUAGUAAAGUACACAUCAAUAUCAUGUAUAUCAAACAUACUUCAGUCGACUUAGCCAGCCUUCUUAUCUACCAAGCAUCUAGGGUAGCUCCGCCUCAGUGACCGUUCCCCUCAUAACACAAGCACUUAGUCUCGGGUUUGGGUUCAAUCUUGGGUUUCAUUAGAGCAGCAACUGGUUUGUCGUUUCAUGAAGUAACCCUUUUAGCCCUUGCCUUUCUUGAAACCUAGUGGUUUUACAAACCAUCAAUUAUUGAUGCUCCUUCUUGAUUUCUACUUUUGCAGUGUCAAACAUCACGAAUCGCUCAAGGAUCAUUGUAUUUAUACUUGAUAUGUUAUAGUUCAUCACGAAGCUCUCACAGCUUGGUGGCAGUGUCUUUGGAGAACCAUCACUAUCUCAUCUGGAAGAUUAACUCCCACUUGAUUCAAGCGAUUGUCGUACUCAGACAAUCUGAGCACACGCUCAACGAUUGAUCUUUUCCCCUUUACUUCAUGCACAAAGAAUCUUGUCAGAGGUCUCAUACCUCUUAACAAGGGCGCAAGCAUGAAAUCACUAUUUCAUCUCUUUAGAACAUCUCUUAUGUUCCGUGAUGUUUCAAAAUGUCUUCGGCGCCUUGCUUCUAAGCCAUUAAGUAUUUUGCACUGAACUAUCGCGUAGUCAUCAGAAACAUGUAUGUCGGGUGUUCACAACAUCCAUAGACGACGCUCGAGGUGUAGCACACUGAGUGGUGCAUUAAGGACAUAAGCCGUCUGCGUAGCAAUGAGGACAAUCCUCAGUCUUACAGACUCAGUCCGCAAAGUUGCUACUAUCAACUUUCAACUAAAUUUUCUCUAGGAACAUAUAAAAACUGAAGAGAUAUAGCGCAAGCCACAUCAUAAUUCGUAAAGAUCUUUUGACUAUGUCCAAGAUAACUAGAGUUUAACUAAUCAAAUUAAUUUUAAACUCCCACUCAAAAAGUACAUCUCUCUAGUCAUUUGAGUGGUACAUGAUCCAAAUCCACUAUCUCAAGUCCGAUCAUCACGUGAGUUGAGAUUAGCUUCAGUGCAAAGCAUCUCUAUGCUAAUCAUAUCAACUCUAUGAUUCAUGCUCGACCUUUCGAUCUUAUGUGUUCCGAGGCCAUGUAUGUACAUGCUAGGCUCGUCAAGUUUAACCCGAGUGUUCCCCGUGUACAACUGUUUUGCACCCGUUGUAUGUGAACGUUGAGUCUAUCCCACCCGAUCAUCACAUGGUGUCUCGAAACGACGAACUGUCGCAACGGUGCAUAGUCGGGGAGAAUACAAUUUGAGCUUGAAAUUUUAGUGAGAGAUCACCUCAUAAUACUACCGUCGUUCUAAGCAAGAUAAGGUGCAUAAAGGAUUAACAUCACAUGCAAUUCAUAAGUGACAUGAUAUGGCCAUCAUCAAGUGCUCCUUGAUCUCCAUCACCAAAGCACCGGUAUGAUCUUCUUGUCACCGGCGCCACACCAAGAUCCCCAUCAUCAUGAUCUCCAUCAUCGUGCCGCCAUCGAGGUUGUCGUGUAUGCUAUGCUAUUACUACUAAAGCUAUGUCCUAGCAAUAUAGUAAACGCAUCUACAAACACAAACGUUAGUCUAAAGACAACCCUAUGGCUCCUGUCGGUUGCCGUAGCAUCGACGUGCAAGUCGAUAUUAACUAUUACAACAUGAUAAUCUCAUACAUCCAAUAUAUCACAUCACGUCGUUGGCCAUAUCACAUCACAAGCAUACCCUGCAAAAACAAGUUAGACGUCCUCUAAUUGUUGUUGCAUGUUUUACGUGGUUGCCAUGGGUAUCUAGUAGGAUCGCAUCUUACUUACGCAAACACCACAACGGAGAUGUAUGAAUUUCUAUUUAACCUCUCUCCAAGGACCUCCUCGGUCAAAUCCGGUUCAACUAAAGUUGGAGAAACCGACACUCGCCAGUCAUCUUUGAGCAACGGGGUUGCUCGUAGCGAUGAAACCAGUCUCUCGUAAACGUACGAGUAAUGUCGGUCCGAGCUGCUUCGAUCCAACAAUACCGCGGAAUCAAGAAAAGACUAAGGAGGGUAGCAAAUCGCACAUCACCGCCCACAAAAACUUUUGUGUUCUACUCGAGAUAACAUCUACGCAUGAACCUAGCUCAUGAUGCACUGUUGAGGAACAUUGCAUGGGAAACAAAACAUUUCCUACGCACACGCAAUUCCUAUCAUGGUGAUGUUCAUCUACAAGAGGAGAUUCAGAUCUACAUACCCUUGUAGAUCGCACAGCGGUAAGCGUUAAGAAACACGGACGAUGUAGUGGAACAGCUUGCGUGAUUCAAAUCACUGUAGUCGUACACUCCAUCCCACGAUCUCAUCACGAUCCAUCCCGCGAACUUCAUCGCGAUCCGUCCCGCGAUCUCAUCAUGAUCCUUCCCGAUCUAGUGCCGAACGGAUGGCACCUCCGCGUUCAGCACACGUACAGCGUGAAGAUGAUCUCGGCCUUGUCGAUCCAGCAAGAGAGACGGAGAGGUAGAUGAGUUCUCCGGCAGCGUGACGGCGCUCCGGCGGUUGGUGAUGAUCUACUCCAGCAGGGCUCCGCCCGAGCUCCGCAGAAAUACGAUCUAGAGGAAAAACCGUGGAGAUAUGUGGUCGGGCUGCCGUGGCAAAGUUGUCUCAAAUCAGCCCUAAUAUCCUAGUAUAUAUAGGAGGGAGGGGAGGGACCUUGCCUUGAGGCUCAAGGGAGCCUCAAGGGUUCGGCCAAAGGGGGAGGAGGAGUCCCUCUCCAAUUCGGUUUAGAGGGGGAGGAGUCCUCUUUUGUCCCACCUCCUCUCCUUUUUUUCUUUUUUUCUCCCUUGUUGGUUUUUUUUCUUCUUCCUGCGCAAGGGCCCUCUUGGGCUUGCCCACCAGCUUACUAAGGGCUGGUGUGCCCCCAAAAAACCUUUGGGCUUCUUCCCAGGUGGGUGGGCCCCUCCCGGUAGAACUCCAGAACCCAUUCGUCAUUCCCGGUAUAAUGCCAGUAAUGCCCGAAAACCUUUCAGUAACCAAAUGAGACAAACCUAUAUAUCAAUUUUCGUUUCCGGGCCAUCCCGGAAACCCUCGUGACGUCUGUGAUCCCAUCCGGGACUCUGAACAACAUUCGGUAACCAACCAUAUAACUCAAAUACGCAUAAAACAUCGUCGAACCUUAAGUGUGCAGACCCUGCAGGUUCGAGAACUAUGUAGACAUGACCCAACAGACUCCUCGGUCAAUAUCCAAUAGUGGGACCUGGAUGCCCAUAUUGGAUCCUACAUAUUCUCUGAAGAUCUUAUCGGUUGAACCUCAGGGCCAAGGAUUCAUAUAAUCUCGUAUGUCAUUCCCUUUGUCCUUCGGUAUGUUACUUGCCCGAGAUUCGAUCAUCAAUAUCCGCAUACCUAUUUCAAUCUCGUUUACGGCAAGUCUCUUUACUCGUUCCGUAAUACAAGAUAACGAGACUUACACUAAGUCACAUUGCUUGCAAGGCUUGUGUGUGAUGUUGUAUUACCGAGUGGGCCCCGAGAUACCUCUCCGUUACACGGAGUGACAAAUCCCAGUCUUGAUCCAUACUAACUCAACGGACACCUUCGGAGAUACCUGUAGAGCAUCUUUAUAGUCACCCAGUUAUGUUGUGAGGUUUGAUACACACAAGGCAUUCCUCCGGUGCCAGUGAGUUAUAUGAUCUCAUGGUCAUAGGAAUAAAUACUUGACACGCAGAAAACAGUAGCAAUAAAAUGACACGAUCAACAUGCUACGUUCAUUAGUUUGGGUCUAGUCCAUCACAUGAUUCUCCUAAUGAUGUGAUCUCGUUAUCAAGUAAGAACACUUGCCUAUGGUCAGGAAACCUGGACCAUCUUUGAUCAACGAGCUAGUCAACUAGAGGCUUACUAGGGACAGUGUUUUGUCUAUGUAUCCACACAAGUAUUGUGUUUCCAAUCAAUACAAUUACAGCAUGGAUAAUAAACGAUUAUCAUGAACAAAUAAAUAUAAUAAUAACUAACUUAUUAUUGCCUCUAGGGCAUAUUUCCAACAGGUGGAGCGUGGACUCAACGCCAACCACAUGAUGAUCACGGAGUUCACCAACAAGCACAGGAUUGAUGCCAAUGACAUUGGGAAGCACCUCUCCAGGCUCUAUGACAGGAUUGAUCACCUCCAGUCCCAGAUCUAUGACCUGCAGAACCAAAACUAUGAGUAUGAGUAUGGAUUUAAAUCAAUACGGUUGGCUGCAGAUUUGAGGAUUCCGUAGACUCGUUCAUCUUUCCAUGAUGGAGCACCUACGCCUUGGAAGACGGAGGAUCAAACCCAUGUUGCAACAACUCCACCACCAUCACCUCCAAAGGAAGACAACUAAGCAUGGGUAUGGGUAAUCCCCUUUGCUUGUGCCAAGCUUGGGGGAGUUGCCCCGGUAUCGUAUCACCAUCACAUCUUUUGCCUUUACCUUUGUUUUAGUUUGUUCCUUUUCAGUUUUCUCUUUCUCUAGUAGAAUAAAAGUCUUAGUGUUUUAGACUUGAGUUUUGCUUUGUGUCACCCCCGAUGUCUUCGAGCUCGUGAGCCAUAUAAUAAAGACUGUCUUAGUUGAAGGGCUCUGCCUCUUGCCAUGAUCAAACGAAUGAGAAUAGAACGAAAGCAUGAAAGAUCAUUUAAUGAUCUUAUGGGAAGUGAUGGCUUCACAUAUAAAAAGAAUGAUGAUUGAAACUUGUUGAGGGUAGACAAACGUAGACCUUGGUCAUUUUUACAAUUAAUAGGAAGUGAUAAAGAAGGAGAGGUUCACAUAUAAAUAUAUCAUCUUUGACACCAUCUAUGAUUGUGAACACUCACUAAACUAUUACAUGCCUAGGAGUAGAUGUUGGACAAGGAAGACAACAUAAUGAAUUGUAUUUGCUUGGUUCCAAACAAUGUUAUAUGAUUAGAGAUCCCUCAGCAUGUGACGAUUGCUUCCACCUCAUAUUAGCCAAAACUCCCGCACCAAAUAGAGAUACUACUUGUGCAUCCAUAAACCUUCAACCCAGUUUUGCCAUGAGAGUCCACCAUACCUACCUAUGGAUUGAACAAGAUCCCUCAAGUAAGUUGCCAUCGGUGCAAGCAAUAAAAAUUGCUCCCUAAUGUGUAUGAUCUAUUAGUGUGUGGAAAAUAAGCUUUGUACGAACCUGUGAUGAGGAAGACAUAAAAGCGACAGACUGCAUAAUAAAGUUCUUUAUCACAGGAGGCAAUAUAAAGUGACGUUCCUCCGCACUAAGAGGACACGCAUCCAAACCUCAAAAGCGCAUGACAACCUCUGCUUCCCUCUGUGAAGGGCCGAUCUUGUACCUUUACUUUUUUCCCUUGAAAGAGUCAUGAUGAUCUUCACCAAUUCCUUAUUUCGCCUUUAUCUUGGCUAACGGCAUAUGCUUGGGAAAGAUAUAUAUUCAUAUGUCAACUUGGAAGUAAGUAUUCAUGAAUUAUUAUUGUUGACAUUACCCUUGAGGUAAGCAGUUGGGAGGCGAAACUAUAAGCCCCUAUCUUUCUCUGUGUCCAGCUGAAACUUUGAUCUCAUGAGUACCACAUGAGUUGUAGCAAUUGUAGAGAACGAAAAGAUGAUUGAGUAAGUGGAUUUGCUUUACAAGCUCUUAUUUGUCUCUUUCUGAUGUUGUGAUAAAUUGCAAUUGCUUCAAUGACUAAAGGCUAUCGGUUGUUACUUCUCGGUAAGGUUCUUGAUCCAUGCUUUACUUUGUGAAGGAAUUAUCACUUUAGCAUGAGAGAUUAUAUGUUGGUGUUGCUGUUCUAAUCAUGAUCAUGAUGCAUGCAUGUUCGUAUCUUGUUUUGUCGACACCUCUCUCCCUAAACAUGUGGACAUAUUUAUUGAGCUAGGCUUUUGGUGGAGGACAAGCGAGGUCUAAGCUAGGGGGAGUUGAUACGUCCAUUUUGCGUCAUGCUUUCAUGUUGAUAUUUAUCCCUUUUUGGGCUUUUAUUUCACUUCACGGUACAAUACUAAUGCCUUUUCUCUCUUAUUUUGCAAGGUUUACAUGAAGAGGGAGAAUGUCGGCAGCUCGAAUUCCGGCCUGAAAAAGGAGCAAGUUUGAGAUGACUAUUCUGUGCAACUCCAAAAUCCGUGAAAUCAAAAUGAAUUUUUUUGGGAAUAUAUUAAAAAUACUGGCCCGAAGAUGUGCGAGAGGAGCGCAACCAGGGGGCCACAAGCCUGGUAGGCGCGGCCACCCCCCUGGUCGCGCCUAGGGGGCUUGUGGGCUCCCUGCUGGCCCACUGGCCCCCCUCUUCUGCUAUAUGAAGGGUUUCGUCCCGAAAAAAAUCAGGAGGAGGAUUUUCGGAGGAUUCGCCGCCGCCACGAGGCGAAACUUGAGUAGAACCAAUCUAGAGCUCCGAUAGGACGAUCCUGCCGGGGAAACUUCCCUCCAGGAGGGGGAAAUCAUCGCCAUCGUCAUCACCAACGCUCCUCUCAUCGGAGGGGACUCGUCACCAUCAACAUCUUCAUGAGCACCAUCUCAUCUCCAAACCCUAGUUCAUCACUUGUAACCGAUCUCCAUCUCGCGACUCUGAUUGGUACUCGUAAGGUUGCUAGUAGUGUUAAUUACUCUUUAUAGUUGAUGCUAGUUGGAUUACUUGGUGGAAGAGUUUAUGUUCAGAUCCUUGAUGCUACUCAUUACCUCUCUGGUCAUGAAUAUGAUUAUGCUUCGUGAGUAGUUACUUUUGUUCCUGAGGACAUGGGAUAAGUCAUGCUAAUAGUAGUCAUGUGAAUUUGGUAUUCGUUCGGUAAUUUGAUGUGUCGUAUGUUGUUUUUCCUCUAGUGGUGUUAUGUGAACGUCGACUACAUAACACUUCAGCAUUAUUUGGGCCUAGAGGAAGGCAUUGGGAAGUAGUAAGUAGAUGAUGGGUUGCUAGAGUGACAGAAGCUUAAACCCUAGUUUAUGUGUUGCUUCGUAAGGGGCUGAUUUGGAUCCACUAGUUUAAUGCUAUGGUUAGACUUUGUCUUAAUUCUUCUUUCGUAGUUGCGGAUGCUUGUGAGAGGGGUUAAUCAUAAGUCGGAUGCUUGUCCAAGUACGGGCAGUACCCAAGCGCCGGUCCACCCACAUAUCAAACUAUCAAAGUAACGAACGUGAAUCAUAUGAACAUGAUGAAAACUAGCAUGACAGAAAUUCCCGUGUGUCCUCGGAGCGUUUUUCCUCCUAUAAAACUUUGUCUAGGCUUGUCCCUUUCUACAAAAGGGAUUGGGCCACUUUGCUGCACCGUUGCUACUUUUGUUACUUGCUACUUGCUACGAAUCAUCUCACCACACAACUACAUGUUACCGAUAAUUUCAGUGCUUGCAGAUAUUAUCUUGCUGAAAAACACUUGUCAGAUCCUUCUGCCCCUCGUUGGGUUCGACACUCUUACUUAUUGAAAGGACUACGAUUGAUCCCCUAUACUUGUGGGUCAUCAGUUCCCUUCAUAUUCGUGUGGUAUCAUUUAGUCGCUCCAAUGACGUAAUAUUCUCGAAAACAUGCAUCAUUAAAUCCAGAGGCUUUUAAAGGCCCGAAGGUGAAUAAUAAGCCAUCGGACAACUCUUCUGUCGGAAAGUCACGAUAACAAACAAUGAGUAAAACUCGAGUCGUGGCUCGAGGCCACUAUUCGUGGGGGCACGUUCUAUCAACAAGAGAGAUUGUGUUCCGUCUUGAAGGGGAUUUUGAAUUAAUGACCUGGGCCAACCUACGCACGUUCCAACGAUGCAGUUGUUUCGGGUAGUGGCAAAGCUAGUGGCGGAGUAAGAGGAAACCCUUGGUUUCGUGGCCUCACUUUGAAAGGGAAAAAAGAUCCAAAGCCCACCAUAGGCAUUCCAAACAAUUGCUCCUCCUUCUUCCAACCUCAAGUGCCCAGAUCCAUUUCGCCUCCCAUCUCUUCCAGUCGCCUUCCACCUCAAGCCCUGCAAUGGCCAGCUCGGGCGCUCAUGGCAAGCUAUCCAGGAGGUGAAUUGUUGUGGCUACAUCGCCACCGACAUCGUCCACCGAGCACCGGAAAAGGCCCAGGUGGUUCCUAUGCCAAGGCUCGGGGAGCGGGUGGUGUUCGUCCCCCACUUCCUCCGGGACUGGGCUUACCGCUUCACCCCUUCGUCAGGGGUCUGAUGUUGUACUAUGGGGUAGAUUUUCAUGACCUACCCCCAAAUUCCACCAUGCACAUCUCUGUCUUCAUCACUGAUACGUCUAAAACGUAUCUAUAAUUUUUGAUGGUUUCCUGCUGUUAUCUUGUCAACUUUGGAUGUUUUAUAUACCUUUUAUAUCUUUUUUGGGACUAACUUAUUAAUUCAGUGCCAAGUGCCAGUUCCUGUUUUUCCUGUGUUUUUGACUCUUUUCAGAUCUGAUUUUAUAACAGAGUCCAAAUAGAGUAAAAUCCCCGAAAUAAUUUUUUCCAGAACAGAAGAAGAUCGGGGGACUUGAGGGCCAAGGCAGGAGGCCCACAGGGAGCCCACAAGCCCUGUGGCCGCGACUAGGGGAGGCCCACGGCCACGAGGCUUGUGGCCUCCCUGGCGCUCCCCUGCCCUAGCUCUUUGGCCUAUAUAUUCCUUAAAGUCCCAGAAAAAAUCAGGGCAUCCACGAAACCACUUUUCCGCCGCCGCAAGCUUCCGUUUCCUCGAGAUCUCAUCUGGAGACCCUUCCCGAUGCCUGUCGGAGGGGACUUUGGAGCUGGAGGGCUUCUACAUCAACAUCAUUGCCUCUCCAAUGACUUGUGAGUAGUCCACUUCAGACCUACGGGUCCGUAGUUAGUAGCUAGAUGGCUUCUUCUCUCUCUUCGAUCUUCAAUACAAAGUUCUCCAUGAUCUUCAUGGAGAUCUAUUCGAUGUAAUCCUCUUGGCGGUGUGUUUGUCGAGAUUCGAUGAAUUGUGGAUUUGUGAUCAGAUUAUCUAUGAAUUAUAUUUGAGUCUUUGCUGAUUUCUUAUAUGCAUGAUUUGAUAUCCUUGUAAGUCUCUCCGAGUCUUGGGUUUUGUUUGGCCAACUAGAUCUAUGAUUCUUGCAAUGGGAGAAGUGCUUGGUUUUGAGUUCAUACCGUGCGGUGACCUUUCCCAGUGACAGAAGGGGCAGCAAGGCACGCAUAAUGUUGUUGCCAUCAAGGGUAACAAGAUGGGCUUUCAUCAUAGAUUUGAGAUUGUCCAUCUACAUCAUGUCAUCUUGUUUAAGGCGUUACUCUGUUCUUAUGAACUCAAUACACUAGAUGCAUAAUGGAUAGCGGUCGACGAGUGGAGUAAUAGUAGUAGAUGCAGAAAGUAUCGGUCUACUGGUUUUGGACGUGAUUCCUAUAGAUAUGAUCAUUGCCAUAUAUAACGUAAUGACUUUGCGUGGUUCUAUCAAUUGCUCGACAGUAAUUCGUUCACCCACCGUCUAUUUGCUUUCAUGAGAGAAUCCACUAGUGAACACUACGUGCCCCGGGUCUAUUCACAACUAUCAUCUCAGCUUUCACUUUUACUUUGCUUUGUUUAUUUUUUGCUUUCAUUUCUCACUUUGCAAACAAUCUAUAAGGGAUUGACAACCCCUUCAUAGCGUUGGGUGCAAGCUCUUUGUGUUUGUGCAGGUACUUGUGACUUGACGCGAUCCUCCUACUGGAUUGAUACCUUGGUUCUCAAAUUGAGGGAAAUACUUAUUGUCGCAGUGCUACAUCACCCUUUCCUCUUCAAGGGAACACCAACGCAAGGCUCCAAGGACACGGGGGAAUCCUUUGCAUAUUUGCCAAGGAAAUCCCUGUAGGCGAAGCCAGCAGGAGAAGGAUUCCUGGCGCCGUUGCCGGGGAAGGUCUUUUGUUGCCAUAGCAGAAGGAUUUCUGGUGCCGUUGCCGAGGAGGAUCGCUUGUCGAGGAGUAUCAAGACAAGAAUAAUCUCCCGUCAACAUGCCAAUUUUUGGCGCCAUUGCCGGGGAGAUAUCAAGUCAAGAUCUAUCCAAGUAAGUGUCACAAACUCAUCUCUUGCAUUUACCUUUUUUGCCAGUUCCUCUCAUUUUCCUCUCCCCCACUUCACAUUUGUCGUUUUCAUAUGCCUUUCUCUUUUUCCGUUUUCCUUUGCCAGACUUCUUGCUUGCUUGUGUUCUUGUUUGUUUGUUAAAGUCAUCAUGGCUGAAAACACCAAACUUUGCAACUUCUCGAAUACUAAUAGUAAUGAUUUUAUAAGUACUCCGAUUGCUCCUGCCACUAGUGCGGAAUCAUAUGAAAUCAACGCUGCCUUGCUGAAUCUUGUUAUGAAAGAGCAAUUUUCUGGCCUUCCUAGUGAAGAUGCCGCAUCCCAUCUCAAUACUUUCAUUGACCUUUGUGAUAUGCAAAAGAAGAAAGAUGUGGAUAAUGACGUUGUUAAUUUGAAGCUUUUUCCGUUCUCUUUGUGAGAUAGUGCCAAAACUUGGUUUUCUUCUUUGCCUAAAAAUAGUAUCAUUCUUGAAAUAAGUGCAAAGAUGCUUACAUAUCCAAGUAUUUUCCGCCGGCUAAGAUUAUCUCUCUCCGUAAUGAUAUCAUGAAUUUCAAGCAACUUGAUCAUGAACACGUUGCACAAUCUUGGGAGAGGAUGAAGUUAAUGAUUAGAAAUUGUCCCGCUCAUGGCUUGAGUUCAUGGAUGAUUAUACAAAUCUUUUACGAUAGUUUGAAUUUUGCUUCUCGAAAUAUCUUGGACUCCGCCUCAGGUGGAACGUUCAUGGAAAUCACGUUAGGAGAAGCUACAAAACUUCUAGACAAUAUCAUGACCAACUACUCUCAGUGGCACACUAAAAGGUCACCUGCUAGCAAAAGGGUACACGUUAUAGAAGAAAUUAACUCGCUUAGUGCUAAGAUGGACGAGUUGAUGAAUUUGGUUGCUAGUAGAAAUGCUCCUUUAGAUCCUAAUGACAUGCCACUAUCUUCCUUGAUUGAGAGUAGCAACGCUAGUUUGGACGUUAAUUUUGUUGGUAGGAAUAUUUUUGGCAACAACAAUGCUUUUAGAGGAAAUUAUGUUCCUAGGGCUUUUCCUAGUAACUCCUCUAACAAUUAUGGCAAUUCCUACAACAACACUUACGGAAAUCACAACAAAUUACCCUCUGAUUUAGAGAGUAAUAUCAAAGAGUUCAUCAACUCUCAAAAGAUUUUCAGUGCGUCCAUAGAGGAAAAACUACUCAAAAUAGACGAUUUGGCUAAGAGAGUUGAUAGGAUGUGAUAUUGAUGCUUUGAGAGUUAGAUGUGCUCCUCCCAAGGUUAACUUGGAUGAAACUUUAAAAGCUAUGUGUGUCUCCAUGAAUGAGAGCAAAGAAAUAACCGCCCAAAUUCAUGUUAAGCAUGAAUGGUUUAAAAGGGUGCGUUCUAGUGAUGCAAAUCACAAAGAUCUUAAAGUGCUUGGUGUGACUCCUCUUGAAUCUUUGUUUUCGUGUGUCAAACCUAUUGAUGAAGGGGCUGGAUAUGAAUCCACUUUGGUUGAAAAACGCCCCAAUGAUUCAGAGUCCACCUAUAUUGAUGAUAAAGGUGUGGAGAGUGGAGUAGAAGAAAUCAAAAUAUUGGGUAGUAAUGAAAAUCCCACUUUGGAUUUCAAGGAAUUCAAUUAUGAUAGUUGCUCCUUGUUUGAAUGCAUUUCCUUGAUGCAAUCCAUUGCAAACUCUCCACAUGCUUAUAGCCAAAGCAAAGCCUUUACCGCACAUAUCGUAGAUGCUAUGAUGAAAUCUCUUGAAGAGAAACUCGAAUUAGAAGUCUCUAUACCUAGAAAACUUCAUGAUGAGCGGGAACCUACUAUCAAAAUCAAAAUCAAAAACUAUGAAUGCAAGGCUUUGUGUGAUUUGGGUGCUAGUGUUUCCGCGAUUCCAAAGUCUUUAUGUGAUAUUCUUGGUUUUCAUGAGAUUGAAGAGUGUUCUCUUAAUUUGCAUCUUGCGGAUUCUACUAUCAAGAAACCCAUGGGAAGGAUCAAUGAUGUUCUUAUUGUUGUAAAUAAGAACUAUGUACCCGUGGAUUUUAUUGUACUUGACACAGAUUGCAAUCCUUCAUGUCCCAUUAUUCUUGCUAGACCUUUCCUAAGGACUAUUGGUGCUAUCAUCAAUAUGAAGGAAGGGAAUAUUAGAUUUCAAUUUCCUCUAAAUAAGGGCAUGGAGCAUUUUCCUAAAAACAAAAUAAGAUUGCCAUAUGAAUCUAUGAUGAGGGCUACUUAUGGUUUGAGCACCAAAGAUGACUAUACGUGAUUCCAUAACCUUAUGCCUAGCUAAGGGCGUUAAACAAUAGCGCUUGUUCGGAGGCAACCCAAGGAAUCUAUCCUUUUUCUUUCUGUUUUGUGUUUCCAACACUUUCAUAAUUCUGUUAUGAUUGUGUUUUUUGUGUUUCUUUUGCAUUUGUGCCAAGUGAAACCGUUAUGAUUAGUCUUGGGGAUGAUCGUUUGAUCAUGCUGGAAAAGACAGAAACUUUCUGCUCACGAAAAGAAUUUUCAUUUUUAUUCUGUGAGAGACUUUGAGUUGAUUCUUUUUUCUGAUGAUUUCUACGGAACUUCUUCAGACUGUCGUAAUGUUUCAGAAUUGUUUAGGUAACAGAAGUAUACAAAGUAUACAUAUUGCUACAGACUGGUCUGCUGUUAACACACUCUGUUUUUGUUGAGUUGGUUGCUUAUUUUGAUGAAACUAUGGAUAGUAUCGGGGGUAUUAGCCAUGGAAGAUUGAAAAUACAGUAACCCAACAUCAACAUAAGUAGAAUUUAAUCUUACUACAGUACCUAAGGAAGUGGUGAUUUGCUUUCUUAUACUAAUGAUAUCACGAGUUUCUGUUUAAGUUUCAUGUUGUGAAGUUUUCAAGUUUUGGGUGAAGUUCUUAUGGACAAAGAGAUAAAGAGUGGCAAGAUCUCAAGCUUGGGGAUGCCCAAGGCACCCCAAGUUGAUUCAAGGAUGCCGAAAAAGUCUAAUCUUGGGGAUGCCCCGGGAAGGCAUCCCCUCUUUCGUCUUCAAUCCAUCGGUAACGUUACUUGGGGCUAUAUUUUUAUUCACCACAUGUUAUGUGUUUUGCUUGGAGCAUCUUGUAUCGUAGGAGUCUUUUAUUUUUGUUGUGUCACAAUCUUCCUUGCUGCACACCUAGAGAGAGAGACAUGCACUCACCAUGAUUUUGUCGAGCUUCACUUAUAUCCUUUGGUUAGGCAAUUCAGCUCACAUGUGUUUCACUUAUAUCUUUUGAGCUAGUUGAUUUUGCUCUAUGUGUUUCACUUCUAUCUUUUAGAGCACAAUGGUUCAUGGCUUGGUAGUUGUCUUAUGCUAUGAAAGUAGUCUCAAAGGGGGUAGUUAUCCAAAGGGAUAUGAAAACUUCCACCUUCAUGUGCAUUGAAUCGUUAGAGAAGUUUGAUUCAUCUGAAUUAGUUUUGAGUUGUGGUUGUGGUAAUAUUGAAGUUAUAUUAGUAAGGUGUUGUGGAUCUAGAAAUACUUGUGUUGAAGUUAGUGAUUCCCAUAGCAUGCACGUAUGGUGAACCGCUAUGUGAUGAAGUAUAAGCAUGAUUAGUUUAUUGAUUGUCAUCCUUUGUAUGGCGGUCGGGAUCGCGCGAUGGUUUAUACCUACCAACCCUUCCCCUAGGAGUAUGCGUUGAAUGCUUUGUCUCGAUUACUACUAAAACUUUUGCAACAAGUAUAUGAAUUCUUCAUGACUAAUAUUGAGUCCAUGGUUUAUAUGCACUUUCACCUUCCACUAUCACUAUCUUCUUUAGUGCCGUGCAACUUUCGUCGGUGCGUAAAACCCACCAUUAGCCUCCCUCAAAACAGCCACCAUAUAUACCUACCUACUAUGGCAUUUUGAAAGCCAUUCCGAGAUAUAUUGCCAUGCAACUACCACCAUGACAUGUGCCACCACUUCUACAUUGCCAUUGCAUGAUCAUAAGAUAGCUAGCAUGAUGUUUCCAUUGAUGUCUAUGCCAUGCUAGAUCAUUGUCACGGUAAACUAUCGAAGGCAUUCCUUAUAGAGUCAUCAUUGCUCUAAGUUUUGAGUUGUAAGUGUGAUGAACAUCAUUGAUGGAGCAUUGUCCCAUGUGAGGAAAUAAAAGAGGCCAGAGAAGCCCAUUUACAAAAAGAGGCCAAAGAUGCCCACAAAAAUAAAAUAUAUAUAUAUAAAAAAGAGGCCAAAGAGACCACCCAAAAAAAUGAGAGAAAAAGAGAGAAGGGACAGUGCUACUAUCUUUCCAAACUUGUGCUUAUUAAGCACCAUGAUCUUCAUGAUUGGGAGUCUCUCGUUUUGUCACCACCAUAUAGCUAGUGGGAAAUUUUAAUUAUAUAACUUGGCUUGUAUAUUCUAGUGAUAGGCUUCCUCAAAAUUGCCUUAGGUCUUCGUGAGCAAGCAAGUUGGAUGCACACCCACUAGUUUUCUUUAAGAGCUUUCACAUACUCUUAGCUCUAGUGCAUCAUUUGGAUGGCAAUCCCUACUCAUUCACGUUGAUAUCUAUUGAUGAGCAUCUCCAUAGAUCGUUGAUAUGCCUAGUCAAUGUGACCAUCUUCUCCUUGUUUGCCUUGCAACCUCCACCACACUCCAUUCCACUUAUAGUGCUAAAACCAUGGCUCACACUCAUGUAUUGCGUGAGAGUUGAAAAGGUUUGAGAAAGUAAAGGUGUGAAAACAAUUACUUGGCCAAUACCGAGGUUGUGCAUGAUUUAAAUUUGUUGUGCAAGGAUGAUAGAGCAUAGCCAGACUAUAUGAUUUUGUAGGGAUAACUUUCUUUUGGCCUUGUUAUUUUGAAAGUUCAUGAUUACCUUGCUAGUUUCCUUGAAGUAUUAUUGUCUCCACGUCAAUAGCAAACUAUUGUUUUGAAUCUAACGGAUCUGAACAUUCAUGUCACAUAAGAGGAGUUACAAAGGACAUCUAUGCUAGGUAGCAUGAAAGCAUCAAAAAUUAAUUCUUUAUCACUUCCCUACUAGAGGACGAGCAGGAGUUAAGCUUGGGGAUGCUUGAUACGUCUCAAACGUAUCUAUAAUUUUUGAUGGUUUCCUGCUGUUAUCUUGUCAACUUUGGAUGUUUUAUAUACCUUCUAUAUCUUUUUUUGGGACUAACUUAUUAAUUCAGUGCCAAGUGACAGUUCCUGUUUUUUCUAUGUUUUUGACUCUUUUCAGAUCUGAUUUUGGAACGGAGUCCAAAACGGAAUAAAAUCCCUGAAAUAAAUUUUUCCACAACAGAAGAAGAUCGGGGGACUUGAGGGCCAAGGCAGGAGGCCCACAGGGAGCCCACAAGCCGUGUGGCCGCGGCCAGGGGGGCCCGCGGCCACUAGACUUGUGGCCUCCCUGGCGCUCCCCUGCCCUAGCUCUUUGACCUAUAUAUUCCCUAAAAUCCCAGAAAAAAUCAGGGCGUCCACCAAACCACUUUUCUGCCGCCGCAAGCUUCCGUUUCCGCGAGAUCUCAUCUGGAGACCCUUCCCGGUGCCCUGCCGGAGGGGACUUUGGAGCUGGAGGGCUUCUACAUCAAUAUCAUUGCAUCUCCAAUGACUCGUGAGUAGUCCACUUCAGACCUACGGGUCCGUAGUUAGUAACUAGAUGGCUUCUUCUCUCUCUUGGACCUUCAAUACAAAGUUAUCCAUGAUCUUCAUGGAGAUCUAUCCGAUGUAAUCCUCUUGGCGGUGUGUUUGUCGAGAUCCGAUGAAUUGUGGAUUUGUGAUCAGAUUAUCUAUGAAUUAUAUUUGAGUCUUUGCUGAUUUCUUAUAUGCAUGAUUUGAUAUCCUUGUAAGUCUCUCCGAGUCUUGGGUUUUGUUUCGCCAACUAGAUCUAUGAUUCUUGCAAUGGGAGAAGUGCUUGGUUUUGGGUUCAUACCGUGCGGUGACCUUUCCCAGUGACAGAGGGGGCAGCAAGGCACGCAUCGUGUUGUUGCCAUCAAGGGUAACAAGAUGGGCUUUCAUCAUAGAUUUGAGAUUGUCCAUCUACAUCAUGUCAUCUUGCUUAAGGCGUUACUCUGUUCUUAUGAACUCAAUACACUAGAUGCAUGCUGGAUAGCAGUCGACGUGUGGAGUAAUAGUAGUAGAUGCAGAAAGUAUCGGUCUACUUGUUUUGGACGUGAUGCCUAUAGAUAUGAUCAUUGCCAUAGAUAACAUCAUGACUUUGUGCGGUUCUAUCAAUUGCUCGAUAGUAAUUCGUUCACCCACCGUCUACUUGCUUUCAUGAGAGAAGCCACUAGUGAACACUACGGCCCCCGGGUCUAUUCACAACUAUCAUCUCAGCUUUCACUUUUACUUUGCUUUGUUUACUUUUUGCUUUCAUUUCUCACUUUGCAAACAAUCUAUAAGGGAUUGACAACCCCUUCAUAGCGUUGGGUGCAAGCUCUUUGUGUUUGUGCAGGUACUUGUGACUUGACGCGAUCCUCCUACUGGAUUGAUACCUUGGUUCUGAAACUGAGGGAAAUACUUAUUACCAGUGCUACAUCACCCUUUCCUCUUCAAGGGAACACCAACGCAAGGCUCCAAGUCCGCGGGGGAAUCCUUUGCAUAUUUGCCAAGGAAAUCCAUGUAGGCGUAGCCAGCAGCAGAAGGAUUCCUGGCGCCAUUGCCGGGGAAGGUCUUUUGUUGCCGUAGCAAUCACCGUGUGCGAAGCUUUCCUGCGGGUUCAUCCGCAUUUUGGUCUCUGGCUCAAGGUCUUCGAUGUCAAGCCAAAGUCAGUUAGCAGCCAACAUGUCAACUACAACGGGGCCGUGAUAAGCAAGAUAUGCCAUGUGCCAUGGCCAGAGGGCACACUGAUCGACGCCAUCAAGAAGUGGCAGAAGGAGUGGUUCUAUAUCUCGGAACCACGAGAAGAAAACUGGGCGAUGCCCACCGAGUUCAGAUCUGGUCCCCGAGUGAGACUGGCCUCAUGGGUCGGGAAGGGCCUGGACUAGGGCUCGUCUUCAGAUGUGCAGCAGGUGCAAAAUCGCAUCAAGCAAAUGAUGGAGUCCAAUAUCCGGCUGGCCGAUGUAGUAUAGGUCAAGCUCUGCCGCCAUAUCCUUCCAUGCCAGCAUCGGGACAAUCCGAUGUGGUCUCACAAGGUCGGUGAGCCCUGGACGGUGCUCUAUUUCUACCACACCACCCAUGAAGAUCCGUGACGGGUACUGCUUCAACCGCAAUAGGAGUUGCCGACCAAGGACGAAGAUACCGGCUUGGACGACAAUACUCCCCCGACAGAGGUAUGUCUGAGCUCUUAUAUCCACUCGGAGUUUUGUUUUUAUCAAAGGUCUUACUAUCCUUUUUCUUUCGCAUGAGUGGUUGGAACUGGCCAAGAACAUAGAAGGCCGAGCUCCCCUGCUCGAGGAACCCUCGACUCUUCUGUUGGCGCUGAUAUUAGUAGACUUGCCAUACGUGGCGUCCAACAACAACAAGAAGGAGACCAGCGGGGGUCUUCGUUCGAGGCGUCCUCCGAAUACAAAAUCCGAGGAUACCCAUGCCUCCUCCACCCACGAGGGGGAGGAGGUAGAUGAGGAGGAGGAGAAAGAUUCUCUUCAGGAGAGGAAGAGGAAGGCGCCGGAGGGGGGCGAGGAAGAACUACCUCCUCGGGCUCUGAAGAAACUUUGCAGGCACAAGGUAGCCCUUCUCGGUGCACACCCGAACCCCGACAAAGAGGUCGGGGCCUACGAAGCAGCUCCUUGCCGAACACUUAGGGUCAAACCCCCGGCCUGAAGGUAUGGACUAUAUUCCCUAAUUUAAUAGAGUUAUACCAAUUUUUAUCAACAAUGAGAACCGAGCUUUUUCCUAUCACACCCCCGUCCGAGAUCUUCCGACAAAUCGAGUAUCGGAGGGGGAUUUGCUGCCCGCUUAGCUGGCCGAGAGUGGGAACGCUUCCCACAACACCCCUCCCCGGACCUCGGACGAUCUAGCCGAGGUGACGUCACAUCUAGCCCUUGCGACCACUACCAAGGCGGUGAUCAUUGAGGCGGAUACAUCGGGCACCAAGGAUUGGGAGGCCCCGGCCGAAGAAGAGGCACCAGCCUCCGAGGACCGAGAGGUUCGAGCUCGUGUUAAUACACCAGUCGUCGAGGACCAGAAGAUUUUGACUGAGGUACAUACCUCGGUCAUUCAGACUCAGGGGGCAGGUUCCUUCUCCGUAGGCUGGGAAAGGAACUCAAUUCCCUCUGAGCAUUACCCGGAGACAACCUCCGGGGGACCUGAUGUUCCGGCCUCUUCCGGGCCGCCCCCGGUGCCGCCCACACAAAAGAAGUUAUGGAUGGGUGGCCGACCAUAAUGGAGGUGUCACACCCUGUUUUCACUACCACUUUUUCUGUAAUUCAAAAAUCUGAGUUUAUUAAAACUUUUUCAAACUAAUGUUGUGAGUGCCAUGAUUGUCAUUGUAUGCUUGUAUGCUUGAUCAUGUGAUGAUAAAAAACACAUUUCUCAAGAUCAAAUUAUUUUCAAAACCCUUUUCUUAUUUCUGGUUAAAGUAAAAACCCUGCUUUGAGUUGCACUACAUGCCCUUGAUGGCAAGGAGUGUUCUCACCCGAAGUUGAUGAUCUGAAUCUAGCACCAUUUUAGCGCACCAAAACCACAAAAUAAUUAUUUUGUGAAUUAUUUUUCUAAUUUAUUUGCAUGUCCAUUUCUUAGGCUAGAAAUGGUAUUCCUAUAUGGGAAAAUACUUUUCUACCUUAGAAAAAUCUGAUUAAAUUUGGAGAUGAUCAAAAGGACAUAUAUUUUCCAUACAUAAGAUUUUUAACCCCUAUUUAUAUUAAUAUUAUUUGAGUAAAACGUUGAAACCCAUAUCUGUCUGUUUGGACCUUUUGAAAUAUUUCCAAAGGAAAUAUUCUCAAUAAAAUCCUAGAAAAUUCCAGUGGUAUCCCUAAGCCAUAUUUGGUGUCCACAUAAAGUUUCACCUUGAUCCAACGUGAUUAAGGACACCAAAUAACAGCAAAACCCCUUUUGUCCAGAUUGGAGUUAGAGCAACUCUACAUAGCAAAGUUUGUCCAAUGGAGUUGAAACUUUGCAGGAGUGCCUAAUACCUCAAAUGAGGGUUCCAUACCAAAAAUGGGAUUUGUGGGACUUAAUUUGCCCACACUCUCUUUGGAAGGAACAGAUCUGGUCAAAUGGUGAAGUUUUCAAGUGUACAUAGCUAAACAUGUCCAAUGGAGCUCAAACUUGGUGAAACCCCAUGUUUUAGCACCAAACCCAAUCAUGUUAAGUUGCAGAACCACUGGUGUGGUGCAACCACCCCAAACCACUGUCGAGCACCUUCUGACAGAUGGGUAAAAGCCCCUCUAACCUUAGCUAAACCCCAACCCUUUUUCCCAAACUCUCAGAUUAGGUGGCCAAUAUUAAUGCCCAGCCCCAAUCAACUGGCCCCUCUCUCGUUCAAAGUAGAAAUGACAAAAUCCCCAUUCUAAGCUUCAGCUCAAGGCUGACAGCACCUGUUUCUCUUGUCUCCCUUGACCAGCCGAAGCUCACACGGGACUUCAAUGGCUAGCCACAUCCCAACUAGUGCCCAGGACAUGCUAGACACGUCCAAAGCACCCCAGAGCGCACCAGCGUGUCAUGGCAUGCCAAAACUGCGCUCUAGGCGUGCUACAGAGAACACUAAGGUGGGGGUGACGCUCUCGAUCAGUUCCAGCCUCCCCCGAGGUGUCUGAUACGUCUCCAACGUAUCUAUAAUUUUUGAUGGCUUCAUGCUAUUAUCUUGUCAAACUUUGGAUGUUUUGCAUGCCUUUUAUAUAUUUUUUGGGACUAACUUAUUAACUCAGUGCCAAGUGUCAAUUCCAGUUUUUCCGUGUUUUUGACCCCUUUCAGAGGAGGUUUAAUGAAACGGAGUCCAAACAGAAGACAAUCCUCGAAAAGAUUUUUUCUGGAACGGAAGAAGAUCGGGAAGCUUGGGAGCCAAGGCAGGGGAGCCUCAGGGGCCCCACAAGCCCCCACCUCGUGGCCAGGGGGGAGGUCGCGCCAUCCAGGCUUGUCGCCCCCAUGAGUGCACCCUGACCUAGGGGUUGCGCCUAUAAAUUCCCUAAAAAUCCCAAAAAAAUGAGGAGAUCAUCGAAAGUACUUUUCCGCCGCCGCAAGCUUCUGUCUCCGCAAGAUCCCAUCUGGGGCACGUCCUGGUGCCCAGCCGGAGGGGGGAUUCGGACACGGAGGGCUUCUUCAUCAACACCAUGACCUCUCCGAUGAUGCGUGAGUAGUUCACCAUAGACCUAAGGGUCAAUAGCUAGUAACUAGAUGGCUUCUUCUCUCUCUUGGAUGUUCAAUACAAAGUUCUCCAUGAUCUUCAUGGAGAUCUAUCCGAUAUAAUCUUCUUUGCGGUGUGAUUGUCGAGAUCCGAUGAAUUGUGGAUUUAUGAUCAGAUUAUCUAUGAAUCUUAUUUGAGUUUCUUCUGAUCUCUCUUAUGCAUGAUUUCAUAUCCUUGUAAUUCUCUUCGAGUUGUGGGUUUUGUUUGGCCAACUAGAUCUAUGAUUCUUGCAAUGGGAGAAGUGCUUGGUUUUGGGUUAAUACCGUGCGGUGACCUCACCCAGUGACAGAAGGGGUAGCGAGGCACGCAUCGUGUUGUUGCCAUCAAGGGUAAAAAGAUGGGGUUUUCAUCAUUGGUUUGAGAUUAUCCCUCUACAUCAUGUCAUCUUGCUUAAGGCGUUACUCUGUUCGUCAUGAACUCAAUACACUAGAUGUAUGCUGGAUAGCAGACGAUGUGUGGAGUAAUAGUAGUAGAUGCAGAAAGUAUCGGUCUACUUGUCUCAGACGUGAUGCCUAUAUGUAUGACCAUUGCCUUAGAUAUUGUCAUGACUUUGCGCGGUUCUAUCAAUUUCUCGACAGUAAUUUGUUCACCCACCGUGAUAUUUGCUAUUAUGAGAGAAGCCUCUAGUGAACACUAUGGCCCCCAGGGUCUACUCCAAACCAUAUUUUCAGCCUUGCACUUUUUACUUCGUUGCACUUUCCGCCUUCAGAUCUCACUUUGCAAACAAUCUUGAAGGGAUUGACAACCCCUUUGAAGCGUUGGGUGCAAGCUUGUUUGUGUUUGUGCAGGUACUCUGGACUUGACGAGGCCCUCCUUCUGGAUUGAUACCUUGGUUCUCAAACUGAGGGAAAUACUUACAGCUCCUGUGCUGCAUCACCCUUUCCUCUUCAAGGGAAAAACCGACGCAAACCAAAGAAGUAACAAGAAGAAUUCCUAAGCGCCAAGGAAGGACUUUUGUUGCCGCAGCAGAAGAAUUUCUGGCUCCGUUGCCGGGAAGGAAGAUCAAGUCAAGAACUCAUCCAAGUAGGUGUCGCAAACUCAUCUCUUGCAUUUACUUUGUUUGCCAGUUGCCUCUCGUUUUCCUCUCCCCCACUUCACCAAUUUGCCUUUUUUGUUUGUCUUUUUCGUUCGCCUUUUUUCUCGCCUCCUCUUUGUUUGCUUGUGUGCUUGCUUGCUUUCUGAAGUUACCAUGAAUGAAAACACCAAACUUUGUGACUUCUCGAAUACAAAUAAUAAUGAUUUUGUUAGUACUCCGAUUGCUCCCGCCACUCGUGCGGAGUUAUACGAAAUCAAUAUCGCUUUGCUGAAUCUUGUUAUGAAAGAGCAAUUCUCUGGCCUUCCUAGUGAAGAUGUCGCAUCCCAUCUCAAUACCUUCAUUGAGCUUUGUGAUAUGCAAAAGAAAAAAUAUGUGGAUAAUGACGUGAUUAAAUUGAAGCUUUUUCCUUUCUCGUUGCGAGAUCGCGCAAAAACUUGGUUUUCUUCUUUCCCCAAACAUAGUAUCGAUUCUUGGGAUAAGUGCAAAGAUGCUUAUAUAUCCAAGUAUUUUACGCCGCCUAAGAUCAUCUCUCUCCGUAAUGAUAUCAUGAAUUUCAAGCAACUUGAUCAUGAACAUGUUGCACAAUCUUGGUAGAGAAUGAAAUUAAUGAUUAGAAAUUGUCCCGCUCAUGGCUUGAGUCUUUGGAUGAUUAUUCAAAUCUUUUACGCUGGCUUGAAUUUCGCUUCUAGAAAUAUCUUGGAACGUUCAUGGAAACCACGUUAGGUGAAGCCACAAAGCUCUUUGACAACAUCAUGACAAACUACUCUCAAUGGCACACUGAAAUGUCACCUACUAGUAAGAAGGUACACGCUAUAGAAUAAAGUAGCUCGUUGAGUGCUAAGAUGGAUGAGUUAAUGAAUUUGGUUGCUAGUAGAAGUGCUCCUUUGGAUCCUAAUGAUAUUCCAUUGUCUUCUUUGAUUGAGAGUAGCAACGCUAGCUUGGACGUUAAUUUUGUUGGUCGGAAUAACUUUGGCAACAACAAUGCUUUUAGAGGAAACUAUGUUCCUAGGCAUUUUCCUAGUAACUCCUCUAAUAACUUUGGCAACUCCUACAACAAUACUUAUGGAAAUUAUAAUAUAUUACCCUCUGAUCUAGAGAGUAAUAUCAAAGAGUUCAUCAACUGUCAAAAGAUUUUCAAUGCAUCCAUAGAGGAAAAGCUACUCAAAAUGGACGAUUUGGCUAAGAGCGUUGAUAGAAUGUCCUGUGAUGUUGAUGCUUUGAAAGUUAGAUGUGCUCCUCCCAAAAUCAACAUGGAUAAAACUUUGAAAGCUAUGCAUGUUUCCAUGAUUGAGAGCCAAGAAAGAACCGCCCAAAUUUGUGCUAGACAUGAAUGGCUUAAAAAGGCAUGUUCUCCUAAUGAGAAUCACGAAGAUCUUAAAGUGCUUGGUGUGACUCCCAUUGAAUCUUUGUUUUCUUGUGUCAAACCUAAUGAUUAUUGGGCUGGAUAUGAAUCCACUUUGGUUGAAAAGUGCCCCAAUGAUUCGGAAUCCAUCUAUCUUGAUGUUAAAAGCAUUAAACAUGGAGUAGAAGAUGUUAAAACUUUGAGUAGUAAUGAAAUUACUACCGUGGAUUUCAAGGAAUUCAAUUAUGAUAGUUGCUCCUUGAUUGAAUGCAUUUCUUUGAUGCAAUCCAUGUUGAACUCUCCACACGCUUAUAGCCAAAACAAGGCUUUACCGAUCAUAUCAUCGAAGCUAUGAUAAAAUCUCUUGAAGAUAAACUUGAAUUGGAAGUCUCUAUCCCUAUAAAGCUUCAUGAUGAGUGGGAACCUACCAUCAAAAUCAAAAUCAAAAAUUAUGAGUGCAAUGCUUUGUGUGAUUUGGGUUCUAGUGUUUCUGCGAUUCCAAAGUCUUUAUGUGAUGUUCUGGGUUUUAAUGAGAUUGAAGAGUGUUCUCUUAAUUUGCAUCUUGCUGAUUCUACUGUCAAGAAACCCAUGGGAAGGAUCAGUGAUGUUCUUAUUAUUGCAAAUAGGAACUAUGUACCCGUGGAUUUCAUUGUGCUUGACAUUGAUUGCAAUCCUACAUGCCCCAUUAUUCUUGGUAGACCUUUCAUUAGGACUAUCGGUGCUAUCAUCGAUAUGAAGGAAGGGAAUAUUAGAUUUCAAUUUCCUUUAAGGAAGGGCAUGGAACACUUUCCUAGAAAUAAAAUAAGAUUGCCUUAUGAAUCCAUGAUGAGGGCCACUUAUGGUUUGAGCACCAAAGACGACGAUACGUGAUUCUAUCGCUUCUAUGCCUAGCUAAGGGCGUUAAACAAUAGCGCUUGUUGGGAGGCAACCCAAUGAAUUUAUGUUUUUCUUUUUGUUUUGUUGCGUCCACACUUUCAUAAUUAUGGUGUGAUUGUGUUUUUUGUGUUUAUUUUUGUGUUUGACCCAAGCAAAGCCUUUAUGACUAUUAUUGGUAAUGGUUGUUCGAUCCUGCUAGAAAAAGACAGAAACUUUUCGCUCACGAGAUGAUUUUUCAUUUUUAUUCAGAAAGAGAUUUUGAGUUGAUUCGUUUUCCUGCUGAUUGAUAUGCUUUUUUCCCAUGCCGUCGUAAUGUUUCAGAUUUUUUUAGGUACCAGAAGUAUACGAAGUAUACAGAUUGCUACAGACUGAUCUGUUUUUGACAUUCUGUUUUUGUUGAGUUGGUUGCUUGUUUUGAUGAAACUAUGGUUCGUAUCGGGGGGUACUAGCAAUGGAAAAGUGAGAAUACAUUAUCCCAUAAUCAAUAUAGAUAUAAUUCAAGUUUUCUACAGUACCAAAAGAAGUGGUAGUUUAUUUUCUUGUACUAAUGUUAUCACAAGUUUCUGUUUAAGUUUUGUGUUGUGAAGUUUUCAAGUUUUGGGUGAUGUUCUCAUGGACAAAGAGAUAAGGAGUGGAAAGAGCUCAAGCUUGGGGAUGCCCAAGGCAUCCCAAGACAAAUUCAAGGACACCAAAAAGCCUAAGCUUGGGGAUGCCCAAGGCAUCCCAAGCCAAAUUCAAGGACACCAAAAACCCUAAGCUUGGGGAUGCCCCGGGAAGGCAUCCCCUCUUUCGUCUUCAAUCCAUCGGUAACAUUACUUGGUGCUAUAUUUUUAUUCACCACAUGAUAUUUGUUUUUUGCUUUGGACAUCUUGUAUCGUAGGAGUCUUUUCCUUUUGUUGUGUCACAAUCAUCCUUGCUGCACACCUUUUUGAGAGAGAGAGAGACAUGCACUCAUCGUGAUUUUUGCUAGAAUGCUCAUAGUGCUUCACUUAUAUCUUUUGAGCUAGAUACUUUUGCUCAUAGUGCUUCACUUAUAUAUUUUGAGCUAGAUACUUUUGCUCUACGUGCUUCACUUAUAUCUUUUAGAGCACGGCGGUGCGUGAUUUGGUAGUUGGCUUAUGCUAUGAAAGUAGUCCCAAAAGUGAUAGAUACCCAAAGAGGAUGCAAAAACCUCCAUCUUCAUGUGCAUUGAGUAGAAAGAGAAGUUUUGAUUCCUCUCAAAUAGUUUUGAGACAUGGGUUUGGUAAUAUUAAGAGUUAUGUUAGUAGGGUGUUGUGAAUCUAGAAAUACUUGUGUUGAAGUUGAUUCCCGUAGCAUGCACAUAUGGUGAACCGCUAUGUUAGGAAGUCGGAGCAUAAUUGAUCUAUUGAUUGUCAUCCUUUGUGUUGAGGUCGGGAUCGCGCGAUGGUUUACACCUACCAACCCUUCCCCUCGGAGUAUGCUUUCGCACUUUGUUUCGAUUACUAAUAAAAACUUAUGCAACAAGUAUGUGAGUUCUUCAUGACUAAUGUGAGCCCAUGGUAUAGAUGCACCUUCACCUUCCACCAUUGCUAGCCUCUCUAGUGCCGCGCAAUUCUUGCCGGUGCACAAACCCACCAAAUUCCUUCCUCAAAACAGCCACCAUAUCUACCUACUAUGGCAUUUUCAUAGCCAUUCCAAGAUAUAUUGCCAUGCAACUCCCACCGUUCCGUCUCGUGACUUGUGCAGUCACUCUCAUAUUGCCAUUGCAUGAUCGCAAGAUAGCUAGCGAGAUGUUUCAACGUCAUAUGCCAUGCUAGAUCGUUGCACAUCCCGGUACACUACCGGAGGCAUUUCCUAUGGAGUCAUCAUCAUUGUGAUCUUUGAGCUGUGAGUAAAUAAAAGUGUUAUGAUCAUCAUUAUUAGAGCAUUGUCCCAUGUGAGGAAAUAAAAAAAUAAAAAAAGAGGCCAAAGAGCCCAAAAAUAAAAAUAAUAAAGAGAAAAGAAAAGAAAAGAAAAAAAGAGGCCUAAGAGCCCAAAUGAAAAAAAAAGGGAACAAUGCUACUAUCUUUUUCCACAGUUGUGCUUCAUGAUAGCACCAUGUUCUUCAUGAUUGAGAGCUUCUUGCUUGGUCACUACCAUAUGCUAGUGGGAAUCUUCAUUAAAUAACUUGGCUUGUAUAUUCCAAUGAUGGGCUUCCUCAAAAUUGCCCUAGGUCUUCGUGAGCAAGCAAGUUGGAUGCACAACCACUAGUUUUCCUUUUGAGCUUUCACAUACUUAUAGCUCUAGUGAAUCCUUUGUAUGGCAAUCCCUACUCAUUCACAUUGAUAUUUAUUAAUGGGCAUCUCCAUAGCCUAUUGAUACACCGAGUCAAUGUGACCACCUCCUCCUUUUUGUCUCACAACCACCACCACACUCUAUUCCACCUAUAGUGCUAUAUCCAUGGCUCGCGCACAUGUAUUGUGUGAUAGUUAUAAAAAGUUUGAGAAAGUAAGAGUGUGAAAACAAUUACUUGGCCAAUAUCGGGGUUGUGCAUGAUUUACAUUAGUUGUGUGAGGAUGAUGGAGCAUAGCGAGACUAUAUGAUUUUGUAGGGAUAACUUUCUUUGCCCUUGUUAUUUUGAAAGUUCAUGAUUACUUUGCUAGUUUGCUUGAAGUAUUACUGUUUCCAUGUCAAUAGAAAACUAUUGUUUUGAAUCUUACGGAUCUGAACAUUCAUGCCACGUGAAAGAAGUUGCAAAGGAAAACUAUGCUAGGUAGCAUUCCACGUCAAAAAUUCAUUCUUUAUCACUUCCCUACUCGAGGACGAGCAGGAGUUAAGCUUGGGGAUGCUUGAUACGUCUCCAACGUAUCUACAAUUUUUUAUGGUUUCAUGCUAUUAUCUUGUCAAACUUUGGAUGUUUUGCAUGCCUUUUAUAUAUUUUUUGGGACUAACUUAUUAACUCAGUGCCAAGUGCCAGUUCCUAUUUUUCCAUGUUUUUUACCCCUUUCAGAGGAGAUUUUCAAAGGAGUCCAAACGGAAGAAAAUCCCCGAAAAAAAAAAAUCUAGAACAGAAGAAGAUCGGGAAGCUUGGGAGCCAAGGUAGGGGAGCCUCAGGGGCCCCACAAGCCCCCACCCCGCGGCCAGGGGGAGGCCGCGCCAUCCAGGCUUGUGGGCCCCCUGAGCGCCCCCUGACCUAGGGGUUGCGCCUAUAAAUUCCCUAAAAAUCCCAAAAAAAUCAGGAGAUCAUCGAAAGUACUUAUCCGCCGCCGCAGGCGUAUGUCUCCGCAAGAUCCCAUCUGGGGCACGUCCUGGUGCCCUGUCGGAGGGGGGAUUUGGACACGGAGGGCUUCUUCAUAAACACCAUGACUUCUCCGAUGAUGCAUGAGUAGUUCACCAUAGACCUACGGGUCCAUAGCUAGUAACUAGAUGGCUUCUUCUCUCUCUUGGAUCUUCAAUACAAAGUUCUCCAUGAUAUUCAUGGAGAUCUAUCCCAUGUAAUCUUCUUUUGCGGUGUGUUUGUCGAGAUCCGAUGAAUUGUGGAUUUAUGAUCAGAUUAUCUAUGAAUCUUAUUUGAGUUUCUUCGGAUCUCUCUUAUGCAUGAUUUCACAUCCUUGUAAUUCUCUUCGAGUUGUGGGUUCUGUUUGGCCAACUAGAUCUAUGAUUCUUGCAAUGGGAGAAGUGCUUGGUUUUGGGUUCAUACCGUGCGGUGACCUCACCCAGUGACAGAAGGGGUAGCGAGGCACGCAUCGUGUUGUUGCCAUCAAUGGUAAAAAUAUGGGGUUUUCAUCAUUGGUUUGAGAUUAUCCCUCUACAUCAUGUCAUCUUGCUUAAGGCGUUACUCUGUUCGUCAUGAACUCAAUACACUAGAUGCAUGCUGGAUAGCGGACGAUGUGUGGAGUAAUAGUAGUAGAUGUAGAAAGUAUCGGUCUACUUGUCUCGGACGUGAUGCCUAUAUGUAUGAUCAUUGCCUUAGAUAUCGUCAUGACUUUUUGCGGUUCUAUCAAUUGCUAGUAAUUUGUUCACCCACCAUGAUAUUUUCUAUUAUGAGAGAAGCCUCUAGUGAACACUAUGGGCCCGAGGGUCUACUCCACACCAUGUUUUGAGCCUUACACUUUUUACUUCAUUGCACUUUCCGCCUUCAGAUCUCACUUUGCAAACAAUCUUGAAGGGAUUGACAACCCCUUUGAAGCAUUGGGUGCAAGCUUGUUUGUGUUUGCGCACGUACUCUCGACUUGACGAGGCCCUCCUUCUGGAUCGAUACCUUGGUUCUCAAACUGAGGGAAAUACUUACUGCUCCUGUGCUGCAUCACCCUUUCCACUUCAAGGGAAAAACCGACGCAAACCAGAGAAGUAACAAGAAGAAUUCCUAAGCGCCAAGGAAGGACUUUUGUUGCCGCAGCAGUGUCCAAAACCACGUCCUACGACCGUGGUUUCGACCUCACCUCCACUCUGCACCCCCAUGCGCGCCACGGUGAGUCACCGGCGCUCCCGAAUCGGCUCACUAUCGCGGGCCUAUAUAUAGCCCUCCCCCUCGCUCGUGCACCCCUCAGAUAGCAUCGCAACAACCUCUAGCACCUCCCUAGCCACCCGAGCAAGCCAGCUGAGCCCCGGUGCUUGAGAUCGACCGAGGCCCCUCCGCCUCGGAGCUCCGGUCGAUCUCCGGCUACACGUCGGCUCUUGCCCCCUCUGCCCACCAAACCACUCCCCGUGACACCAGGGAUCUUUCCCCCAUCUUUCCCAAGCUAAUCCGUGACCCUAGCUACCACCUCCACCUUCACCCAAAACUCCUCCAUCGCGGCUUCCUCGUCGCCGGUGAACCUGAGCCUCUCUGCCGUUGUCUCGACCACCAUCACGUAGGCGACCACGAGCCGGACACAUUUCCGUCUUUGUUGGGGCCCGAGGGCGUCGGUAGCCACGCCGACGUGCUCCUCCUCUCUGGCCAGAGGUAGGAGACAACCCCGACAGGUGUGCCCCACCUGUUGGUGGCCCAUCUCUCUCUCCCUCGCUGCCCGCAGUCGCUGACAGCAGGGCCCACGCGUCAUGUCGAAACGUGACGGCGCGCGCGCCUGGGCAGGCUAGCUGGCUGGCCUUUGGGCCGGCCCAGUCCCAGGCCAAGCUAGGCCAGGGUAUGUAGCCCUUUUUCUUUUAUUAUAAAACUUGAUUUUUCAAAGAUUUUCAUAAAAAGAUUUAACCGGUGUAAAAAUAUGAUUUUUCCACUAUUAUUCUUCUAAAAUGUGUAGUAUUUAAUAGAAUCAUUGGAUGAAUUUUUGCAGCAACUAUUCUAUUUUAUAAUAAUAAAAAGUAUUAAUUUGGAAUAGUUUUCUUCUGUUCGGUUGAUUUUAAAAAUAUUCCUUCAUUAUAAAUAGAAGCAAACAUUUUUUAAAUAACAACCUAGAUUUAUCGAAAAUAACCAACAUUUUUAGAAUGACUUUGUGAUUUGUUUGAGAGUGAGCUACUUAUUAUUUUAUCUUUAUACGACGAUAGAAAACCCGUGUGACGAAGGAAUCAGAGCGGAAGACCUCGAAGACCCCGGAUACCUAGCUGACCAAGGCAAGCAGCCCUUUGACCAUGACUGAGCAUAUGUUAUAUUGCAUGCUAGUGUAGCAAAUAUUUUCGUUGCAUAUGACCAUAAGUGUAGGUAAAAUCAUUGAAGUGAUGUUACCGAUGUGAAAAGGACGUGGAUGUCGCCUAGAGGGGGGGUGAAUAGGCACUUUAAAAUAGUUAAGGUUUAGGCUAGAACAAAUGCGAAAUAAAACUAACGUUUAAUAUGUCAAGCACAAAACCUACAAACAACUAGGCUCACCUAUGUGCACCAACAACUUAUGCUAAGCAAGAUAAACAACUAAGUGAUAGCAAGAUAUAUUACAAUAAACAAUAUGUCUAUCACAAAGUAAAGUGCAUAAGUAAAGGGUUCGGGUAAGAGAUAACCGAGGCACGGGGAGACGAUGAUGUAUCCCGAAGUUCACACCCUUGCGGAUGCUAAUCUCCGUUAGAGCGGUGUGGAGGCACAAUGCUCCCCAAGAUGCCACUAAGGCCACCGUAAUCUCCUCACGCCCUCGCACAAUGCAAGAUGCCGUGAUUCCACUAACGGACCCUUGAGGGCGGUCACCGAACCCGUACAAAUGGCAACCCUUGGGGGCGGUCACCGAACCCGUACACGUGGCAACCCUUGCGGGCGGUUACCGGUACCCGUACAAAUUGCUCGGGGCAAUCUCCACAACCUAAUUGGAGACCCCGACGCUUCCCGGAGCUUCACACCACAAUCAUUGAGCUCUGAGACACCACCAAGAUUCUAGGACGCCAAAGCAUCCACGAAGAACAAUAUCAAGGGUACUAAGUACCAAAGGUAGUAAGCUUCUCAACUUCUCACUUCCACGUAUCACCGUGGAGAACUCAAACCGAUGCAACUAAUGCAAUGGCAAGAACACACGAAGUGGUCAAGUCCCUCACACUCAAAUCCCUCCACAACAACAAAAGCUAUGGAGAAAUACGAGAGGAAGAACAAGGAGCUCACAAAGAACUCCAAGAUCAAGAUCCAAGGGGUUCCCCUCACAUAGAGGAGAAAGUGAUUGGUGGAGAUGUGGAUCUAGAUCUCCUCUCUCUUUUCCCUCAAGAACAAGCAAGAAUCAUUGGAGGGAUUGAGAGUAAUCAAGCUCUAAGAAUGUCAACAAUGGAGGUAGAACAAGAGCUCAACAGAUGGAUAAGACCAAGGGGGAAGAAGACCCCCUUUAUAUAGUGGGGGAAAGAAUCAGACCGUUACCCCCACUCUCUGCCCGAGCUCCAGCGGUACUACCGUUGGCUGCGGCGGUACUACCGCUGGCACUCCAGCGGUACUACCGCUGUCACUCCAGCGGUACUACCGCUGGCCCCAGCGAUACUACCGUUGGGCCCCUGGUACUGCAAAGGCACUACCACCGCCAAGAAAGUCUUCGCAAAAAGGUCCGUCCACGCACAACCGCUAGGCAGGCGGUACUAAGCUCCUGGAGCGGUACUACCAAAGAUAUGAAUAUGCCAAAGAUAUAGAGAUGUGAGAUCUCUAUGAAUGAAGAACCGGCAAAAACUCCAACAUCGAAAACAUCAUAGUAGAUGCAUAUGGACUCCGUUUUCGAUGAACUCGAGCUUGUCACGAAGAUGACCAUAAGCUCUAAAACUCACAAAGAGAAACACCAAACAAGAACCAAGAAGUAUGAUGCAAGGAUGCAAAUGGUUUGACUCUCAACGAACGAUACGAUCAAGCUACUCACUUGAGAGCCCCCCUUGAUAGAACAGCAAUCUAUCCUAACCAGAAAACCUAUCAAGGGAAAACCUAUACCUUGCACCUCGUCCUCUUGAGCUAGAUGAUGAUGAUCUUGGCUUCCUCAAGAUGGACCACCUUUCUUGAUUGUGUUGGCUUGAUGAAGACUAGUUGAUUGCUCCCCCAUACUCACUAUGGGUGAGCCACUCUUCAGCAUAUCUUCACAAGUCCAUUGCCACCACAAUGGACGGCAAGCUUCAAGCAUGCUAUCUUCGUGCUGAUCCACUUGAACUUGCACAUCGCAAUCUUGAUGACGAUCACAACUUGACGUCAUACUCCAUGGGUUGUAUGAGAUCUUCCCUUUGACGCAAGCCCAUGGAAACACACCUAACCCCCACAUAGAACUCUCACAAAGACCAUGGGUUAGUACACAAACACGUAAUGGACAAUGCUUACCAUACCAUGGGAUCACUUGAUCCCUCUCGGUACAUCUUGUAUGCUUUGUGUGUUGAUCAUCUUGAUUUACUCUUUGUCUGAGAUCUUGAUCAACCAUUGAUGAUGAUCACAACUUGAUGUCAUACUCCAUGGGUUGUAUGAGAUCUUCCCUUUGACGCAAGCCCAUGUAAACACACCUAACCCCCACAUAGAACUCUCACGAAGACGAUGGGUUAGUACACAAACACGUAAUGGACAAUGCUUACCAUACCAUGGGAUCACUUGAUCCCUCUCGGUACAUCUUGUACGCUUUGUGUGUUGAUCAUCUUGAUUUACUCUUUGUCUGAGAUCUCGAUCAACCAUGUGUCUCUAUGACCAUUCUUUGGAUAAUACCUUGAAUACCAUCUUGGUCAUCAUAUAAACUCCUUGAACCCAACAGAUGGACUUCAAGAAGUGCCUAUGGACAAAUCCAUACCAUGGGAUCACUUGAUCCCUCUCGGUACAUCUUGUACGCUUUGUGUGUUGAUCAUCUUGAUUUACUCUUUGUCUGAGAUCUUGAUCAACCAUGUGUCUCUAUGACCAUUCUUCGGAUAAUACCUUGAAUACCAUCUUGGUCAUCAUAUAAACUCCUUGAACCCAACAGAUGGACUUCAAGAAGUGCCUAUGGACAAAUCCUAUAAAUGUAACUUAAGGCAACCAUUAGUCCAUAGGAAUUGUCAUCAAGUACCAAAACCACAUAUGGAGAUAUAUGCUCCAACACGAUGGCUCCUACGGAGUACAUGCAUUGAGCUUGAUCCUACCACCUAUGAGGGUCAUGCUAGUAUCAUGUUGACAAGUAAAGUUAGAGUAGUAUUAGCAUGAGCAUGUUGAUGGUAUAAAUCAAAGGUUUAUGAAAACCCCGUCGGGUGCCACUAAUGCCCGAGGGUGAUGAUGAGUUAGGUGGCCACUUGUGGUGAAGUGGUGCACCGGGUAUUUGUGUGAGUAUGGUUUUGGAAAUGGAAAUAGAUUUAUGAUGUGUCGACCGUCCCAACCUUACAUGUACGACCACGUUACCCCUUUAUGGGAUGGGGUUGUGUUGAUUACUCUGGCCGGUGCUAGCAAAGAGCCACAUUACUAGUGGCGGGAGUGAUGUGUGGUCACUCUCGUGAUGGGGUCGUGCCAGGUAGGGCGACUAUGCCGUUUUUACGUGUUCCAGGCACACCGUUGGUCCCCGCAUGGUUGAUACUGUCCAAAGUCGGUGCUCGUAAGACGUACAACAUGUGGGCUGGGUACCAAUCGAGUGGACCUCUUUGUCUAGUAUCGUCAGGGGAAAGGCAUUAAUCGGGUACUUACCUCGGGUAUGUUAUAUACCACAAGUCGUGGAUGACACGGAAGUUUCCCGGAUCUCGUGGGUCCAACGUACUACCCCUGCAGAGUGUAAAACUAUUCGAAUGGCCGUGUCCACAGUCAAGGACAAUUGGGUAAUCCUGCUUAAACUACGUCCAGUCGUUUCCGCAUAAACCAAGUGUGUGUGCAUAUUUGUUAAAUGGUGUUUAUAUGAAAGAGUUGAUAUGACCAAGUUUGGUGACUUGGCAUAUAGGGUGAACCCAGAUGGUUCAGCCCGUGGUAGAUAUAUUGAUAUCUGUAACCUGUUCUUCAAAAGUAGUUUACUUAUGAUGCAUAUCUAUGAUCAUUUUAUUUACCACCAAGAGAUAUCCACCAAAUAAGCAUGUUAUUGUUAUCCUUCCCUUGCAUUGUUCAUAUCAUGGGCUGUUUGCGAAUACAUUCAAAAGUACUCAUUGGCUUGCCACUGGUUAUAUUAUUGACUAGACAUGGAAGGACCGGAGUUUGGAGAUGAGUACGCCUUCGGAGAUGCCCCUUCGAACUAGGACGCUUCCUAGUCAGAAUGCCUGUUGGUGUAGGCUGAUGGCAUGGGCACCCGCUUAGCCCUAAGAUUUCUGCUACUAGUUGUAUCAGUGUGAUUUGGCCUUAUAGGCCCUACCUUGUGAACUUGACCAUUCGGUCACGUGAUGUAAUAAUUCGGUACUUGGAUGAAAGACUCUUAAUAUUCAGUAUUUGUGUGUUCAGUGAUCUCUGGGAUCACUGAGCACGUUCAUUCGGCAAUCUCGACUCAUAAGUCGGGGUCCCCACAGGAGGAUGCCUUGACCGGCUCCUCUAUAGCCGAAGAACAUUGCACCCUUAUGGAUGUGGUCUUAAAAAGUAUUCAGUUUGUCAACAAGAGACUGAACGAAGCCUUCAACGGCUCGCUGACGAGCUUUAAGGUAAGCCAUGUAACAUUUCAGGUUUUAUUUUGCAAAGUUAUAUAUAUGCUUUUAUCGGUAUAACAGCCCACGGGCCAUGGGUUAUUUGGAAAGAAAAACUCACACGUGGCUCAAAACCAAUUUGUGGGACAAAUGAAAAAUAGCCCAGAGACUUGUUUAAACUGUUUGUUUGAGAAUUUUGUCUGAGCAAUGUCCGCCUUGAUAAUUCGGAACCGGACUAACAUGUUGUAUUUACCUUGCAGGUUUCGGCCUCGACUGUCAAUACGAGUGCAUUGGAGAUAGCCGAGUUGAACCGGAAACUCAAAGUUUCCGAUGAAGAGCUUGACCGCAUAAAUGAUCGGCUCAACGAGAAGCAGAGUAAGCUGGGUCAAGAGAUUCAUACCGUCCUUGAGAAAUUUUAAGGAGUGUCCUCACCGUGUUAGUUGACUCUUUAUAUUCUAACUUUGUUAGCAGCCCAAGACCAAGAGCUUGAGAAGCUCGGAGCCGAGGUGGAGAAAGCCAAACGAGAGGUUGUUGUCCACAAGGUGGCAGCCAAACAAUCGGGUGUAGAGUUGGACGCCAUCAAGGUCGUCAGCAGCAAACAUGAGGCCAGGGUGACGGAGAACCAACAUGAGCUGCAAGAGGCGAGCUUGAAGUGUGAGGCCUUGGAGCAGAAAGCUCAAGAGUAUGUGCCCGAUCACACCAAACUGUCUGCCGAGGUUAAAUCAGAGCGGGUGGAGCGGAGAUCCUAUGAAGAAGAAGUGCGCCAAGCCAAGCUUAUGACAACGGGUAAGUCGUACUUACUGCAAUGUGCCUUCGGUGGAAACAAGUAUGCCUUUCUUACAUGGAUAUGGUGUUCCACGGGCGCCUUCAUGAACCUCCCGCGGAGUGCGGCGGAUGCGGACAAGCAUUUUGUGACCCGCGAUGGGGAUGCCGAACAACGGCUAUUUUGGGCUCCGUUUGAUCCUCCCGCGCUCAACCCCAGUCUAAGCUAUCAAAUGAAGCAGCUGAUGGACCUGCAUAGGAUGGCGGAGUCGACCAUGAAGGAUCAUUGUGUUCGGCUAUGGCCUGACGAGCCCUUGUCGAGCAGUUACUUUGGAUUAGUGGAGAAGUUGGUCGACGCCCCGCCCCGGAUUGAAGUCGUGCAACACUCUGCUUGUAUGGAAGGGGCUCGGAUGGCCUUUGCACAGACGAUGGUGCACUUGCUGGGGGUAAAGCCUCUUAAGAUGGCUAUUGAUCCACCGCCUGCCUGAAAGGAGCAUAGGCGCCUCGAGCUGUAUUUCUCCUCCGUUAUGGAAGGGCUCGGGCGAUCAAGUCCCCAUGCUCAAAAGAUGUAAUAUUAGAAUGAAUAUUUGUUAGUGUAUUUCAGAACAAUCUAUCAGAUAAGAUGCAUGCCCAAAGUGGAGUACACUUUGAGUUAUUUUGAUUCCUAUUUUGGUCGUUUAAUCUGAAAGUUACCGGUUGUCGGCUUUAGCCCCCAUGUAGAGACUACUUGGGGUGUUUCAACGUCCGCACUGUAACCCUUAGCCGGUGUAUUGGUGCCCGAGGACGGUAGUGCAUGAGGGAAACAAGGCGAUUGGACUAUGUGGCUUUAUCGCUUUCAUUAAGACUUAGGAACUUUUUAUGCGGGGGCUAGUGACAAGCCCCCGGUAUUUUGCGGUAAUUGGAAAAAACCUGAAAUUGAAAUAAUUACUGUGAGGUUUGAACAAGUGCAAACUCAUCCACAUGACGCGGAGUAGCCUCUAUCGACUUUGUAAAUGAACUCGGGUUGUAGUCCAGUUCUCGCUUAUUAUGACGGUCAGUUUUCAGCUUUAUCCGCUGAGGUAUUUCGAACCAGGCCAGCUGGGAAUACAAUCGUGGUGGUUCUCCCUUUACCCCUUUAGCCGAACUAGCGAAACGUAAGGGGGUAAGCAUAGGAGCAGGGCAAUCCAACUGUAGACCCAAGACAGAAUUCGAAACCGAUGCAUAUAAGGCAAAAUCCUGAGAAACUGAACACUUAGGAGAAGGAGCAGUGACGGUGUAGUGAUCGGGUGGUGUUACCAUCCAAGCCCCCGGGCUAUGAUCGAUAGCACUUUAGCGUGUGCAAAAAGUAAUUUUGACCUGUCAGCGCUGAUUAUGUAUAUGAAAGUACUCGAAAUAAUGUGUGCGAUGAAUUUUUAUAACCCGGAGCACAAAGGCAGCUGUUACAGGUAACUAUCAAUACAAGUAUUUUGAAGCAACUUUUUCAAGCGACCUUACAUGGGUGACUUGACGUCCGCCCUGUGUUUGGCCGUACUAUAUCUAUUGCUCUAAUUAGGGGUGGGGUAUUAUCCUUUAUAGGAAUUUCCUAUCAGCAAGCGGACCUUGAGUAGGCGGUCUUGAGAAGUUGCUGAAUAAUGGAGAAGCUUGACGCUUUGGCUCUUCGUGAUGCCCUCUUUUUAUUUUAUAGGAGUGUGUUGGGCCAUAGUUCGGUUGGCCCGAUUACAUAGUCCCUGGUGGGUUGUGUUACCCAUUUAAUUUUAAGGAUGAAAUUGUGUUGUCGAGGGACAUAUCUUUAUUGUGUUCGGUCUGCGUCGUGGGAGCCAUGUCCCUAUGUACUCUCAGCCAUAGAAGUAGCCGGCUAGUUUGAUUGAGCUCGGGCUCGUUUGCCUCCCAUGUGCGCCUUUGUUGUCGGCGUGUGGCUUGAAGUGUGGACGUCAUGUCAACAUUCAGCUGCUAGUGCGACUGUGUGCUCCUCUGUCCAGAGAGAACACUAUGUGUUUCCGUUUACCGUGAUUACCCCUUGGGUCCGGGCAUUUUGAGCUUCAUGUAGGCGUAGUGGGGUACGGUGUUAAAGUGGGAGAAAGCUAUGCGGCCGAGCAGUGCAUGGUAUCCACUACAAAAGGGGACGAUGUCGAAGAUCAAGUCCUCGCCACGGAAGUUGUCGGGAGAACCGAACACGACUUCCACUGUUAUCGUGCCCGAGCAGCGGGCUUCCACGCAUGGAAUCACUCCUUUAAAGGUAGUGCGGCUUGGCUUGAUGUGUGAUGGGUCUAUGCCCAUCUUUUUUACCGUAUCCGAAUAGAUCAGAUUAAGGUUACUUCCUCCGUCCAUGAGGAAACCAUUGAUGAUGUGGUCGAGGACUAGGGCGACCGACCCUCCAUGACGGAUACUAGUCGGAUGAUCCAUAUGGUCGAAAGUGAUCGAGCAAGCCGACCACGAGUUGUAUUUAGGUGCUACGGGCUCUACGGCGUAUACCUCCCGUGGUUCUCAUUUCCUCUCCUUUUUGGUAUAUGAGUCACAUGGGUCAUGUUCACGGUCUUGACCUCAGGAGGGAACUACUUUUGUCCUCCAUUGUUUGGGCCACGGGGCUCCUCAUCAUCUUUACUUCGUGGGCCCCUAUUUUGCUCAUCGUUCGCAAGCUUGGCUGCGUGUUUGAACACCCAACAAUUACGGUUGGUGUGGGUGGCACGCUUGUCUUGGGUGCCAUGAAUCUGGCAGGGCCAUUCCAUGAUUUUAUCACAUGGAGUUGGUCCAUCCUUGUUCCCUUUGAAGGGUUUCUUCUGCUGACCAUGUUUUGUACUGUACAAUCCAGCAUUGGUUGUUGUAUCGUUGGUAUCACCAUUAUAGUGGCGGCGUUUGUUCUUAGUUUUACUCAGAUUGUUGUUUCCAUCCCGAACUUCGGAGGUUCCGGGGUCGUCCGUGUUAUGGCUACGUCGAGCUAGCCAAUUAUCCUCACCUACGCAAAAGCGGGUCAUGAGGAAGGUAAGGGCGGAUAUAGUUCUCGGCCUGUCGUGGCCGAGUUGUCUGGCCAGCCAUUUAUCUUGGAUGUUGUGCUGAAAAGAAGCUAUUUCUUCGGCAUCUGGACAGUCUACGAUUUGACUUUUCUUGGUGAGGAACCGGUUCCAGAAUUCUCUAGCUGAUUCCCCCGUCCUGUGGACGACGUUGCUAAGAUCAGAUGAAUCCAGUGGCCGAACAUAUGUUCCGUGAAAGUUGGAUAGGAAAGCUUCUUCGAGGUCUUCCUAGCAUAUAAUGGAAUCUUCACGUAUGUUGUUUAGACAAUGUCGUGCCGGUCCUUUGAGUUUUAGUGGUAAAUAUUUUAUGGCAUGGAGAUCAUCUCCUCUAGCCAUAUGAAUGUGGAGAAGGAAAUCAUCUAUCCACACGGCGGGGUAUUUUGUCCCGUCGUACUGUUUGAUGAUUAUGAGUUUAAACCCUACCGGAAACUGGUGUUGCAUGACCUCAUCCUUGAAACACAGUGGGUGAGCAGAGCCUCUGAUCCGGGCUAUGUUGUGUCGUAGAUCGGCUCCGGGUCGAGCCCGAUACGUUUCUCGGCCUCUGCUCUUGUAAGCGACCCGAGGUGGUUCAUCAUCCCAUCGAGUGGGAGAGUACCUCCUGGAUUCGUAGAUGGACCUGUUGUGACCCGAUUUGACGUAUCGUGGGUCGGGUCUGUCCCCAUGGUGCAUAUUCUCUUUAACUUUUUGGUGCAGAGGUUCGGGUCUAUACCCGUUCUCUCCUGUUGUUCUGUCACGCUCUCUGGGUGGGUGAUCAGGCUGGUCGUAGUUGGUGCAUCGAGGGGACACCUGUUCUCGGGCCUCGUCGUUGAACUGUGGGAGCAGACGUUGGCGCGGGUAUGUUUUCUUCUGGUCCGUCCAUUCUGUGUUGUAUCCUUCUUCGUCCGCUAGGAUUUUGGUCCACCUAUUAUAUUGAUGGUAUCAUGUUCGUCAUGGAGUUGUUGUUGCUUUGCUUUUAAGCUUUGUGCGGUAGCUAUAAGUCGUUGCCGAAAUUGCUCCUCGCAUUCACAGUCUUCGGGAAAUACGAACUCUUUGGCUUCGAGGUUGUUGAGGUCGUCGAUGGGAGGGAGGUAAUCGUCGUCGUUGUCCAAAUUGUUGUGGCCGUCAGGAUCGUCAUUUGCUGGUUCCUCUGGUUGGUGCUCGGGAGCCUCGAGGUUGUCGUGGCCCUAAGGGGUAGCGUUUUCCCGUGUGGCUUGUGUGGAUCCCCUUCCAUUGUUUGCCUUGGAGCACUUAGCGUUUUGAGGGAUCUUCUGUGGGCUUAUCGCCGUUCUGCUUGGGGUGACAUUAUCUCCAUUGGGAGGCGUGUCUACCAUGUAAACAUCGUAAGUAGAUGUUGUGGUCCACUUCCCAGUGUUUAUGAGGGUGGGGUAGUAGGCCUCAUCAUCUAGAUCCUCAAGCUCUUCGGAGGCGUAGUCCAGUGCGUCGGUUAGAUGUUCGAUGGUGGCAAUUAAGUGGGUGGUGGGUGGGUCGUAAACGUCCCCAUCAUCCACCUUGGAGCCGAUAUUUGAACAAGUCGGACUUCGAGUAAGCGAGAUUUGAAGCGACUGGAUAUGGUCGAGCGUCUCGUUUAACAUCGAGAGGCUGACCUGACCAAUCCUUUGUGGGUUUUGGGAGUUAACCCGUGCGACUUCCAGAGAGGAAGCCAAUUCGGCAAUGGUCGUUUCCUGUUGUCCGAGCACUGUGGUCGGUUCUGAGCUCAAAGCCUCCUCUCCGGAGGAGAGGGGACCAAGACCAUGAUCGGACAGCAGACCAAGAGACAAGGCUUCGGGGUUUUGCACUUCAUCAGACGAGGCCGUGAGGUUAGGGGGAACAUAUUUCCUCGUGAAUCAGUGGAGACUUCAAAUUCUCCGGACCUUAUGAGGUGACCGGGACAGAACCGCCAAUUUGGUGAGGAUGGCCGGUUAGGUCCGUGCUCAGCGUGAAGCUGUCGAGCAUGGAGAUGUGUUUGAGGGUGAAGAUGCCCUCGUCGCGGACUCGAUCGUUGAUGAUCAAGCGAGCCAUCGAUCCUCUCGAUGAUCCAAUAGCGGAACUCUCAAUGAAAGCACCAGCCAAAACCGACAGAUCUUGGGUAGGGGUCCCGAACUAUGGAGCUUAAAUCAAUGGGUUGCAGGAGAGAGGGGAAGAGGAUGUUUACCCAAGUCCGGGCCCUCUUGAGGACGUAAACCCUACGUCUUGCUUGAUUAUAUUGAUGGGGAACAAUGGUUACACAGUUGGUCUACCUCAUAAGAGCCCCUGGUUUAUAUAGACACGAGGGCCCCUAGGUAGGGGUCCCGAACUAUGGAGAUAACCUACCUUUACGCAUAAGAGCCCCUGGUUUAUAUAGACACGAGGGCCCCUAGGGUUACAUGUUAUCGACAUAGAUCAGGGGUAGAUGGGCCGAACUGGUCCUCGUGCCUUGGAGUGCAUGCCUAGUCUUCGGAGCUUUCCGUCUUCAUUACGUAGUCGUCAGAUAAUCCGGUCUUCAAUGGCGUGGCCCGUAUGAUCGACCCAUAAGGCACAACACGAGUGCCCGAGGACCCCUUAAUCCGGAACUCCCUCACCUAGAUACUUAAUGACUGAUGGUGGUUCAUAUUUUAUUCAUGUUGCUUUUUGUAAGUUGCUUGUUAGAUAUGAUAUUAACCACAGAAUUGCAUCUCCCUACCAUCUUCAAUCUAGUGGUCAAGUAGAAUUAACCAAUAGAGAAAUAAAUUAAUAUUGCAAAAGACUGACAAUACGUCUCGAAAGAAUUGGUUUAAGAAAUUAGAUGAUGCAUUGUGGGCCUACAUAACAGCUUCCAAAAUCCUAUGGGUAUGUCUCCUUAUAAAAUGGUUUAUGGAAAAGCAUGUCAUUUACCUCCCGAGUUAGAACAUAAAGCUUAUUGUGCAAUUAAAGAACUCAACUAAGAUUUCAAACUUGUUGGUGAAAAGAUGUUAUUUGAUAUUAGCUCACUAUAUGAAUGGAGAACCCAAGCUUAUGAAAAUGCUAAACUAUUCAAAGAAAAAGUUAAAAGAUGGCAUGACAAAAGGAUCCAAAAGCGAGAAUUCAAAGUUGGUGAAUAUGUUCUAUUGUACAAUUCUCGCCUUAGAUUUUUUGCAUGAAAACUUCUCUCCAAAUGGGAAGGACCAUAUAUCAUCGAAGAAGUUUAUCGGUCUGGAGCUAUUAAGAUCAAUAACCCCGAUGGCACUAAUCCGAAGGUGGUCAAUGGACAAAGAAUAUAGCACUAUAUUUUAGGUACACCAAUUAAUGUCGAAACAAAUAUUAUACAAACCAUGACACCGGAGGAGCACAUUAGGGAGACCUUCCAGAACACUUGAGAACCCUUAAAAGGAAGAGGUAUGUGAUACUGUAAGUAAGCGAACUCCAAAAAAUCCGCAAAACUAUUUUUUGUUAAAAAAAUAGGAAAUUGAUAAACACACGGGAAGGCAACCCAUGUGCCCACUAGGCAUGAGGGCACACCAGCCCCACCUGGCACACCCUAGUGGGUAGUGGGGCCCUCACGCACCUUCCUCGCUCCGUUUUCUUGUAUGACAAGUAUUUCCUUGUAUAAAAAAUCUUUAUAUAUAUAUCCCAAUGAUUUGACCAUGUUCUUGUUUCGUAUUGUUUUUCCGGGCAGAUCUGAAAAUAUGUAGUCUCAAGAUUCAGAGGGAGAGAGCUAUGUCGCUGAUUACAUCGCAAACUGUAAGGUCUACGUAGAGGUAGAUCAUUAUGGCUGGACUAGGAGGAGGAGGAAGACAAAGAUAUGAAGGAAGCAAAGGAGGAUAGCUUCGAGGAAGAGGAAGAUCCACAACCUCAACCCGGAGAUAUGCACGUGGAAUUCAAAAGGUCAAUCAUCAACAAGUACAAACCUAAGGUCCAAUUUAUCCUUUCCAAUUUUCUAUAGGAAAGCAAAGCGACAUUAUGUGAAAAUAUAUUAAAACUGAAAUUGAAGAAUUAGGAUCUCAGGGAGGAUAAUUUUAGCCUCAAACGCAAGUUGGAGAAGAAAAUGCACCACCACCUUCAUCUUCCUCACCAAAGAAGGAGACUUGAGUGCACGGGUAUGGGCACUCCCCUUGGCUUGUGCCAAGCUUGGGGGAGGUGCCCCGAUAUCGUAUCACCAUCGCUCUUAUUAUCUUUAUUCACGUUAGUUCGAUCUUCAGUUAUUUUGUGAUUUACUCAAAUAAAAGUUUAGUUCGGUCCAUCUUUUUGAGUGCUAGUUUUGUGAUCUAUCUAUCUAUGUAAUCGAGUGAUAAUUAUAUAAUAAAGUUUAGUUAGAGUUGUUGCUUCUUUACUUUCUUGUUGCAAUGAAAAUAAAGGAAAAUAAUGAAAAGUAUCAUAUGCUAAUCUUAUAGUAAGUAGUGACAUUACAUAAGGAAAAGUAUAAGUGGUAAAAUUUGUUGAAGGUUGAAAAACAUAGCAUUGGUAAAUGAUGUAACACAUGAAACAAUUAAUAAGGGAAGAGAGGAUUUACAUGUAGAUACACUAUCCUUGACUUCUUUUAUGAUUGUGAGCCCCCAUUAAUUAUAGUAUGCCAAAACUGUUGGCAUUGGACAAGGAAGACAACGUAAUGAUUUAUGUUUGUUCACAUUCACAUAGAAGUUAUAUUGUUAUAGUUCCUCUAACAUGUGGUGCUUGCCCAAUAUCAUUGCUAGCCAAAACUCCGCACUGAGUAGAGAUACUACUUGUGCAUCCAAAAACUUAAACCCAAAUCCAUGUUUUAAGAGUCCACCAUACCUGCAUAUGGAUUGAGAAGAUCCUUCAAGUAUGUUGUCAUUGGUGCACAAGGCAAUACAAAUUGCUUCUAAACGUGUUAUAUCAUUUAUUGUAAGGUAAAUUAAGUGUUGUACGAACUUGUGAUGGUUAUAAUAAAAGCGAUAAACCGCAUAAUAAAGGAUGGCAUCAUAAAGGGCAAUAUAAUGUAACAUUCCUUUGCACAAAUGGAUUUGGCAUACAACCAAAAAGCGCAUGACAACCUAUGCUUCCCUCUACGAAGGUCCUAUAUUUUACUUUUAUGUAUUUACUUUUAUGCAAGAGUCAAAGUAUUCUUUUCUACUCCUUUUUAUCUUCUCUUUUGCAAGCACCAUGUGGUGGGGAAAGUUCUAGGCAUAUAUAUCCGGUUGAAUGUGGGUGGUCAUGAAUUAUUACUGUUGACAUCACCCUUGAGGUGAAUAUAUUGGGAGGUGACACCUUAAGCCCCUAUCUUUCUAUAUGUUCGAUUGAAACAUUUUGCUCAUAUGUAUGCGGUGAGUGUUAGCAAUCAUAGAAGACUAAAUGAUGGUUGAGUAUGUAGACUUGCUUAAAAGCUCCAACAUGUGACCCUUCCUGUAAAUGUGAUGAAUUAUGUUGCAAAGUUGACUAAAAACAUGGUUUGUUAGUUUUAAAUAGAGUUUAUGCUUCAUACUCCACACAUCAAGAGGGAGAAUGCGGGCAUAUGGAAUUCCCGACCUAAAAAUGCUACAUCAGAGAUACCUAUUCUGCACAUCUUCAAAGGGACUGAAACUCCACACAUAAUAUUAUGGAAGAAAUAAAAAAUACUAGAAGAAAGAAGUACCAGAGGGGGGCUGCGAGGUGGCCACUAGGCACCAGGGCGCGCUAGCCCCCCUAGCGCACCCUGGAGGGUAGUGGGCCACCCAGCCCACUUGUGGCGACCAUCUUUUGUUAUAUAUUCAUGUUUGACCUGGAAAAAAUAAGGAGAGGACAUUCGAGACGGAGCACCGCCGUCUCGAGGCGGAACUUGGGCAGGAGCCUUUUGCCCUCCAAUGGAGCAAUUCCAUCGGAGGAACUUCCCUUCGAGAGGGGGAAAUUGAGGCCAUCGUCAUAACCUACAACCCUCUCAUCUUGGAGAGGCCAUUCUUCAUUAACAUCUUCAAUAACACCAUCUCCUCUCGAAACCCUAGUUCAUCUCUUGUGCUCAAUCUUGUAUCGGAACCUCAGAUUGGUACCUGGGGGUGAUUAGUAGUGUUGAUUACAUAUUGUAGUUGAUGCUUUGUGGUUUAUUUGGUGGAAGAUUAUAUGUUCAGAUCAAAUAUGAUAUUUAAUACCUCUCUGAUCAUGAUCAUGUUUAUCACUUAUGAGUAGUUACUUUUGUUCUUGAAGCCAUGGGAGAAGUCAUGUUGCAGGUAAUCAUGUGAAGUUCAUAUUCGUUCGAUAUUUAUUCUUAAUAUUAUGGUUAAUGCUAUGGUUAGAAUUUAUUAUUAAUACUUUUCUUGUAGUUGCAGAUGUUUACGGGAGGGUUAAUCAUAAGUGGAGGCAUGUUCAAGUAAGAACAACACCCAAGCACCGGUCCAUCCACAUAUCAAAUCAUCAAAGUACUGAACACGAAUUAAUCCGACAUGACGAAAGUGACUAGAUGAAAUUCCCCACUCAUAUGUAUGCGGUGUGCCCUCAACAACACUUUUCCUAUUAUAAGAAACCGUUUCGGCCUCUCCUUUGCCACAUAAGUAUUGGGCUACCUUUAUGCACUUAUUGUUACUAUAGCUACCCAUUACUUGUUACAAAUAUCUUGCUAUCAAACAACUUGUUACCGCUAUUUCUGUGCUUGCAGAAAUUACCUUGCUGAAAACCGCUUGUCAUUUCCUUCUGCUCCUCUUUGGGUUUGACAUUCUUACUUAUCGAAAGGAUUACUAUUGAUCCCCUAUAGUUGUGGGUCAUCAAUGUUCAGAUUGCUUCCUUCCUUAGUAUUAUUUUGAUUCGACAGUAUUGUGGGAUGAAGCGGCCCGGACCAACCUUACUCGUCCACGUACGAGAGACCGGUUCCAUCGACUGACAUGCACCUUGUUGCAUAAAGUUGGCUCGCGGGUGUCUGUCUCUCCCACUUUAGUUGAAUCGGAUUUGAUAGAGGCGAUCCUUGUAGAAGGUUAAAUAGCAACUUGAAUAUCACCGUGUGGCUUUGUGUAGGUGAGAACAUGUGCUGAACUUGUUGCAUAGAGAUGGUUGGCGGGUGUCUGUCUCUCCCUCUUGAGCUUCCGAUUCACCUCUCCCAGCUCCACGACAUUGGUGGUUGCUACCAAAGAAGAGGCCUGCAUAACAGCUCAUGCGUGCCUGACUCCCGAGUUUUAGGUUUUUCGAUCCCCUACCAGGUUUUCUUCAAUCCUACCAGAGCCUCGGGGGCUAAGGUUCACUUUUACUAUUAUUAGCUUUUGUUGACCUAUUUGACCCCCACUUGAGUUUUUCAAACUCAUCCAUAGCUCGGGGUCUACUAUAUAUGAGGACUGUCUAACCCUAUAAAAUAAAUUCUUUUUGUAAAAGGGUGUUACAUGAUUUACCUUGAAGCCUGUUAAGAGGCCGUCGAAAACCUCCUUUGGUCUGCUAUCAACAGAUUGAAUGCUUUCUAAAAUGGCACUAAGGAGAGUGCGAUGUUCUUCGGUGAUGGAGGGGCCAUUAAUCCUCCUGUAUCACGGUCGUUUAGCCAUUUUUGGCUCGCUCUGCUACGGGUGGCACUGGUGGCGGUACCUCGGCUCCCCUUUGGUGGAUGCCGGAAUGGACAACUCUCGGAGCUCGGGGGCUUUGAGACCAUAUUCGGAGAGAGCUCGGACUGACCAGGAUCCACUGCUUUGUUCGCCAAAAGGGAUUCUCCCUCGUGGUCUUCACUGACCGAGGUGUUAACCAGGGCCGUGACUUCAUUACCCUUGCCCCCCAUGUUCAGCCCAGGAUGGUCUUUCACGGUAGCACCUUCUCGAUCUCCUCGACAACCAGAGGAGGUGUAGUGCAUGAUGCAGUCCUGCUCUCUGCUAGUUCGGCAAGCGGAGAAUCCCCUCUAAAGCCUGAUUGGUGGGGAUGUCACGCGGUGAGCUACAACAUGAAAGGCAUGCAUAUGGUUAGUAACGAAUAUCAAUAUGGAUGUACGAUAGAGUCUUUGAAUUCACACCUUUGGGCCAGGGGCUUGGCCUCGGGGUUCCUUUAAGGAACCAAUUCGAAAGCCUUAGACUACUCUGAAGAGUUCUGAUUGUCAUCGUACAGGGCCGCCUUGGCCCUGCAUUGUCUUAUCAGGGCAGUAGGAGGUAGACCCCCCUCAGCGUCAUGAGACGUUAUCCUCUUCCUUAUUCGAGAGGAUUCGCUCUCCUCCCCAUCCUCUCCCUUCUCUCCCUCAUGAGCAGAAGGGUCUUUGGUGUCCCCGAACUUGGUGUCCAGGGGACCUCUUGGUCGUAGGACUUCUCAGGCCUUCCUCUUCUCGCCCUUCUUCUUCUCUUUCUUCUCCGGUGCCUUGUACGGUGCCUCGACCAGCAUUUCCGUUAGCAAGGCCGUCUUGGCGAACUCGGGCUGUGGUGCCGGCCUACUGAUCCGCACAAGUUUCUCUAGCCAGCUCUACGAACAUGGGGGAGAAAGGGUCAAGUUCCUUGUUAAAAUGUAGUACCCGAACAUAAGAGUAAAACUUUAUCGUACCUCCCGAGGAGAGUGUGCGUCGUCAAGGACGAUGUCUUCCGCCUUGACCGGCCAGUCCUUUUGGGGCUUGAACAACACGUUCCACAACUUGGCGUGGGUGGUGUGAUAAAAGCGGAGCACGGUGGCAGGAUCUUCCGGCUUGUAGGACCACAUUGGAGCGUCCCGAUGUUGGCAAGGUAGGAGGCGGCGAUGAAGCAUGAUGUGAACCACAUUGGUCAGCUCAAGCUUCUUCUUUAUCAACUGGGACAUGCACUUCUGCAGUGACUCCACCUCCGUGGAUGACCCCCCAGUCGAGCCCCUACAUGAUCCACGACACCAACCUCGUGGGAGGUCCGGAUCUGAAUUCGGAGGGUGCGGACCAUUCCGCGCCGCGUGGUUCGGUGAUAUAAACAAAUCUUUUUGUCCAGAUUUUGUCGGUAUCUAUAAAGGCACUUUCCGACCACUCAACCCGACGGGAGCUUGCUAAUCCACCCCCCCCACCCACACACACACACAAUCCGCCUGCUGGCUAUCGACUAUCUUCAGCUUAACAUUGAAGACCUUUAGCCACAAGCCAAAGUGUGUCUGGACCCGCACAAAGGCCUCACAUAUAAUAAUGAAGGCCGAAAUAUGCAAGAAGGAGUUUGGGGCAAGAUCGUGAAAAUCCAACCUGUAGAAGAAUAUCAAACCACUUACAAAGGGGUGGAGUGGGAAGCCAAGUCCUCGGAUGAAAUGGGGGAUGAACACCACUCUAUCUCCUUGCCUCGGUGUGGGGAUGACCUGGCCCUCCUCUGGAGCGCGGUGGACUACAUUUAUCGAAAGAUAGCCAGCGCGCUUCAGCUCCUGGAUAUCAUUUUCGGUGACGCUGGAGGCCUCCCCCUUGCCCUUGGAACCAGAACCGACCAUGGACGAUCUGGGGGAGUGGCCUCAGGAGAUUUGAGGGAGGGAUGGAUCUCGGUGCUUAGAGAUCAAGAGAUUGGGAAGGCGGCAACAAUGAGGUAUCUGAUAAGCGUAUGGAGGCUUUGGUGACUGUUUCCCUUCUAUAAGUUGUCAUAAUACCAAGAGCCCAUCUACUGCGUCCCAGACCUCGCCACUUCCUGAUAUAAUCACGUCGUUAUGCGUGCAUGGGAUAGCCCAAAUCAUUGAUCAUAUCCCUUAAAAAACGGGACACAAUCUCUAUAUUGAUGGGAUGUGCCAAUGGAAGAACUAUCUUGAGUCAUGAAUCCAGCUUUCAUAACUGGUCAGUGGUCGUGAUCGACCGUGACCUUUCACUAAAAGUUGUCAGACUAAGGCAUUGUUCACACUUGAGCAGUUGGCCUUCGAGGCUAAGUAACACAUACUGUUCAAAAAUUGGGAACUCAUCAGUGGCCGAACUAGUACCUGCCAAACAUAGAAGGGGAGAAGAACUCGCCCCGCAAGCCGGAGACUUUGGGCGCGUGAACCUGCUAGGGACCUAGACCCCGGCAUUGGAGGCUAGUUCAGGGGCUACUGAGGGAGUCCGGGACUAAUAGUUCCUCGGCCGCUGGUCUAUCUCUUAUGGGCUGGAUAGGUGUGUCGCUUUGUGACUAUUACUGGAAGGCCGAGCUAUAAGGCGACUACAUGUUCAUGAAGAAAACCUCUGGUGCCUUGGUGUGUCCUCCAAGUCAAGAUGGUAGAAUUGGUAUGUUUAUUCCCUGAUGGCAACCGGUCAUGUGUAACCCUAGGUACCCCUAGUGUCUAUAUAAACUGGAGGGUUUAGUUUGUAGAGGAGGGAGAACCAUUGUCCUACUCAUCUAGGGUUUAGUUCAUCUGAUCUCGUGGUAGAUCGACUCUGUAAUUGUCAUACACACAUCAAUAUGAUCAAGCAGGAUGUAGGGUUUUACCCUCUUCGACAAGGCCCGGACGUGGGUAAAUACUAACCAUGUAUUUCAUGUUCCCCAUUAAUCCAAGAUCCGCAGCUCAGGACCCCGUACCCGAGAUCCACCGGUUUUGCCAUGGACACGGGGUAGUUCCUCAUCGAGUUGAUGGUGGAAUUUCUAUCCUUCAAUAUGCCGACGAAACAAUAAUCUUUAUGCAGCAUGACAUCGAAAAAGCAAGAAAUAUUAAAUUAAUCUUAUGAGCCUUCCAGGAAAUUUUGGGUCUUAAGAUAAACUUCCACAAGAGUGAUUUUUUUUUGGAGAGGCUCACAAUGAGGUCCAACAAUAUACUGAACUCUUAGACUAUGGGCAUGGUCGGUUUCUAGUUAGCCAUCUAGGUAUUCUGAUACAUUAUCACAGACUUACAAAUGCUGAAUGGAAACAUGCCGAGGAGAGACUGCAAAAACGUUUAAGUAGUUGGAAGGGAAAAUUGCUAUCUCUGGGCGGUAGAUUGGUACUCAUAAAUUCGGUACUCAGUAAUAUGGUAUUGUAUAUGAUAUCAUUCUUCCUGUUGCCCAAAGGGGUCUUACAAUAGUUGGAUUAUUUUCGAUCAAGAUUCCUUUGGCAAGGAGAUAGUGAGAAGAAGAAAUACCGGCUGGCUAAAUGGAGUGUGGUUUGUCGUCCCAAAGAUAUGGGUGGGCUAGGUAUUCCUCACCUUGAGGUCAAAAAUGCUACCCUCCUAGUUAAAUGGAUUUUUAAUUUACUUACCAAAAAUGGUAUAUGGCAAACCCUCCUAAAAACAAAAUAUGUAGGCUCAAAUGCGUUAUCCCAAGUUAGCUGGAAGCGUGGGGACUCACACUUUUGGGCUGGUCUAAUGGCUACAAAGAAGCACUUCUUCCAUUUUGGAUCAUUUUCUAUUAAGGAUGGCUCAGUAAUUCAUUUCUCGGAGGACAAGUGGCUGGCUAAUGCUACUCUCCGGGAACAAUAUCCAGCUUCAUAUAACAUCGUGCAUCACAAGGGUGAUACUAUUGCCACGGUGUUGGAAUCUUUCCCACCAAGCGUGACAUCCAGGAGAGAUUUAAUCAGCUCAAGACUUGCAUCGUGGAAUGCUUUAUUGCAACGUUUGACAACAAUACAAUUGUCACAGGGUGGUGAUUAGUUUCGUUGGAACUUACAUGAAAGUGGGAAAUUCUCUAUGGAUUCCAUGUAUAAAGCGUUAGUCAAUCCGAUUGUGCCAGUAGAUAGUAACAAGAAGAUGUGAAAGAUGAAGAUACCACUCAAAAAUAAAAUAUUUGCAUGGUAACUUCAUCGAGGAGUCAUUCUUACAAAAGAUAACCUUGUUAAGAAGAAUUGAUAAGGAAGCAAGAUAUGUAUUUUUUUGUCAUGAGGAUGAGACAAUUAAACAUUUGUUCUUUGAAUGCAAAUUCGCUUGGUUUAUAUGGUCAGCUAUUCAAGUAGCUUCUCGCUUGUAUCCUUCACGUAGCGUUGCUAAUAUAUUUGACAAUUGUACAUGAAAUGGACCACGGGUUUAUGAUUCAAAUUAGGAUGGGAGCGCUAGCCAUUAUUUUUUCGUUUUAGCUAUGUAGAAAUGACCAGCUACACGUGCACAUGUACUCUCCAUUUAUGGUCAUCUCUAUAUUGUGUGGAGUUUCGCGACCUCUUUAUGAAGGUCUCUAUACGCUUGGAGCAUACGAUGAAGGAUAUUUGUAUUCAAUAUGGAUGACAACAUGAUCUACGAAUUGGACAUCCAUCUACUACGUCAUACAGUUUCUUCAAGAUUAUUUGUAUUGCGUUUUCUUUCUUGUUUUGUUUAAACUUAUUACGGCUUUAUGCAUUCCACAUAUGCAGAGGUCGAGUGGAAUGCUUAAACCUUUUAUAAAUAAUAAAGCGUUCGUUAUCGAAAAAACAGACCCUAAUUCCUCUGGAUCGCUACAUUAUGCCGAUUCUUUUUGUUUAGAGGCAAAUGGACACGCGCGAAUUAUGUCAGCGCCUUUGAGUUGUUCUAAAAGAAACUCCAAUGGUGCAUCCCAUUUUGUUCGCCGCCAUCUGUUUGGGGCCAUGCGGACAAAAUGGAUGGCCCAACGUGCCGAUCCAUUGCCAAAAGGUGUCCGCUUCGCGUCCGUGUCGAUCCAUUUUCGGCCCAAAUUUGGGACUGAAAUGCGCCGGCGCGGACGUGCGUGCCCUCUUGGUGUCCGCCUGUUCGCCCCAACCACCCACGAUCAACAUAAUUUAUGACGGUCGUUGUCCUCGGGCCCACACAUCAGCGGCCGCGCUCGACCUUUUUUAAUCCGCCCGUGCGGUGGGUUCCACCUCAUCUACUUCUAGAACCCACCCGUCCCCAUCUUGCUACCUCGUCGGCGACCAAACCCUAGCACCGCGUGCCAUGGCCGGCUCCUUCCAAAACAAGGGCAAGGCCCUCUCUACCCCUACGCCAUCUCCCCGUCGGCGUCUUCCCGUCGGCCUCACCAACGUGUCAGCGUCCCGGUGCACCAAGCGCGGUGGCACUGGGAGCAUCGUGUGCCGCUGCCUUACCCCGAUGUCACCCUCCCGCACCAUUGGCAUCUGAAUCCGGAGAGGAUACUGGUGCCGACCGUGACGCGGUCGGCGCGGUUGCACGCGAAGGAGAUGAGUUGUCGUCAGCGUCUGCUGAUGCCGGAGCAGCGACUCAACCGUGCCUACGCGCCCGAAUCCCCCCACUCGAAGCUCUGGUUCGCGGUCGAGCACGAGGAGCAGCGCCGGCAUGGCGUGCACGAUGUGCAUCCAGGACGCCCUCCACUGCCCCUGCCCUUCGGCUGAUUCCGCCUACCAGGCAGCACUGGCAGCUGUUAUCCGCGAGAGCGAGGAGGAAGAGCGGCGCGAGGCUGGCGAGGAGGAUGCAGCAUACAAGCAACGGCUCGCGGAGGCCAUCGCGCUGUCGGCCGCCGACGUCUGCGUCGUGCCACCUCCAUCGAAGACCGAGCCCACGGAGACGUAGGAGGUCUACUAGUGCACUAGUUGCGUCUGUGAGUGGGUCAAUCAGCCGCCCAUCUGGCUGGUCGCGACAUCGAAGCAGGAGGAAGCCUACCUCCUGCACUGGAAGUCGGAGCACCUGCGGGCGGAGCACGCUGAAGGACGUCGGCAGAUGGAGCUGGAGAAGGAGGCGGAGGAGGAACGACGGGAGAUGGAGGAGGAGGAGCGCGCUCGUGCUGCACUGCCACCGCCACCAGCACGGCUCGUGCCGGCGGGACACACGACGGAGGCGCAGGCGGCUGUGCUCUAGAACACGGCGUUCCCCUGGACAGUCCGUGUGCCUAUGUUGGUCGACUUCAACGGCCCGUCGUCGCCGCCUAGGUCUACCUCCUAGUCUAGUUUUUUUAAUGUUUAAUUAAUAUAAUGGGGACGCGUGGACUCUCGCUGGUCUUCGUGGCCGGCUUUUAAUGUUUAAUUAUGCUUGUUUAUUAUUUUUGCAAAUGCUUUAUAUUUUUUCCAGACAAAAAUAGAUCGGGGCAGCGUUGGACGCAUGCGUCGAUCCUAAUACCAAAGCAAAUGGUGUCCGCUCAGCCUACCAAACCAGAAAAAAGACUGGUUGGAUUUGCUCGAGAUAAUUGCAGGGCACUACCACACUUGGGCACCAUGUGACGGAUAGGUACCAAUAGUCAUUUUUUUUGCGUGUCAGUACCAUUUCAUAGCCUAAUUGUUGCAAUACGAUCUGACGGCUGUAUAACUCGUAUUGACGCUAUAUCAGACGUACCGGGCACGCAUGUCAGUUGGCACGAACCGGUUCGAUCGGUCUUUGUGUCUGGCUCGGACCAAGUCGACCGAGCCAGUCGCCUCCUUCCCCCCUUCUUCUCUCCUCGGACUCGGUCGCUCUGCCCCUCUCAUCGCCGAACCUCGUCGGCCGCCACCACCUCUGUCGCGCCAUGGUUUAUGAGGAUGAGAGUAGCAACGACCUGUCGAGCCUGGACAUCAGCUCUUCCUCCGACAGCAUGAUGUACCGGGUAAGUUGUAGAGCUAGGGUUAGGGUUAGGGUUUUUGUUUCUUGACAUUGGGGAUUUUCUCUGUUUUUUGGUUGUUUCUUUAGAUCCCUACUAGCAUCGACGACGAAGACUACAUGGGCAUCGAGAAUUCUGCCCUGGAUGUUUGCUCGGAGCAUGGGCUACUGCUUGAGCGUCGAGUAGCAUUUGAAGGAUUUGAGACAAGCAGGAGGUUUUUAGUGUGUGCUCAGCCUGUAAGAUGCAACUUAGUUAGAUGCAGCUUAGUUAGAUUAGCUAAUUGUUGAUGUAACCAAUAUAGAAUCUUGAAAAUGCAGCUUAGCUAAUUGUUUUUGGUUGGUUCUUUAGAUCCCUGUUAGCUUAGUUAAACAAUGUGCCUUCGACAGUCCUGUCUUUAGAUGCAGGCUAAAAUGUGCCUUGGACACUUAUGUUGCGGACUAUCAUUGUUCCUGAUCCCACCACUCUCAUUGUUUAUUCCAAAUGGGCAAGUGCUCUCAGAUUGUUUACUACUAAAGAUGGAGCUUAGCCAAUACUGAAGAUUCAGGCUUAGUCAUUGUUAAAGUGCUCUCAGAUUGUUUAGUACUCCUUGGUCAUUACUAAUGGGCAUCAAUCAUUGUUUAGUUCCAGCUUAGUUACAAGUGCUGGUAUUUUUUUAUUGAUGUACUGCUAAAGAUGCAACUUAGUUACAAUUGCUGAUAUUUUCUUACAAGUAGUGAAAGUAGUGGUGACUACUUCUGCUUAUUUUUUUAUUUAUGUAGGUGUUGACAUUUUAACUAAGUGAAUCAUUACUACUGAUUAGUAUUAAUGAAUAAGUAUUAGUUCUUAUAUAUGUAGGUGGUGACAUUUUAAUUGGUGUUCAUUAUGGAGUAAUAUAAUAUGUGUUUUUUGUAUUGCAACUACCUCAAAAAUGUGGUUUUGUUGGGUGGGUAGACCAAGAGUGGCCUCCCACAAUGCAAAAUGCAUUGUUGAAACUUUGGGAAAUGUUGGAAGACAGCAAGAGUGCUAGUAGGGAUGAUAAUUUGGAGAAUUCACUGAAAAUUCACCACCUGACAGAAGAGAAAAGAAAUCUUGAUGCAAACUAUGACAAACUAGUAGAAGAUGUGAAUCAACUGCUCAAUGCCCAGGAGGAGAGGGUCAUGGAUUUGAGGUAUUUGAAGGUCAAUGCCCAGGGUGCAGAGAGAUCUAGUGCUGUUGUGGUUGUCAUGAAGUCUGAGAUUGAGAAGAAAGAGGCAGAGAUAAUGGAAGUUAAAGGGAAGUAUUCAGUGCUUAUGAACCUUGCAGAAGCUCAAGGCAGGGUCAUUAGGACCCAGAAGGCUAAUCAUUUGAAGGAGAAGGAGAAGCUAAGUGAAGAGAACUACAAUUUAAAGGUUUGGGUUGAUAAACUGACCAAUUCUGAGGAAAAACUUAAUGAUGACAUUAUGGUGCUCAACCGUCACAUUGAUGGUGUGAAGAAAGGAAUUGAGAAUCUCAUUAAACGCAUGGAUGAGCUGAAGCUCCAUAUUGCUGAUCAGUUGAAGGCAGUGGAGAAGAACCAAGAGAAGUUGAAGAUGACCAGGGACAUUUUGGAUGGAUGAGCUGAUCAGAUGAAGAUGAACUCCACUAUGCUAUGGUUGAUUUGCUACCCUUUUGUUAAUUGUUGUUCUUGAAUGCAUGUUGAACUCCACUAUGUUAUGGUUGUAACUUAAUAACUGAGUAGGUUUGUACCAAUGUUGUAAUGUAAGAAUCUCUGAAUUAUGUAUGUUUAAGUGACUUCAUCUGUGUGCAACCCAAGUAUGUUGUAUUAUGUGAAAUAUCUUAUUAUUUGUUGCAUUGAUAGAUGGGUAUGUGUUUAAGUGACUUGAUGUGUUUUUAAUGACUUGGUUUAAAGAAAUUCAUUGCUCUAAUAAUCACCAUUUUAGCUUGUCAUUCUUGUCUUGUUUGUAGCAGACCACAAAUCUGCUAGCUCUUAAUUUCCUAACUAAAGAGAGCAGAUAUAACACACAUCAGAUUCAUGAGCAUGAAGCACGUCAAGCAUUCUUAUUUUUGAACCCAAAACACAUAAACAGAUGAUGAACACAUAACAUACAUCAGAACCAUGACCAUCAAGCACCUGAGGCAUUCUUAUUUUUGAACCCAAACACAUUAACACAUGAUGAACCAGAAAAUUAGUACACAUCAUCUUAUUACUGAUCACUUAGCACACAUCACUUAGUACUAAUCAUACAACCACAAAAUUCACUAAGUACUAAUCACGUAGUACACAAUAAGUCAUUUAAUACACAUCAUAGAACUUAGUACUCAUCACUUAGUACACAUCAUCAUUAGUCAUGGUUACCACUGGCAGUAAAAAAUGCCAUCCAGCCAGAAUGGUUUCUUGGUGCAGGAGCAGCUGAUGAACCUACAGGAGCUGAUGAUGAACCUCCAGCCGCAAAUCUUGGGGCAGGAGCAGAUGAUGAAUCUACAUCAACAGAUGAUGAAGCUCCACCAGCAAAUCUUGGGGUAGUUAAAGGCCUAUGAACACUGGCACUACUUGUUGAUCUUCUCGUAGAUCUUGCAGGGGGAGGAUGUGAUCUUGCUUCCCUCCUUGGUCUUGCAGUUGGAGGUUGUGAUCUUGCUUCACUCCUUUGUCUUGCAGCUGGAGGUUGUGAUCUUGCAGUUGGAGGUUGUGAUGUUCCAGUUGUAGGCUGUAAACACAAAUGGAUUUAACACAUGAACAUAAUAGUUGGAAAGCACAUAACGAGAAAAUGGUUUACCACAUGCUUGUUUUUCCUUAGAGCCAACUCGGCUCUCAACUAUUGUUCGAAGUUGGUAUAUAUGUGGCCUUGGAUCCCACAGUUGUUGCAUGUUAUAGUGGCCAUUCUUGAAUUGUCCUUUGGUUUUGGAACCUCAAAUUUUCCCUUUAUUCUCUUCUCUUUCUUUCUUCCACUCUUCACAUGAAAUGUGGGUGGCUCUAUGUCUGGUCCACUUGUCCUUGUCCAAUUAUGUUCACUGUGUUGGUAGGGCAAGUGUGCCACAGCCUCAUUUUCUUAAUAGCAAAGGUCUUCUCCCCUUUGAUAACUGCAGCAACAAUGCUCCAGCCUCAUUUUAUUAAUAACAAAGGUCUUCUCCCCUUUGAUAACUGCAGCAACAAUGCAAAACUGGCAAUGAUCUUGCUUACAACAAGCAAUGAUCCUUUGGUCUGAGUUUCUGUGAUACCUAAAGUCUCUGGCCUAUGUGAUGUGCAAGCUCAACAAAGCUUCUCUGAAUUGAUGUUGAUCCUUAAAGCACAUGUACAGACAUAAUUGCUGAUGUGGUUGCUCAAGUUUGUCAUUGUACCAGAUCCUUGGUUUCCUUUUCUUGGCCCUACUCUUCCUCCCUUUAGGUAGCACAAAUGAGGGUGGCUCAUGUCCAUCAUCUUCAUCCUCAAACAACAACCAAUCAUCUUCUUCAUCUGCUGAAGGAAUGAAAUCAGGUAUCACCUCCUCUAACACACUACAAUGUGACCUGGUAGUGGGGCCUUUCCUAAAUUCAAGUUUCUUCCUCAUUUUUGCAGAUUUUUGCAUUGGAGGCUCUUCUCUUGCAAAAACAUUGACAUCCUCAUCUUCCUGCUCAAACAAAUCCUCAACAUCAGUGUCACCCUCAUAAUGUAAUUGUUCCUCAUCUAAAUCUUCAGAUUUGAUCUACAUCUUCUUCCUCUCCUAAUUGUGAGUUGUUAUCUGAAUUGUUGUCACUGUCAUAUGCAUCCUCAGUUUCAUCACUACUAUUAUGUGACUGUUCAAACAAUGACUCUUCCUCCAUUAUAACAUUCAGAUUGUCCUUUAUGAAGUUUAUGCUCUCUUGGGUGCAAAAGCCCGUAGGUUGACUAGGGUUGCUAUAGAAAACAACAACUUCUGGAUCAAUAGCAAGAACUGCAGGCGCACUAAGAUCAUACAGAAUAGGUGGUUCAUAAACUAUUGCUGCUAAUUUAUCCUCUCUAUGACCGAGAGACAUCAUAUUACUUAAGUUUGUUCUCUCUUCAGCUGCUGCACUUGCUGCUAAAUAAGUUGUUGUUGCCCUCACUAGCAAAUUGAGAACUAAACUCUGCUUCUAUUCCUAUUUAGUUCCUGCAGUUUGAUGUUUGUGUCAAUUAAUUCUAAGCCUGGUCUCUCUCCUCUCCUAUUCCUAAAUUUCUCAUGUGGUAUAACUCACCAGAAAAAUAAAAACCUUGUGUUUGCAACACUUCAUAUAGGUUUAGAAAUGUAACAUCUGAGCUACAUAGCUUCAUAUCAAUAUUUGGCUGAGAAUCAAAGUGAAUUUGAAGUUCCCAAACAUCAUCAUUCAAACUACAGUUCAGACAUAUAAAUUCAGAUAAGCAGAUAAGCAUAUAAAUUCAGAUAAGCAAACUCAUCAGUCAAACUAUAAUAUUACUUGUUGUCUUCAUCAAUCAAACUACCAUAACUCUUAUCAACAACACAACACCAAAGCCUCUACUAUGAAUUCUGAAUUGCACACGAGCAACACACAACCUCUAAUUGACAAGUAUGACAUUGCAGAAUUACAGUAACAAGAUUGAAGACUCUAAUAUGAACAUAAUCCUAAUAAUAUCGGCAACCCAAAAGAAAGAACCAACUAGCCUCUACCAUUGAUACAACAAAACGAAAAGGCUAGGGUUCUUCAGUGACUUACAUCAAGCCGCCACCAGCACCACUUGUCUAGUGAUGGCUACUGCUAGGGUUAGCGACCCAGAUCUCUGCCAUCUUCACCCUGUCCUCCACGGACAGCACCGCCUCCUCCUCCAAAUUCGCAUCCUCCAAACCAGCGCUGGAGGAGUGGUUUGAACUGGAGCCACCAUCGUCCAUAGCCAGACCUACGUGGUCAUCUACCCUGAGGCCGGGGAGGUCUCUGUAGCCGCCCGCAAUGUCACCGCCGCCGAGAGUCACCACCGCCAUUGUCGGAGAGACGCGCAGAGAGGGAGAGGGGAGAGCAAGGCUAGGGUUCGAGCGAGACCAAGUGACCAAGAGAGGGUUGGUCCGGUUCGACCAGGUUCGAGCGAGACCAAGUGACCGAUCUAGUACGUGUACGCCACCGUGCCGACUGACAUGCGGGCCUGGCACGUCAGAUACAUCGUCAAUACAAGUUAUACGGCUGUCAGAUCAUAUUGCAACAAAUAGGUUAUGAAAUGGUGAUGACCCACAAGUAUAGGGGAUCAAUCGUAGUCCUUUCGAUAAGUAAGAGUGUCGAACCCAACGAGGAGCAGAAGGAUCUGACAAGUGGUUUUCAGCAAGGAAAAAUCUGCAGGCACUGAAAUUGUCGGUAACAAGUGAUUGUGUGGUGAGAUGAUUCGUAGCAAGCAACAAGUAACAAAAGUAGCAACGGUGCAGCAAAGUGGCCCAAUCCCUUUUGUAGGAAGGGACAAGCCUGGACAAAGUCUUAUAGGAGGAAAAACACUCCCGAGGACACACGGGAAUAUCUGUCAUGCUAGUUUCAUCAUGUUCAUAUGAUUCGCGUUCGUUACUUUGAUAGUUUGAUAUGUGGGUGGACCAGCGCUUGGGAAAUGCCCUUACUUGGACAAGCAUCACACUUAUGACUAACCCCUCUCGCAAGCAUCCGCAACUACGAAAGAAGAAUUAAGACAAAGUCUAACCAUAGCAUUAAACUAGUGGAUCCAAAUCAGCCCCUUACAAAGUAAUGCAUAAACUAGGGUUUAAGCUUCUGUCACUCUAGCAACCCAUCGUCUACUUACUACUUCCCAAUGCCUUCCUCUAGGCCCAAAUAAUGGUGAAGGUUUAUGUAGUCGACGUUCACAUAACACCACUAGAGGAAAAACAGCAUACAACAUAUCGAAAUACCGAACGAAUACCAAAUUCACAUGACUACUAUUAGCAUGAUUUAUCCCAUGUCCUCAGGAACAAAAGCAACUACUCACAAAGCAUAAUCAUAUUCAUGACCAGAGAGGUAAUGAGUAGCAUCAAGGAUCUGAACAUAAACUCUUCCACCAAGUAGUCCAACUAGCAUCAACUACAAAGAGUAAUCAACACUACUUGCAACCUUACAAGUACCAUUCGAAGUCGCGAGACGGAGAUUGGUUACAAGUGAUGAACUAGAGUUUGGAGAUGAGAUGGUGCUGAUGAAGAUGUUGAUGGUGACGAGUCCCCUUCAAUGAGAGGAGUGUUGGUGAUGACGAUGGCGAUGAUUUCCCCCUCCGGGAGGGAAGUUUCCCGGCAGGAUCGUCCUGCCGGAGCUCUAGAUUGGUUCUGCUCAAGUUCCGCCUCAUGGCGGCGACGAAACCACGAAAAAGCUCCUCCUUGAUUUUCUUUUCCUAGAAGAAACCCUCCAUAUAGCAAAAGAGGGGGGCCACUGGGCCAGUGGGCUGCCCACAAGCCCCCAUGGCGCGGCCGGGGGGGUGGCCCCGCCGUGCAGGCUUGUGGGCACCCCCUGGUGCCCCUUGAUACGUCCAUUUUCCAUCAUGCUUUCAUGUUGAUAUUUUUUGCUUUUUGGACUGUUAUUAUACUUUGUGGUACCAUAUUUAUGCCUUUUCUCUCUUAUUUUGCAAGGUUUAUUUGAAGAGGGAGAAUACCGGCAGCUGGAAUUCUGGACUUGAAAAGGAGCAAGUCUGAGACCUCUAUUCUGCGCAACUCCAAAUGCCCUGAAAAUCAACGUGGAAUUUUUUGGGAAUGUAUAAAAAUACUGGGCGAAGGAAGUGCCAAAGGGGAACUUCGAGGGGGCCACAAGCCUGGUAGCCGCGGCCUGCCCCCCUGGCCACGGCUACAGGGCUUGUGGGCACCCUGGUGGCCCAUUGGCCCCCCUCUUCUGUAUAUGAAGGGUUUCAUCCGGAAAAAAAUCAGGGCGGAGCUUUUUCGUGGAUUUUCCGCCGCCACGAGGCAGAAGUUGAGCAGAACCAAUCUAGAGCUCCGGCAGGACGAUCCUACCGGGGAAACUUCCCUCCCGGAGGGGGAAAUCGUCGCCAUCAUCACCACCAACACUCCUCUCAUCGGAGGGGACUCGUCUCCAUCAACAUCUUCAUCAGCACCAUCUCAUCUCCAAACCCUAGUUCAUCACUUGUAACCAAUCUCCGUCUCGUGACUCCGAUUGGUACUUGUAAGGUUGCUACUAGUGUUGAUUACUCUUUGUAGUUGAUGCUAGUUGGAUUACUUAGUGGAAGAGUUUAUGUUCAGAUCCUUGAUGCUACUCAUUACACCUCUGAUCAUGAUUAUGAUUAUGCUUUGUGAGUAGUUACUUUUGUUCCUGAGGACAUGGGAUAAGUCAUGUGAAUUUGGUAUUCGUUCGGUAUUUUGAUAUGUUGUAUGCUGUUUUUCCUCUAGUGGUGUUAUGUGAACGUCGACUACAUAACACUUCACCAUUAUUUGGGCCUAGAGGAAGGCAUUGGGGAGUAGUAAGUAGAUGAUAGGUUGCUAGAGUGACAGAAGCUUAAACCCCAGUCUAUGUGUUGCUUCGUAAGGGGCUGAUUUGGAUCCACUAGUUUAAUGUUAUGGUUAGACGUUGUCUUAAUUCUUAUUUCGUAGUUGCGGAUGCUUGCGAGAGGGGUUAAUCAUAAGUGGGAUGCUUGUACAAGUAAGGGCAGUACCCAAGCGCUGGUCCACCCACAUAUCAAACUAUCAAAGUAACAAACGCGAAUCAUAUGAACAUGAUGAAACUAGCAUGACAGAAAUUCCCGUGUGUCCUCGGGAGCGUUUUUCCUCCUAUAAGACUUUGUUCAGGCUUGUCCCUUGCUACAAAAUGGAUUGUGCCACUUUGCUACACCGUUGCUACCGCUUCUUACUUGUUACUUUUCACCUGCUACGUUUCACCUCACUACACCAUCACUUGUUACCGCUACUUUCAGUGCUUGCAGUUAUUACCUUGCUGGAAACCGUUUAUCAGAGCCUUCUACUCCUCGUUGGGUUCGACAUUCUUACUUAUCAAAAGGACUAUGAUUGAUCCCCUAUACUUGUGGGUCACCAAGACUCUUUUCAGGCGCCGUUGCCGGGGAGUGAAGCGCCUUUGGUAAGUGGAAUUUCGUAAGGAAACAUUUAUAUACUGUGCUGAAAUUUAUUGUCACUUGUCACUAUGGAAACUGUUCCUUUGAGGAAUUUGUUCGGGGUAUCUUCACCGCGAAUAGAAGCACGAGGAGUUGCUCCUCAACCUAAGGUUCCUACUGAAAAUAUCUUUUAUGAAAUUCCUUCGGGUAUGCUUGAGAAACUGUUGGAUAAUCCUUUUACAAGAGAUGGAUCUUCAGAUCCAGACUUGCAUCUAAUCUAUGGAGAUGAAGUUUGUGGUUUAUUUAAGCUUGUAGGUUUGCCCGGGGAUGAGGCAAAGAAGAAAGUAUUUCCUUUAUCUUUGAAGGAUAAGGCGUUGACAUGGUAUAGGCUAUGUGAUGAUACUGGAUCAUGGGACUACAAUCGGUUGAAAUUGGAAUUUCAUCAAAAGUUUUAUCCUAUGCAUUUAGUACAUCGUGAUCGGAAUUAUAUUUAUAACUUUUGGCCUCGUGAUAGGGAAAUCAUAGCUCAAGCUUGGGGGAGGCUCAAAUCAAUGCUAUAUUCAUGCCCCAAUCAUGAGCUCUCGAGAGAAAUUAUCACUCAAAACUUCUAUGCUCGACUUUCUCAUGAAGAUCGUACCAUGCUUGACACUUCUUGUACCGGUUCUUUUAUGAAGAAGGAUAUUGACCACAAGUGGAAUUUAUUGGAAAGAAUCAAACGUAACUCUGAAGAUUGGGAGCUUGAAGAAGGUAAGGAGUCAGGUAUGAAUUUCCAGUUUGAUUACGUUAAAUCUUUUGUUGAAACAAACACUUCUAGAGAUUUUAGCGCUAAGUAUGGACUUGACUCUGAGAUAGUAGCUUCUCUAUGUGAAUCUUUUGCUGCUCAUAUUGCUCUUCCCAAAGAGAAGUGGUUUAAGUAUCAUCCUCCUGUAAAAGUCAACAUAGUUAAACCCAAUCUAGUUGAAGAGAAAGUCAUUGCCUAUAAUGAUCCUAUUGUUCCUUGUGCCUACACUGAGAAACCACCUUACCCUGCUAGGAAAAAGGAUUAUUCUAAAGCUCCAACUGUGAUACGUAGGGGUUCCAUUAGACCACUUGCACCCCCUGAGGAAAUUAGAGUUGAACCUAGUGUUGCUAUUAUUAAAGAUCUCUUAGCCGAAGACAUAGACGGGCAUGUUAUCAAAUUCUGUGAGGACUCCGCUAGAAUUGCUAAACCUCACGCGGAAGACAAAUACGGACCUGUAGUUGGCCUGCUCGUUGUUUUUGUCAAGAUAGGAGAUCACUGUUAUCAUGGUUUAUGUGAUAUGGGUGCUAGUGUUAGUGCAAUACCCCGGUCCCUGUAUGAUGAAAUCAAAGAUGAGAUUGCACCUGCUGAGUUAGAACCCAUUGAUGUCACUAUUGCGCUAGCUAAUAGAGACACUAUCUACCAUGUGGGAAUUGUGAGAGACGUAGAAGUCUUGUGUGGUAAGACGAAGUAUCCUACUGAUUUCCUUGUCCUUGCUACCGCACAAGAUAGCUUUUGUCCCAUCAUAUUUGGUAGACCCUUUCUCAACACUGUCAAUGCUCAUAUUGAUUGCGUUAAACAGACUGUCACUGUUAGUUUAGAGGGUGUGUCUCAUGAAUUUAACUUAUCCAUGUUUGGAAGACAACCCCAUGAAAAAGAGUCGUCUGGUAGGGAUGAAAUCAUUGCUCUUGCCUCUAUUGUCGUGCCUCCUAUGGAUCCUUUAGAGCAAUAUCUGCUUGAGCAUGAAAAUGAUAUGCAUAUGGAUGAAAGAGAUGAGAUAGAUAAAAUUGUUUUAGAACAAUAUCCUAUUCUUAAGAAUAAUCUGCCUGUUGAAUUGCUUGGGGAUCCUCCCCCACCAAAGGGUGAUCCUGUGUUCGAGCUAAAACAGUUACCAGAUACACUUAAGUAUGCCUAUCUUGAUGAGAAGGAGAUAUACCCUGUUAUAAUUAGUGCUCACCUCUUGAAUGAGAGGAAGUUAUUAAAAACUUUGAGGAAGCACCGUGCUGCUCUUGGAUAUACUCUUUAUGAUCUUAAGGGUAUUAGUCCCACUCUAUGUCAGCACAAGAUUAAAACCGAUCCUGAUUCUAAGCCAGUCGCUGAUCAUCAACGGAGGUUAAAUCCUAGGAUGAAAGAGGUCGUGACAAAAGAAAUAUUAAAGCUUCUGGAAGCAGGAAUCAUUUAUCCUGUUGCUCAUAGUGAUUGGGUAAGUCCAGUACAUUGCAUACCUAAGAAGGGAGGUAUCACCGUUGUUCUUAAUGAUAAGAAUGAACUAAUCCCACAGAGGAUUAUUACUGGCUAUAGGAUGGUGAUAGACUUCCGGAAAUAGAACAAGGCAACCAGGAAAGACCAUUAUCCUUUGUCGUUUAUCGACCAAAUGCUAGAAAGGCUAUCUAAACACACACACUUCUGCUUUCUAGACGGUUAUUCAGGUUUCUCGCAAAUACCUGUUGCACAAUCUAAUCAGGAGAAAACCACUUUCACCUGCCCCUUCGGUACCUUUGCUUAUAGACGUAUGCCUUUUGGCUUAUGCAAUGCACCUGCCACCUUUCAAAGAUGUAUGAUGGCUAUAUUCUCCGACUUUUGUGAAAAGAUUGUUGAGGUUUUCAUGGAUGAUUUCUCCGUUUACGGUUCUUCCUUUGACGAUUGCCUCAGCAACCUUGAUCGAGUCUUACAGAGAUGCAAAGAUACAAACCUCGUCUUGAACUGGGAGAAGUGCCACUUCAUGGUUAAUGAAGGCAUCGUCUUAGGACACAAAAUCUCUAAGAAAGGCAUUGAAGUUGAUAAGGCUAACGUUGAUGCAAUUGAGAAAAUGCCUUGCCCCACACAUAUCAUAGGUAUACGAAGUUUCCUAGGUCAUGAUGGUUUCUAUAGAAGGUUCAUUAAAGACUUCUCUAAGAUUUCUAGGCCUCUUACCAACCUCUUGCAGAAGGAUGUUCCUUUUGUUUUUGAUGAGGAUUGUGAGAAAGCUUUCGAAAUACUUAAGAAGGCCUGGAUAACGGCACCUAUUGUUCAACCACCUAAUUGGAACUUGUCCUUUGAAAUCAUGUGCGAUGCUAGUGAUUAUGCUGUUGGUGUGUUCUAGGAAAAAGAGUUGACAAGAAGUUGAAUGUCAUUCACUACGCUAGUAAAACUCUAAACAGUGCCCAAAGAAACUAUGCCACUAUGGAGAAGGAAUUUUUAGCAGUCGUGUUUGCAUGUGAAAAGUUCAGAUCUUAUAUAGUUGAGUCCAAAGUCAUUAUUCACUCUGAUCAUGCUGCUAUUAAGUACCUUAUGGAGAAGAAGGACGCUAAGCCUAGGCUAAUCAGAUGGGUUCUCCUGCUACAGGAAUUUGAUUUGCACGUUGUUGACUGAAAGGGUGUUGAUAACCCUGUAGCAGAUAACUUGUCCAGGAUAGAGAAUGUCCUUGAUAACCCACGACCUAUUGAUGACAGCUUUCCUGAUGAGCAAUUGAAUGUCAUCCGCACUUCACAUAGUGCACCAUGGUAAGCUGAUUACGCAAACUAUAUCGUAGCCAAAUACAUACCACCCAGUUUCUAUUGAAAAUAUGCCCUAGAGGCAAUAAUAAAUUAGUUAUUAUUAUAUUUCUUUGUUCAUGAUAAUCGUUUAUUAUCCAUGCUAUAAUUGUAAUGAUUGGAAACACAGUGCAUGUGUGGAUACAUAGACAAAACAUUGUCCCUAGUAAGCCUCUAGUUGACUAGCUCGUCGAUCAAAGAUGGUCAAGGUUUCCUGACCAUAGGCAAGUGUUGUCACUUGAUAACGGGAUCACAUCAUUAGGAGAAUCAUGUGAUGGACUAGACCCAAGCUAAUAGACAUAGCAUGUUGAUCGUGUCAUUUUGUUGCUACUGUUUUCUGCGUGUCAAGUAUUUGUUCCUAUGACCAUGAGAUCAUAUAACUCACUGACACCGGAGGAAUGCUUUAUGUGUAUCAAACGUCGCAACAUAACUGGGUGACUAUAAAGAUGCUCUACAGGUAUCUCCGAAGGUGUUCGUUGAGUUAGUAUGGAUCGAGACUGGGAUUUGUCACUCCGCGUGACGGAGAGGUAUCUCGGGGCCCACUCGGUAAUACAACAUCACACACAAGCCUUGCAAUCAAUGUGACUUAGUGUAAGUUGCGGGAUCUUGUAUUACGGAAUGACUAAUGAGACUUGCCGGUAAACGAGAUUGAAAUAGGUAUGCGGAUACCGGCGAUCGAAUCUCGGGUAAGUAACAUACCGAAGGACAAAGGGAAUGACAUACGGGAUUAUAUGAAUCCUUGGCACUGAGGUUCAACCGAUAAAGAUUUUCGGAAUAUGUAGGAUCCAAUAUGGGCAUCCAGGUCCCGCUAUUGGAUAUUGACCGAGGAGUCCCUCGGGUCAUGUCUACAUAGUUCUCGAACCCGCAGGGUCUGCACACUUAAGGUUCGAUGAUGUUUUAUGCGUAUUUGAGUUAUAUGGUUGGUUACCGUAUGUUGUUAGGAGUCCCGGAUAGGAUCACGGACGUCACGAGGGUUUCCGGAAUGGUCCGGACACAAAGAUUGAUGUAUAGGAUGACCUCAUUUGGUUACCGGAAAGUUUUCGGGCAUUACCGGAAAAGUUUCGGGCUCAUCGGUAGUGUACCGGGAGUGCCGGGAGGGGUGCCGGGGACCAUCGAGAGGGGUGUCACGCCCCAAGUGGUCUCAUGGGCUAUGGGAAGAGAUAAACUAGCCCCUAGUGGGCUGGAAUAAGUUCCCACUAAGGCCCAUAAGGUUUGAGAAGGAAAAAACACAAGGUGGAAAGAGUUUCCAAGUGGGAAGGUGGAAUCCUACUCCAAUUAGGAUUGGAGUAGGACUCCUCCACCUCCAGUUUCGGCCAAACCUUGAGGGUUUGAGGCUGCCUCUUCCCUCUCCCUCCCUCCUAUAUAUACUGGGGUACUAGGGCUGAUUUGACACAACUUUUCCAAGGCAGCCCGACCACAUAACUCCACGGUUUUACCUCUAGAUCGCGUUUCUGCGGAGCUCGGGCGGAGCCCUGCUGAGAUUAGAUCACCACCAACCUCCGGAGCACCGUCACGCUGCCGGAGAGCUCAUCUACCUCUCCGUCUCUCUCGCUGGAUCAAGAAGGCCGAGAUCAUCGUCGAGAUGUACGUGUGCUGAAUGCGGAGGUGUCGUCCGUUCGGAACUAGAUCGGAGCGGAUCGUGGGACGGAUCGCGGGACGUUUCGUGGGACGGUUCGCGGGGCGGAUCGAGGGACGUGAGGACGUUACACUACAUCAACCGCGUUCACUAACGCUUCUGCUGUGCGAUCUACAAGGGUACAUUGAUCAGAAAUCCCCUCUCGUAGAUGGACAUCACAAUGAUAGGACUUCGUGCACGUAGGAAAAUUUUUGUUUCCCAUGCAACGUUCCCCAACAGUGGCAUCAUGAGCUAGGUUCAUGCGUAGAUGUCUUCUCGAGUAGAACACAAAAGUUUUUGUGGGCAGUGAUGUGCGUUUUGCUGCCCUCCUUAGUCUUUUCUUGAUUCUGCGGUAUUGUUGGAUCGAAGCAGCUCGGGCCGACAUUACUCGUACGCUUACGAGAGACUGGUUUCAUCGCUACGAGUAACUCCGUUGCUCAAAGAUGACCGGCGAGUGUCGGUUUCUCCAACUUUAGUUGAAUCGGAUUUGACCAAGGAGGUCCUUGGAUGAGGUUAAAUAGCAAUUCAUAUAUCUCCGUUGUGGUGUUUGCGUAAGUAAGAUGCGAUCCUACUAGAUACCCAUGGUCACCACGUAAAACAUGCAACAACAAUUAGAGGACGUCUAACUUGUUUUUGCAGGGUAUGCUUGUGAUGUGAUAUGGCCAACGAUGUGAUGUGAUAUAUUGGAUUUAUGAGAUGAUCAUGUUGUAAUAGUUAAUAUCGACUUGCACGUCGAUGGUACGGCAACCGGCAGGAGCCAUAAGGUUGUCUUUAAACUAACAUUUGUGCUUGCAGAUGCGUUUACUAUAUUGCUAGGACGUAGCUUUAGUAGUAAUAGCAUGAGUAGCACGAAAACCCCGAUGGUGACACGUUGAUGGAGAUCAUGAUGAUGGAGAUCAUGGUGUGACGUCGGUGACAAGAAGAUCGUGUCGGUGCUUUGGUGAUGGAGAUCAAGAAGCACAUGAUGGUGGCCAUAUCAUGUCACUUAUGAAUUGCAUGUGAUGUUAAUCCUUUAUGCACCUUAUCUUGCUUAGAAUGACGGUAGCAUUAUGAGGUGAUCUCUCACUAAAAUUUCAAGACGAAAUUGUGUUCUCCCCGACUGUGCACCGUUGCGACAGUUCUUCGUUUCGAGACACCACGUGAUGAUCGGGUGUGAUAGACUCAACGUUCACAUACAACGGGUGCAAAACAGUUGCACACGCAGAACACUCGGGUUAAGCUUGACGAGCCUAGCAUGUGCAGACAUGGCCUCGGAACACAUGAGACCGAAAGGUCGAGCAUGAAUCGUAUAGUAGAUAUGAUUAGCAUAGAGAUGCUUACCACUGAAACUAUUCUCGACUCACAUGAUGAUCGGACUUGAGAUAGUGGAUUUGGAUCAUGUACCACUCAAAUGACUAGAGAGAUGUACUUUUUGAGUGGGAGUUCUUAAGUAAUAUGAUUAAUUGAACUAAUUGUCAUGAACAUAGUCUAAUGGUCUUUGCGAAUUACGAUGUAGCUUGCGCUAUAGCUCUACUAUUUUUAUAUGUUCCUAGAGAAAAUUUAGUUGAAAGUUGAUAGUAGCAAACUUUGCAGAGGAUUGUCCUCGUUGUUGCGCAGAAGGCUUAUGUCCUUAAUGCACCACUCGGUGUGCUGCACCUCGAGCGUCGUCUGUGGAUGCUGUGAACAUCCGACAUACAUGUUUCUGAUGACUACACGAUAGUUCAGUGCAAAAUACUUAAUGGCUUAGAAGCAAGGCGCCGAAGCCGUAUUGAAACGUCGCGGAACAUAAAUGAUGUUCUAAAGAGAUGAAAUUGUGAUUUCAUGCUUGUGCCCUUGUUAAGAGGUACAAGACCUCCGACAAGAUUCUUUGUCCACAAAGUAAAGGAGAAAAGCUCAAUCGUUGAGCGUGUGCUCAGAUUGUCUGAGUACGACAAUCGCUUGAAUCAAGUGGGAGUUAAUCUUCCAGAUGAGAUAGUGAUGGUUCUCCAAAGUCACUGCCACCAAGCUGUGAGAGAUUCGUGAUGAACUAUAACAUAUCAAGGAUAGAUACAAUGAUCCUUGAGCGAUUCGCGAUGUUUGACAUUGCGAAAGUAGAAAUCAAGAAGGAGCAUCAAUAGUUGAUGGUUAGUAAAACCACUAAGUUUCGAGAAAGGCAAGGGCUAGAAGGGAUACUUCGUGAAACGGCAAAGCAGUUGCUGCACUAAUGAAGAGACCCCAGAUUAAACCCAAGCCCGUGACUAAGUGCUUCUGUUAUGAGGGGAACGGUCACUGAGGCGAGGCAACUCUAGAUACUUGGUAGAUAAGAAGGCUGGCAAAAGUUGAAAGAAGUAUAUUUGAUAUACAUGAUGUUGAUGUGUACUUUACUAGUACUCCUAGUAGCACGAGGGUAUUGGAUACUGGUUCGGUUGCUAAGUGAUUAGUAACACGAAAUGAAAGCUACGACAUAAACGGAGACUAGCUAAAGGCGAGAUGACGAUACGUGUUGGAAGUGUUUCCAAGGUUGAUAUGAUCAAACGUCGCAUGCUCCCUCUACCAUCGGGAUUGGUGUUAAACCGAAAUAAUUGUUAUUUGGUGCUUGCGUUAAGCAUGGACAUGAUUGGAUCGUGUUUAUUGCAAUACGAUUAUUCAUUUAAAGAGAAUAAUGGUUACUCUAUUUGCUUGAAUAAUCACCUUCAAUGGUUUAUUGAAUCUCGAUCAUAGUGUUACACAUGUUCAUGAUAUUGGUGCCAAAAGAUACGAGGUAAUGAUGAUAGUACCACUUACUUGUGGCACUGCCGCUUGAGUCAUGUUGGUAUAAAUUGCAUGAAGAGGUUCCAUGCUGAUGGAUCUUUAUACUCACUUGAUUUUGAAUCACUACUGACAUGCAGAUCAUACCACAUGAGCAAGGCCUUGUUUUCAUUGAGAUGAAACAAGAUAGUAACUUGUUGGAAGUGAUACAUUUUGAUGUAUGCAGUCCAAUGGGUGCUGAGGCACGCAGUGGUUAUCAUUAUGUUCUUACUUCAAUGACGAUUUGAGUAGAUACAAGAGUAUUUACUUAAUGAAUCACAAGUCUGACAUAUUGAAAAGUUCAAUUCUGUUUCGGAGUGAAGUUCGUUGUAACAAGAGGAUACACUGUCUACGAUAUGAUCAUAGAAAUAAAUAUCUGAGUUAUGAGUUUUGGUACGCAGUUAAGACAAUGUGGAAAUUGUUUCGCAGUUCAUGCCACCUGGAACAUCAUAGUGUGAUGAUGUGUCUGAACGUCAUAGCCACGCACUAUUUGGUAUGGUGCAUGCUAUGAUGUCUCUUAUCGAAUUACCACUAUCGUUUAUGGGUUAUGCAUUAGAGACAACCGCAUUCACUUUAAAUAGGGCACCGCAUGUUUCCGUUGAGAUGACACAGUAUAGACUGAGGUUUAGAGAAAUCUAAACUAUCGUUUCUUGAAAGUUUGGGGUUUCGACACUUAUGUGAAAAAGUUUCAGUCUGAUAAGAUCGAACCCAAAGCGGAUAAAUGCAUCUUCAUAGGAUAUCCAAAACAGUUGGGUACAUUUCCUAUCUCAGAUCCGAAAGCAAAGUGUUUGUUUCUAAAAACGGAUCCUUUCUCGAGGAAAGGUUUCUCUCGAAAGAAUUGAGUGGGAGGGUGGUAGAACUUGAUGAGGUUAUUGAACCAUCACUUCAACCAGUGUGUAGCAGGGCGCAGGAAGUUGUUUCUGUGGCGCCUACACCAAUUGAAGUGAAAGCUGAUGAUGGUGAUCAUCGAGCAUCGGAUCUAGUUACUACAAACCUCGUAGGUUGACAAGGUCGCGUACUAUUGCAUAGUGGUACGGUAACCAUGUCUUGGAGGUCAUGUUGUUGAGCAACAGUGAACCUACGAGUUAUGGAGAAAGCAAUGGUGGGCCCGGAUUCCGACAAAUGGCUGGAGGCCAUGAAAUCCGAGAGAUGAUCCAUGUAUGAAAACAAAGUGUAGACUUUGGAAGAACUACUUGAUGGUCAUAGGACUAUUGAGUAAAGAUGGAUCUUUAAAAGGAAGACAGACGAUGAUGGUGAUAAGUCACUAUUAAGAAAAGCUCGACUUGUCGCAAAGAUGUUUCCGACAAGAUCAAACAGCUAUGAUGAGACUUUCUCACUCAUAGCGAUGCUAAAAGUCUGUUAGAAUUAUGUUAGUAGUUGUUGCAUUAUUUAUGAAAUAUUGCACAUAGGAUGUCAAAACAUUGUUUCCUCGACGGUUUCCUUGAGCAAACAUUGUAUGUGAUACAACCAGGAGGUUUUGUCGAUCCUAAAGAUACUAACAAGUAUGCAAGCUCCAGCGAUCCUUCAAUGGACUGGUGCAAGUAUACACUUUGAUGAGAUGAUCAAAGAUUUUGGGUUUGUACAAGGUUUAUGAGAAACUUGUAUUUCCAAAGAAGUGAGUGGGAGCACUAUAGAAUUUCUGAUAAGUAUAUGUGGUUGACAUAUUGUGGAUCAGAAGUAAUGUAGAAUUUAUGUAAAGCAUACAAGGUUGUUUGAAAGGAGUUUUUCAAAGGAAUACCUGGAUUGCGCUACUUGAACGUUGAGCAUCAAAGAUCUAUGGAGAUAGAUCGAAAGCGCUUAAUAGAAGUUUCAACAAGAUGCAUGCCUUGACAAGUUUUUGAAGGAGUUCAAAAUAGAUCAGCAAAGAAGGAGUUCUUGGUUGCGCUGUAAGGUGUGAAUUUGAGUAAGACUCAAAACCCGACCCCGACAGAAUAAAGAGAAUAGACGAAGGUCGUCUUCUAUGCCUUGGCCGUAGAAUCUGAAGUAUGCCAUGCUGGGUACCGCACCUGACUGUGUGCCUUGACUCAAAGUCUGUUGAUAGGUACAGAGAGUGAUCCAUGAUUGAAUCACUAGCAGCGGUCAAAAUUUAUCCUUAUUAAGUGAUGGACUACGAAAUUUUUCUCGAUUAUGGAGGUGGUUAAAGAGUUCGUCGUAAAGGGUUACGUCAAUGCAAGCUUUGACACUAAUCCGAAUAACUAUGAGUAGUGAAACGGAUUCGUAUAGUAGAGUAGAUAUUUGGAGUAUCUCCGAAUAACACAUAGUAGCUGCAUCUAUAAGAUGACAUAAAGAUUUGUAAAGAACACACGAAUCUGAAAGUUUCAGAACCGUUGACUAAAACCUCUCUCACGAGCAAGACAUUAUCAGACCCCAUAACUAUAUGGGUGUUGGAUUCAUUGGAAUCACAUGGUGAUGUGAACUAGAUUAUUGACUCUAGUGCAAGUGGGAGACUGUUGGAGAUAUGCCCUAGAGGCAAUAAUAAAUUAGUUGUUAUUAUAUUUCUUUGUUCAUGAUAAUCGUUUAUUAUCCAUGCUAUAAUUGUAUUGAUUGGAAACACAGUGCAUGUGUGGAUACAUAGACAAAACACUGUCCCUAGUGAGCCUCUAGUUCACUAGCUCGUUGAUCAAAGAUGUUCAAGGUUUCCUGACCAUAGGCAAGUGUUGUCACUUGAUAACGGGAUCACAUCAUUAGGAGAAUCAUGUGAUGGACUAGACCCAAACUAAUAGACGUAGCAUGUUGAUCGUGUCAUUUUGUUGCUACUGUUUUCUGCGUGUCAAGUAUAUGUUCCUAUGACCAUGAGAUCAUAUAACUCACUGACACCGGAGGAAUGCUUUGUGUGUAUCAAACGUCGCAACGUAACUGGGUGACUAUAAAGAUGCUCUACAGGUAUCUCCAAAGGUGUUCGUUGAGUUAGUAUGGAUCGAGACUGGGAUUUGUCACUCCGUGUGACGGAGAGGUAUCUCGGGGCCCACUCGGUAAUACAACAUCACACACAAGCCUUGCAAGCAAUGUGACUUAGUGUAAGUUGCGGGAUCUUGUAUUACGGAACGAGUAAAGAGACUUGCCGGUAAACGAGAUUGAAAUAGGUAUGCGGAUACCGACGAUCGAAUCUUGGGUAAGUAACAUACCGAAGGACAAAGCGAAUGACAUAUGGGAUUAUAUGAAUCCUUGGCACUGAGGUUCAACCGAUAAAGAUCUUCGGAAUAUGUAGGAUCCAAUAUGGGCAUCCAGGUCCCGCUAUUGGAUAUUGACCGAGGAGUCCCUCGGGUCAUGUCUACAUAGUUCUCGAACCCGCAGGGUCUGCACACUUAAGGUUCGAUGAUGUUUUAUGUGUAUUUGAGUUAUAUGGUUGGUUACCAAAUGUUGUUCGGAGUCCCGGAUGGGAUCACGGACGUCACGAGGGUUUCCGGAAUGGUCCGGAGAUGAAGAUUGAUAUAUAGGAUGACCUCAUUUGGUUACCGGAAAGUUUUCGGGCAUUACCGGAAAAGUUUCGGGCUCAUCGGUAGUGUACCGGGAGUGCCGGGAGGGGUGCCGGGGACCAUCGAGAGGGGUGUCACGCCCCAAGGGGUCUAAUGGUCUAUGGGAAGAGAUAAAUUAGCCCCUAGUGAGCUGGAAUAAGUUCCCACUAAGGCCCAUAAGGUUUGAGAAGGAAAAAACACAAGGUGGAAAGAGUUUCCAAGUGGGAAGGUGGAAUCCUACUCCAAGUAGGAUUGGAGUAGGACUCCUCCACCUCCAAUUUCGGCCAAACCUUGAGGGUUUGAGGCUGCCUCUUCGCUCUCCCUCCCUCCUAUAUAUACUGGGGUAUUAGGGCUGAUUUGACACAACUUUUCCAAGGCAGCCCGACCACAUAACUCCACGGUUUUACCUCUAGAUCGCGUUUCUGCGGAGCUCGGGCGGAGCCCUGCUGAGAUUAGAUCACCACCAACCUCCGGAGCGCCGUCACGCUGCCGGAGAAAUCAUCUACCUCUCCGUCGCUCUUGCUGGAUCAAGAAGGCCGAGAUCAUCGUCGAGCUAUACGUGUGCUGAACACGGAGGUGUCGUCCGUUCGGCACUAGAUCGGAGCGGAUCGUGGGACGGAUCGCGGGACGGUUCGUGGGAUGGUUCGCGAAGGGACGUGAGGAUGUUCCACUACAUCAACCGUGUUCACUAACGCUUCUGCUAUGCGAUCUACAAGGGUACGUAGAUCGGAAAUCCCCUCUCGUAGAUGGACAUCACCAUGAUAGGACUUCGUGCGCGUAGGAAAUUUUUUUUUCCCAUGCAACGUUCCCCAACAGUUUCACCUACCAGCAAAAGAAGAAAUUCUUCUUUGAUUUGAGACACUACUUUUGGGAUGAUCCUCACCUUUAUAAGGAAGGAGUAGAUGGUGUUAUUAGACGUUGUGUGCCUGAACAUGAACAGGGACAGAUCUUGCAGAAGUGUCAUUCCGAAGCCUACGGAGGACACCAUGCUGGAGAUAGAACUGCUCAUAAGGUAUUGCAAUCAGGUUUCUAUUGGCCCACUCUCUUCAAGGAUGCCCGUAAGUUUGUCUUGUCUUCUGACGAAUGCCGAAGAAUAGGGAAGAUCAGUAAACGUCAGGAAAAGCCUAUGAACUAUUCACUUGUCAUUGAACCAUUUGAUGUGUGGGGCUUUGAUUAUAUGGGACCCUUCCUGAGUUCCAAUGGGUAUACUCACAUCUUAGUUGAUGUUGAUUACGUCACUAAGUGGGUAGUAGCUAUCCCCACUAGAAAUGUUGAUCAUCACACCUCUAUUAAGAUGCUUAAAGAAGUCAUUUUCCCAAGAUUUGGAGUCCCUAGAUAUCUGAUGACUGAUGGCGGUUCACACUUCAUUCAUGGUGUUUUCCGCAAGAUGCUCGCUAAGUAUGAUGUCAACCAUAGAGUUGCAUCUCCUUAUCAUCCUUAGUCUAGUGGUCAAGUGGAGUUGAGUAAUAGGGAGAUCAAAUUGAUCUUACGAAAUACUUUCAAUAGAUCUCGAAAGAAUUGGUCUAGCAAACUUGACGAUGCACUAUGGGCUUAUAGGACUGCUUAUAAGAAUCCCAUGGGCAUGUCGCCGUAUAAAAUGGUUUACGGUAGGGCCUGUCAUUUACCUCUUGAGCUAGAACACAAAGCUUAUUGGGCAAUCAAAGAGCUCAACUUCGAUUUCAAACUUGCGGUGAGAAGCGGUUGUUUGAUAUGAGCUCAUUAGAUGAAUGGAGGACCCAGGCAUAUGAGAAUGCCAAGUUGUUCAAGGAAAAGGUUAAGAGAUGGCACGAGAAAAGAAUACAAAAACGUGAGUUCAAUGUAGGUGAUUAUGUCCUGCUAUACAAUUCUCGCUUAAGAUUCUUCGCACGCAAACUUCUCUCUAAAUGGGAAGGUCCCUAUGUUGUCGAGGAAGUAUAUCGUUCCGGUGCCAUCAAAAUCAAUAACACGAAAGGUAAUUUUCCGAGAGUGGUAAAUGGGCAAAGAAUCAAGCAUUAUAUCUUUGGUACUCCCAUAAAUGUUGAGACCAAUAUCAUCAAUAUCAUAACUCCAAAGGAGUACAUAAGGGAUGUUUAUCAACCUGUUUCAGACCCUGAAAACGAAGAGGUAUGUGUUUCGGUAAGUAAUUGGACUCCAAAACUUUUCCAGUAGGAAAUUUUCUCCGUUUUGGAAUUUUUGGAAAAAUAGAAAAAUAAAAAGCAGUCCGGAGAGCGCACGAGGCGUCCACAAGCUUGGUAGCCGCGGCCUCCCCCCUGGCUGCGGCUACAGGGCUUGUGGGCACCUCGUGUGCCUCCCGGACUCCGUUUUCUUGCGGAGCACUCCUUCUGGUCCAGAAAAAAUCAUUAUAUAUACGCCCGAGGGUUUUGAUCUCCGUAUCACGUAGUUUUCCUCUGUUUUCGUUUCGAGCCUGUUUCUGCUGCAGUUCUAGACUGCUAUGGCUUCCCCAAAAGCUCCGAAGGACAAGGUCUUUGAGAAGGUUAUCAAUCCUUACCUCGCGGAAGUGUUGCAGCACCCUCAAUCUAUCAAGAUGAGUGAGGAGAUGUUGCACAUUCGUGAUGUUGAGGGGCCUAAGAAGACCGGAAGCAUGGAGACGAGGCUCGAAGCAAUGGAGCAACAAGUCUUUAAGUGCCAAGGGAUGGUGGAGCGUGGACUCAACGCCAACCACAUGAUGAUCGCGGAAUUCACCAACAAGCACAAGAUGGAUGCCAAUGACAUUGGGAAGCACCUCUCCAGGCUCUAUGACAGGGUUGAUCAACUCCAGGGCCAGAUCUAUGACAGGCAGAACCAAAACUAUGAGUAUGAGUAUAGAUUUAAAUCAAUACGGUUGGCUGCAGAUUUAAGGAUUCCGGCGACUCGUUCAUCCUGCCAUGAUGAAGCACCUAUGCCUUGGAAGACGGAGGAUCAGACUCAUGUUGCAACUCCUCCACCACCACCAAAGGAAGACAACUGAGCAUUGGUAUGGGCAAUCCCCUUGGCUUUUGCCAAGCUUGGGGGAGUUGCCCUCGUAUCGUAUCACCUUUAUAUCUUUUGUUUUUACCUUUGUUUUAGUUCUUUCUUUUUCAGUUUUUACUUUCUUCUCUUAGUGGGAUAAGUCUUUAGUGUUUAGUUUGAGUCUUUUGCCUUGUGUCUCCCCCGAUGUAUUCGCGCGUUCGCGCUCGCCGAAGAGGUCCAGGCCUCGCUCCCUGGUUCCCGCUCCCUCUUCCUCGGCGCCCCCGCCCCGUCCCUCGAGUCCGCUACCGCCGCCUCUUCCUCUUACCCGUUCGCCGCCAGCCCUUCUUGCCUCCCCCGCGUGUUCCUCGCCAUGGCGCUGCACCUCUACCACUUUCGCCCCCACAUCCUCGUCGCCACCGGUGGCCCCCCUGCCCUCCCCAGCUCCCUCGUCGCGCUUCUCAUGGGAUUCCCUUUCGUGAUCCAGGCCUCCACCAGGGCGCGUUUCUUCCCCACGGCAGGGCUAGUGGGGGAGGAGGGGACGGAGGUCGUGCUCGUGCUCGCUGGGACAGUGGGAUCACCGCAGAUCAAUGUGGCAGUGCUUAACAUGUAUUACGAGAUGCUGUCGAGAAGGAAAAAUAGGUACAUUAUAUGGCAGACGGGACCAGAGGAUUUAUGCGAGAUGGAGAGCCUCGUCAGGGACCAUCGCCGGCUGUUUCUGACACCGUGAGUUCCCUUCCUUUGCUUGUAUCACGUUGUUUGUACUUGGGAUGUCAAUUUAUAGCUGUUAAGGGCGCGUUCGGUAGCCAGUAUACAACCCAACCAGACCCGCUGGAUGCUGCUUUUUUCUUGUUGGGUUAUUUGGUUAUAUGCAAACACUGUUGUGCCUGUAUCGCAUGGUUCUUAAAGCAUCGUUUUGCAUGCAUCGCUGCAAACGCUUAAAUCAACGGUUUCCAGCUAGCCAUGCCCAAGAGAUGCUCUCCAGCCCACGUGGGUGGCUCUGGCCAAGCAUGCUUGUAUGUAGUUAGCAGGUAUUUUCUUCUAAGCACCUCUUUAAUCUCCUUCAUCCCUUCUACACAACCCUGCUUUGUUUCGCGAUAAGCUGUACACAAAAAAUAUGCAGCUCGGUGUUCUAAUUCCAUUCAGGCGAUUGGAUCAUAGUUUCGUUCCCUAUAGAUGCUGGACUUCUUCUUCAUAUUUGAAGCUUUUUUCGACGAAUUUUGUCAAAUUUGUGAGACGGUCAACCGUUUGAAGUUUCCUUUGAGUAGUAGUUUCAUGUCGUUGUUUGACACGACUUUCGUAUUGCAUGCAUCGUCGUCGGACGAGCAUGUGGACGACCCAUGGCGGCGCCUGCAAGCUUCGGAGCUGGCCAUCCAUGGAGCUCCCGCGGAGAAUAAAGCGCAACGACAGCUAUGGUUAACACGGACACGUGUGCGUGGAAAGAAGAAAGGGGGGGUUCGAGGGGAGCACAUGGGACCUUGGUUUGUCCGGUGAUGGGGAGGAGCAAAGGCUUGGCCAUGCUCGAGCACUACUCCAUGUACGAUGUGCACGGUGGAGCUCGGUGGUCCUCUGGCGCGGCAGCGGCGAGGCUCCGGCAUGAGCAACACGUCCAGGAGAGGGCCUCUUGAGCAGCAGCUUGAGGAGCUCAGGCUCGUGGCGUUCGUGGCGCUGCUUCCUAACCAAGCACAUAGAGAGACAGAGAGUUCAGGGAAAGGAGAGAUGUAUGGAUUGGAGAGAGAGAGACAGGAAAGGGCAAUGAGGAACAGGGGACUGUGCGGCUGGUGCUGCUUCAGUAGUGCUAGUCGCUGACGGGACGAGGAGGCAGGGGGUGAGGUCGGGAUCAAGGUGAAAGCUGACGGGCGGCUGCCGGUACACCGGUGUCGUCGGUGGCACUGGCGCCGACCAGUAGUCUACCCGUGGUUCCCUCUGCCAUACUCGUCCUUCUGCGAGCGAAGCACGUGUGCGUUCCACUAUAAUCUCUUUGUUAACUGUAGUUGUUAACUCCUGGUCACCAUGCAUGUAUGCAACCAAGCACCGGGCAGAAAUUGCUUUCACGAUGACAACACCCCAUAUGUAGGCAACCAAACAACAUGCAAAUGUCGUAUUUACCCUAUAUUUUCUCAACCAGUCUACACUCCAUCGGACUCGUUUAUCUCCUCUCAACCAGGGCUUGCUGAGGAAGUUACCAAACACGCCCUAAUUAGCUUGCACGGGGAUCUCGAUGUAUUAAUGGGAACGUGUCAAACUUUUAUGGAAAGAUGCAUGUCCGUUGAGAAAAAUAAAAAGGGAUAAUUGGUUUUAUGCCCCUAGUUGGGUUACACUCGACAGGUUUAUCCCUACUUUCCCAAAACAAUCGUUCUGCCCAAACCACUUUGCUCGUCUUACGCAUUUGCCCUUUGACCGUUUGACCGCCACUUUAAAAACUUAAUAACAAAUGCAUACUAACUCAGAAAAAUGCAAAUAAGAUAUCAAACUGUUCAGAAAUACAUCACAUAGUGGUUUGGGUGGGAUAAACUAGGGAUAAACCUGCCGAGUGUGUCGCAACUAGGGGCAUAAAACCAAUUUUCACAAAUAAAAAUAGUGGAUUGAUGACGUGGCAUGUGUAGUGAGGUGGCAUGUGUGCAUGUUGAGAUAAAUACAAGUAGUGGGCCUAUGAUAGUUAAUUUUCUAUGCUUAUUAAUUGUGAUCUUUUCACUUUUGCUCAAAUUAGACAGGGUUUAGGUAACAUGAUACGGUAUAGGUAACAUGAUACCAUUCAGUCAAGCGAAGAUCAACCUUCUAUCAUGACAGUACUAAUUAGUGCAGAACUAGAAGACACGAUUGUGAUAUUACUACAAGCAGCACUGAUAACAUUAUGAUACCAUUUCAGUGUUAUAAUCUCAUAGCCUAUGUUCCAUUUCUUCUGAAAAUGUGUAUUGGUAACAAAACACUUACAUGACACUCGAUCCAAAUUUGACAAUAUGUUAGCGACCAACCCUAUUCUCGUCUGCGCUCAGCCAAGUGCGCAGGGCUUGGGAUACACGGAGCCUCGGGAGGGAGCAGCUACAUAUGAUGGAAUUCACUACAAACAACUUGGCUAGGAAUUGGAUGGCUUAGGCCUCCUCUGCUUCUCUAUCUCCUCCUCUCGUGUUCCUCUCCUCCACUGUAAUGGCUAACCCUUGGUGAAUCCAUGGCUUGUAGUUCCAAUCGUUGAGCAAUUGACCUAUGUACUUGAGUGUUGUUAACAAUUGGUAUUUUUUUAGAGGAAAAGGGAGAUAGAUAUCCCCUGUUCCAUUACUUGAACGAAACCAGAAAAGUUGCAUACGUCAUGUCUCUUAGAGCAGCAGUUCCAAGGGAAACAAAAUAAAGACUAGAGCAAUGUAGAAACGGGAGGAAGAGAGGAGUACCUCCAGCUCGUGUGUUUGUGUGUGGCGGCUCAUACUGGGAACGGGAUGGCUGGGAGCCUCUUUUUAGGUCAGUCCCAUUACAUGGGCCUCGGCCCUAAGAGAUAACUGGAUGGGUUGGGCCAUACCGGUUCAACACUCACCCUCAAGAUGGGUGGUAGAUAUCUAUCAUUCCCAUCUUGUCACAUGCCAAGUUACAAUCCUUUGUACCGAGACCCUUUGUCAAACAAUCUGCAAACUGCUGCCCAGAACUGACAUGAGUAAGGCUGAUGACCCCGGCAUCAAGCUUCUCCUUAAUGAAGAACUGAUCAAUUUCCACAUGCUUUGUCCUAUCAUGUUGAACUGGGUUAUUUGCGAUGGCUAUAGCUAACUGAUUGUCACACCACACCUUCAAGGGCCCCUUCCUCAGAAGUUUCAACUCGCUCAGUAGGUACUUCACCAGAGCAUCUCACACCUCCCUUGAGAUAAUGCUCUAUACUCAGCUUCUGUUGUUGAUCUAGACACAACCGACUGUUUCUUGCUUCUCCAUGAUACCAAAUUUCCUCCCACAAACACGCAGUAGCCAGAAGUUGAUCUUCUAUCAUCUUGACAACUGGCCCAGUCAGAGUCACUAUAGUCAUCCACCUCAAGAUGUCCACUCUUCCCAAACCACAACCCUUUACCCGGAGUCUCCUUCAAGUAUCUCAGGAUUCUAUGCACAAUAUCAAGAUGCCCACUCCUUGGUUCAUGCAUGUAUCUGCUCACCACCCCGUAGCAUACGUAAUGUCAGGCCUGGUAUGACACAAGUACAACAACCUUCCAACCAGUUUCUGAUACUCUUCCUUAUUCACUAGCUCUCCUGAUUGGGUUGUCACUUGGUUAUUUUGUUCAAUCGGAGUAGGGGCACUACGACAUCCCAUCAUGCCUACGUCACUCAAGAGAUCCAAGGUGUAUUUUUGUUGGCACAAAGAGAUUCCCUUCUCUGUCUGAGCCACUUCAAUGCCAAGAAAGUAUUUUAGGUUACCCAAAUCCUUUACCUCAAACUCCUUGAUCAAACAACCCUUUGAUCUCUCUAUUUCCUCCUCAUCAUCUCGAGUGAUGAUAAUGUCAUCCACAUAAACAGCAAGAAUGGUGACCUUCCGAUCAGAGUGCUUGUAGAACAUCGUGUGGUCACUGUUACACUGACCAUACCCCAUACCACGGAAAAACACGUCUGAAGCUAUCAAACCAGGCCCUUGGUGAUUGCUUCAGUCCAAACAAUGAUUUCUUCAGCGUGCAUACCUUCCCCGUAGUCUCUGUAGUACCAAAACCUGGUGGUAUUUCCAUGUACACUUCUUCUUGCAACUCACCAUCCAAGAAGGCAUUUUUAACAUCUAAUUUGCCAUGGGAGCAAACGUCUCAUCAUAGUCAAUUCCAUAAGUUUGACUAUAUCCUCUGGUGACCAAUCUGGCCUUAUACCGUUCCACCUUCCCUUCAGGAUUCUGCUUCACUAUAUAGAUCCACUUACAACUCACUGCUUUCUUUUCUGUCGGCAAUGUGGUUAGCACCCAUGUCUUGUUUUUCCUUAGUGCGUCCAACUCUUCUAUCAUCGCUUCACGCCACCUCGGAUCUUGCUUUGCAGCCUUCCAAUCCUUUGGAAUUGAAACAGUUUGAAGGGAGGCAACAAACACCUUAUAUGUGGGUGACAAAGCCUUAUAAGACACAAAAUUGUCAAUAUCAAGAUCAUCACAAGCAUCAUCCUUUGGUAGAGCCUUCCUUGCUACUUCACCCUUUCUUUCCGCUUCACGUGUAGCCUUUCGCAAUGCAAUGGGCAGCUCCACUGUGUCAGAUGAGCUCGUCUCACUGUCUUCCUGCACCCCUGCACUCUUGCCUCAUUGCCUUGCUGCUCCCCUUGCACUCUUGCCUCAUUGCCUUGGUGCUCCCCCUGCACUCUUGCCUCACUGCCUUGCUGCUCCCCUUGCACGUGUGUUUGCCAUCGAGAGUACACUAGGGUGUUCAUCUGCCAUCGAUCCCGAACAGGAACCCGAAGAGCACCAAUCUUAAAUGUAUCGACGGUUAGCUCGACACGAACCUGCACAUCAUCAUCAGUGAGAGUACUAAUCGGACUUGUUCCCACUAUUGGUUGGACCUGAACUUGCACAUCAUUAGUAGUGUUAUUGCCCACAGAAGCACCCUGAGUAUGAGACACAUCCUUCUCGCCCUCUUGACCAUCUUGCACAUGUUGUAGGUGGUCAAGCUCUGCAAAUAGCAGACUGCGAUCAGUCUGCGUACCAUAGAAUGGCUCCGACUCCGUGAAGGUAACAUCCAUACUCACAAACCUGUGUUUUUCAGAGGGAGACCAACAUUUAUACCCCUGCUGACUAGAAGAGUAUCCCAGGAAGACGCACUUCACUGCCCAAGGAUCAAGCUUUCCAACAGAUGGUCGGUGAUCACGAACAAAGCAAGUACUGCCAAACAACUUUGGGGAAACAACGAACUUAUUAUCUCCAAUGAGCAACUCAGACGGAGAUUUCAUACCUAAUAUCCUCGAAGGUGUCCGGUUGAUCAGGUACGUGGCAGUCAUAACUGCUUCAUCCCAUAAGAACUUAGGCACAUUCAUGGUAAACAUCAAUGACCGAGCAACCUCAAGAAUAUGACGAUUCUUCCUUUCGGCCACUCCAUUAUGUGGUGGGGUGUCCGGACAUGAAGUUUGAUGAAGAAUCCCCUGGUUAGCCAUGAAAUCCCCAAAAAUAUUGUUCACAUACUUUGUACCAUUGUCAGUCCUGAGCACGUUGACCUGCACCUAAAACUAGUUCUUUACAAGAGCAUGGAAGUUCUGAAAACAGCUAAACACCUCAUCCUUGUGACGCAUCAAGUAAAUCCAAGUCAUACGAGAAUAGCAGUCAAUAAAGGUAACAAAAUACUUCUUUCCAUUCAUUGACACUACUGGGCUAGUCCAUACAUCCGAAUGAAUGAGCAUAAAAGGAGAUAUGCUCCUAAGCCCCUUACUCACAUAUGAGGCUCGUGUGUGUUUUGCAUAUUCGCAAGCAUCACAUGUCAACUUGCCCUUGCCUAUUCCACACAUAACAACCGGAAAGACUACUCAUCUUAUCAAAAGAUACAUGACCCAUUCUACAAUGAUGGAUCAUCGUUUGCUUCUCCUUGUCCUCCAUGGUCGCAGCACACACCAAGUCCGGUUGCACCUCCUGGUCCAUGUACCAGAGCCCCCUACGCCUGGUGCCAGUCCCAACCGUCUGGCUCGUCUGUCGCUCCUGAAUCAAGCAACUGAACUUGUCAAGGAUCACACGAUAGUCUAUUUGAUCAAUAAGAGCACUGAAAGAGACCAAAUUGACAGGAAAAAGCUGGCACAUGCAAAACUUAUGAUAAGGAGAUGGCUGAAGUGCAUUUGACUGUGCUAACCCCUACGACAGGCUGAUUGGUACCAUCGGCAGUUUGUAUAGUGCCCUUGUGAGUAGGAGCAUGCUUAUGGUAAGACUCAAACACACAGAAAUUACCCGCAACAUGCUUAGAUGCUCCAGAGUCAAAGACCCACUUUGAAGCACUCUCAUUAGGAGUAAGAAAUGCCUUCAUCGAAUUACCUUCAUCAGUGGAGGCCCAGUGCGCAAAGUCUCCAUAGGCAGCCUCAUCAACUCCCUUGCCGUGUGACGUCCCAGUGUCCUCUUCAACUACCAUAUGCGCCCCUGCCCCCUCAGUUUCCUGAGUAGCCACCUCUGCCCCUAGAAAGUUGACCCCCUGAGUUCCAUGGGUAUCCACCUUUGCCUAGAGCAUACGUGCCUCUACCAGUGCCCCCUCUGUUGUAUCCCCUCCCUCUACCACGAGUUGGACAUUCCCUCUUCCAAUGACCUACCUCCCCACAAAUAUGACAUUUGUUGGGAUCUCCCCACUCCAUGCGCUCAGUGACUGCAAAUGUCGAAGCCGGCACAAACUUCACGUUUGCAUGCUCAAGAGAUAGCCUCACCUCCUCUUGAGACAUUGCUGCAAUAGUCUCCUCAAUAGUUGGUAGGAGAAGUUGGUGCAACAUGGAAGCCCCCUGCCAUGAAAGCAACCUCUAAGGCCUUCCAACAGUUUCAGCACACGCCUGCGUGCAAUCCACUUGUGCCCUGACUCGAUGCACGCCGCAUCGUAGAGUUCCAGAGGAUCACAGUUAUCCUGCUCCGCCCACAAAGCCUGCAGCUCUGCUACAUAUGCCAUCACUGACAUGUCAUCGCCUUGGCGCAGCCGACUGAUCUUCCCCUCAAUCUGAGCAAUUAGCAUGAAAUUACCCUUGCCUGAGUAUUGGGUGGAUAGAGUCUUCCAUAUCUCGACGGACGUGGAUAGUCCCUCCACAGAGCGACCAAUGGAGGUCACCACUGAGUUCAACAACCAGCCAACAAGCACAGAGUUUAUGACCAUCCACCGCUUUCCCUCCGCGGUAGUCUUGUCUUCGGGUUCAUCAACCGCACCCAAUAAGUGCCCAUUAAGUUCCUUCUAUUCCACUGCCAGCAAUGCCCUUCUGGACCAGCUCAAAUAAUUUGUGGGCCCCUCUAGCUUCAUGUCCAGGGGUGAUAUUUCGAGCUUCUGAGCCACUUCCUAUCGAGGAAUGAUGGCCCUAGAGUUGGAGUUGGACUCCGCGAGGAUCUUAGCGAGCUUCUCGAAAGCAGCAGCGAGAGCAUUUGGUUCAGCCCACUUUGGUGCUCCAGCAGCACCACAACCUCACUUCUUCUCCACAGCAGAACCAACACACAGCAGCAAAACAGCAACAUAGAUGCACAACAGCAGGAACAACACAACAACAGCUCCACUAACAACACAGCAACAGCUCCAGGAACAGUCCACCACCAGCACCUUCUACUCUAGCAGCAACACCCAGCUCCUCUAGCAGCAGCACCCAGCUCCCGGUCUCCCCUAUAGUGCACACCACCACCAGCAGCAACAGCAGCUGCAACUUCCUUCUCGGGCAAGCAGCAGCAGCCGCAACCCCAGAUGCAGCCACAACAGCAGACUCAAGCAGCUGCCCUUCUUUCGCUUCCUCCUCUCUCCUUCUCCCUUCCACCCCCAGAAACACAGCAGAACAGAGAGAGAUAAGAGAGCCGGGGCAGGUAGGAACCAGCACCAGCCGCCGCCCUGUCGCCCGCGCAGCCGCUUCUCCUCCUCGCGCGCACGCACAACCCACGCAUAGCCGCCUCCUCUCCAGCACGCAAUGCCGCCGUCAAUCCCCACCGGACCCUGCAGCCAUGCCGGCCGGCGCUGCCGUCCGUCAAGCCUUGUCGGACCUAGCCUCUGAUACCAUGUCGAAAUGGGAGGAAGAGAGGAGUACCUCCAGCUCGUGUGUUUGUGUGUGGCGGCUCAGACUGAGAACGGGAUGGCUGGGAGCCUCUUUUUAGGUCAGUCCCACUACAUGGGCCUGGGCCCUAAGAGAUAACUGGAUGGGCUGGGCCAUACCGGUUCAACAAGCAACAAGCAAGAGAAACUAGCCAACACCACCUGGGAGGAAAUUAUUAAGAGAAACUAGCAACUACUACUACGCGCAGGUGAUCUCCAGAGUAGAUUUCCUGGCCUUCAGUGGGGGUGCCGAUGGAGUUCGAGGAGACCAGCAAACCACCAGGGUUCAAACAGGGCUAGCCAUUCCAGGCUCGUCUUCGGAGGUUUUCCUUUUUAUAGGGGAUCGGAAAGAGGUAUCAUUAGUGAUCUUGAGCUUGCUCCAUGGGUCAAACGCCAGCGAGUCUUGUGUGGAAGUAAUCUGACUCAGCCACUUGUGAGUGCGAACGGCUUCCUCAAGAAAUUCACUAGAUGUGUUGCAAAGGCUGAAAUUCUCUCCCGAGGCUGGUCCGGAGACAAAAUGGCCCAAGCUUUGAUCAUGGCCAGUAAUCCCUUCAGGACCUGAUGGAUGGACAACCAAGUGUUGUUAUUGAAAAUCAUAGCAUUCCUAUAUUUCCGAAGACACCACAAAACAGCAGAGCUAGUAGUAUUUAAGGCAGAGUUUCUAUUGUUAGAAACCCAGAGUCUAGCAAUUUAUUCAAAGUUUCCACCUAGCUGAACUUUAAAAUGCUCGCAGAUUAAAGGCCAGACAUUCUUAGCUACCACACAGUUAAAGAAAAGAUGCUGGAUGGACUCUUUUCAGAACAAAACACACAAUCAAGGGUUUUGAUCAUCAUGUGCCUUUUUCGAAGGUUGUCCUUGGUCAUCAGUUUAUUGUGUGAAAGCAGCCAGAGAAAAACAUGAAUUCUAGGAUGAACUCUAAUUUUUCACACAGCAGGGAUGAAUACAGGUUGUACACCUCUAAAGUUAAUAACAUGGUAAAGAGAACUAGCAGAGUAUUGCCCUUUAUUUUCUAGUUGCCAGACCAGAGCAUCAGAUUCAUCACUGAGAGUAAUGCUCCUGGCAAUCACAACCAAUUGGUACCGUUGCUCCAUCAGGGUAUCAUCAAAAUUCCGUCUAAAGGAUAAUUUUAUUUGUUGACCAUCCUAAACCUCAUUAAUAGAUUUGGAUUGUUCAUUGCAAACCGAAUAAACAUGUCAGAAUUGAAUUGCUAGAGGGGAAGUACCAAACCAAGUAUCUUCCCAAAGUCUAAAUUUGCAGCCAUUUCCUACUUUCCAUCUGUAUCCAAAUUUGAAGGCUUGGAUAAUGGAUCUAAUCCCUUUCCUGAAUCUGGAAAUUUUCUGUGCGUGAUAGGGAGCAAAGGGGUUAGGUUUCUCCGUUUUGUACUUAUGAUCAAUGAUCAUUUUCCAAGGUUUACCAUCUCCUUCAUAGUAUCUUUUAACCCAGGUGCCUAACAGGCAUAGGUUGAGAUCUUGAAGGUUAGGAAUCCCAAGCCCCCCAAAUUCUUUUUUCAUAGAAGCUAACCCCCAAUUGGCUAGAUGGAGUUUCCUGUGACCUUCAAAGUCAUUCCACAAGCUGAUACGGGGCACACCCGUGGGUGUCGAUCUUUCACGGAUUGGAGGGGGAAUCCUCAAGAACACGAAGAACACGGGGAUGAAUGGGGAGAAAUCACAAGAGAGAACACUCAAGAACAAGUCCAAUCACACAUCCACUAGACUCACGACACAGAAGAUCCACAAGGGUAUAUGAACAACAAAGGGAAAGUAAGAUACAUGGUAGAGUUCAUCCCAAAUCCCAUGGGGAGAUGGGGCCUUUAAUACACUAGGGGAUCUUCCCUCGUAAGGGGCCUUGGCAUCCACUGCGUGGUAUUCUCACAUGCAGGCAUCUCCAUGGGAGGAGGUAGUAGAUGGAGCUAUGCUCAACAAAAGAUGUCUAUGCAUAAGCUUACCCUAGAAAGGAGGAGUGGGUGGAGUAUAUAUAGUGCCAGGGACGAAGGUGUAAGUGAGAUGGAUAUACAAGGCCAAAGUCCCGUCAUGCGCACAGGCAGGGCGGGAUGAUCCGGGCUAGGGGCCUGAUGAUCCGGGCAUCAUCCGGAUAAUCCGGCCGGGGGUCCGGAUGAUCCGGAUUCGGUAAAAACGUCGGGUAUCGUACCCGGACGAUCCGGGCUGGGGUCCGGAUGAUCCGGGCGCCUUCCGGAUGGGCCGGGGUCCGGAUGAUCUGGGCAAGUGCAGUCUUGCACUCCCUCCAGCUUCUGGACUCCGUCUUCUUCCGUCUUCGCUUCCAAGCUUCCCUCGCGGAUGGUGUAGUCGUACGUAGGUGUGGGCACUCCUCCUCGUCAUACGUGAAGCUCCGACAAUAUCUAUGCGUGCACACGAGAGUAGUGUCAAGUAGUAUACCAUCCUCGAAGGGGUCAAGUGAGCACGUGUAAAGGAGAUGAUUCACCUUUGUAUAUUUGAAGUAGAAGUAGCACGUGUCAUUUGGCAAAGGGACUCUUGCCAUGGUGAUGUCCGUGGGAUGCUCCAUAUCACAAGAAAUUAGCCAUUUGUGAAUUGAUCAUCUCUAUGGCCAAUUUCGGGAAUUUGAAGAAGGGAAGUAAAUAAAUGGGGAUGCUGGCAAGGCAUGCCUGAAUGAAAGCCUGCCCUUGUAAGAAAGGAGCUUACCCCUCCAUCCUGCAAUCCUUUUCAGAUUUAUGAGAGGUUGAAUAUAUUCUAUUUUAAGUUUAUCAUGGUGGAGAGGGAUCCCCAAAUAUUUAAUUGGGAAUUUGCCACCACUACAAUCUAGGGCAGUAAGGAAGUUUUGAAACUCAGCCUCUUCCACAUUAAUUGGAAUAAGCUCACUCUUAGAAUAAUUAUUUCUCAUCCCAGAUACUUGCUCAAAGCAAGUUAGAGCUACUUUGAGGUUAUUGGCAUGAGUAAGGUCCUUAUCUAAGAACAUAAUUGUGUCAUCUGCGUACUAGAGGCAGAUGACCCCUCCUAGACAAACAUCAGGACACAGACCAAUAAUUAGAUUCUGAUUAGCAGCUUUAUCUAAGAUCUUGAGCAAGUCAUACAUGAUUUAAACAUAUUCUAUCUCUAAGUUCUAUCUCUACCUUAAACACAAUAUACUUAUAACAUUCCCCCUCAGACGUAGUGGGAGUGAAGGAGACCAUUGCGACUGAAUUUGAAUUCUUGCGUCUCUGUCAUCUUCUCCACCGCGCCAUCAUCAACUGCGUCUCUGAUGGAUCGACACCUAGGGCGGUGACUGCGUCCCCUUCUGGUGCCUUCGUUGUCUUUCCUCUAUUCCCUCGCGCAGUCACAACAGGAGUGACGUGGACGCUAGUGACGACGCGAACGCUGUUGACUGGAGUUGUUGUCGAUGAGUUGCUAUAGACCAAACUAUUAAUGUCGAUGUAGCCGUGGUCGAGGUAGUCAUGGUCGAUGUGUGAUCGUCGUGGAUGAUGAAGCCAAAAAAAUCCGGAGGCACAAAAAAAUACGCUAUGACGGAGUUGCAGACGUGGACGAUGCACCUUGCGAAUGUCAGAGGGUGCCGUCAAGGAUGAGUCCACCGGUUUUGCCACGGCCGAAGGAAACCCAUCGAGCACACAUCUGUUUUGCCAGAACCAUGUGGCCGUGUAGGAUCGUCACUGUAGUGACGCCAUAUCGAUGCAGUCGUGCCAUCAUGGAUGACGCGGUCAAUGUCGUCGUCAUGACGCGGUCAUUGUCGUCAUCGAGGUCGCGUCUUGCAGAAAAAUUUGUCAGAGGACGCUAGGUGUCCAUCUUGUGGACAAGGCAGUGGCGGUGUGUUGACGAAGAUGUUGAUGAAGACCACGUCGAUGAAGACCUUGAUGAUGAAGCGUCGGCGAUGACGUCGCAACAGCGUGUCAAUGAUAAUGUGUUGCGUGAAGGCAUCCCUUGCAGCGACCAAGUGUCGAUGACGUGUCUCGUCGGAGAAGUCGAUGGACAAUUGCAUCACUUCCCACACCGGCCUGGCGUGUGGAUGGUGCAUGCCGUGAUAGAUUCUCAUAGUGUGCUCGAUGAUGAAUCUGGUGUAGUUUGGCUUGAUGCAGUGCAAAUCGGUCGGUGUAGUCGUAGAUCGCGCUCGGUGUAGAGGCUCAUAGACGACUCAAAAAUUGCAUGAGUCGCUGUGUAGGUAGCUCGAUGUAGAUGCGUGUGGAGUCCGUUGGUGUAGUCGGUCUCGUCUUGUGGAAGACGACGUGUGGCCAUAUUGCCGCUCCUUGGCGCAGAUCGAAGUAGACAUGUGGACAUGCGCGACGGUGUCCAGUGGCGGUGCCAGAAAUGUAGUCUAUCCAUGCGUGGACCUUUCGAGAUGAUGGAUGGACCUUUGGAGAUGAAGUCUGCUGGUGGCUGGAUGAUAACCCACAAGUAUAGGGGAUCGCAACAGUUUUCGAGGGUAGAGUAUUCAACCCAAAUUUAUUGAUUCGACUCAAGGGGAAGCCAAAGAAUAUUCUCAAGUAUUAGCAGUUGAGUUGUCAAUUCAACCACACCUGAAAGAUUUAGUAUCUGCAGCAAAGUAUCAGUAGCAAGGUAGUAUGAUAGUAGCAGUAGCAACAGUAACCAGUAGCAGCAAAGUAACAGCAGUAGCAACACAGAAAUAGUAGCAACAGUAGAGUAACAGCAGCAACAGUGACAGCAGUAUCGGCAAGCAAUGUAGCAAGGACCAGUAGGAAAAACUCGUAGGCAUUGGAUCGGUGAUGGAUGAUUAUGCCUGAUGUUAUUCAUCAUGUAACAGUUAUAACACGGAGAGAUAUGUAACUAGCUCCAGUUCGUCAAUGUAAUGUAGGCAUGUAUUCCGUAUGUAGUCAUACGUGCUUAGGGAAAAGAACUUGCAUGACAUCUAUUGUCCAUCCCUCCCGUGGCAGCGGGGUCCUAAUGGAAACUACGAGAUAUUAAGGUUCUCCUUUUAAUAAAAAAAACAUGAACUCCUCAUACUAUGGUCAUCUCCGGGAGUGGUUCCGGCUAUUGUCACUCUGGGGUUGCCGGGUCAUAACACAUAGUAGGUGACUACAAUUUGCAAGAUAGGAUCAAGAACACACAUAUAUUGGCGACAACAUAAUAGGUUCAGAUCUGAAAUCAUGGCACUCGGGCCCUAGUGACAAGCAUUAAGCAUGGCAAAGUAGUAGCAACAUCAAUCUCAAAACAUAGUGGAUACUAGGGAUCAAUCCCCGUCAAAACUAACUCGAUUACAUGAUAGAUCCCAUCCAGCCCAUCACUGUCCAGCAAGCCUACGAUGAGAUUACUCACGAACGGUGAAGAGCAUCAUGGAAUUGGCGAUGAAGAAAGGUUGGUGAUGACGAUGGCAACGAUCUCCCCUCUCCGGAGCCCAAAGCAGACUCCACAUGUGCCCUCCAGAGGAAGAACAGGAGGUGGCGGCGCCUCCGUAUCGUAAAACGCGAUGAACUCUUCGCCUUGAUUUUUUUCCGGGCGAGACGGACUAAAUAGAGCUAGAUUUGGAGGCGGUGGAGCGUUGUGGGCCCCACAAGCCUGCCAGGCGCGACCAGGGGGGCCCGCGCCUGGUGGGCUUGUGGGCUCACAGCUCCACUUCCUCCGCUGAUUCUUGCGCCAGUAUUUUUCAUAAAUUCCACAAAAAUUCUCCGGCAAUUUUAGGUCGUUCCGAGAACUUCUAUUUCUGCGCAAAAACAACACCAUGGCAAUUGUGCUGAAAACAGCGUUAGUCCGGGUUAGUUCCAUUCAAAUCAUGCAAAUUAGAGUCCAAAACAAGGGCAAAAGAGUUCAGAAAAGUAGAUACGACGGAGACGUAUCAACCUUCCCAAGCUUAAAGCCUUGCUUGUCCUCAAGCAAUUCAGUUAAAAAACUGAAAGAUACAAAAGAAAAACUUGUACGAACUAUGUUUGAUCUUGUUGUUGCAGCUAUGUCUAACUCAUAACCAGAAUUUCAGCAAGAUCACAAGCUAACCACAUAAGCAAAUGACAUCUAGGUAUCACGGUAAACUCAUAUCAAUAGCAUAAUCAACUAGAGAGCAAACAAUAAUAAGUCUCAAACAUCAACACUUCAAUCAAAACAACAUGAAUCAGUAUGAACAGAUGGUAUCUCGCUGGCUCUUUCUGAGACCGCAAAACAUAAAUGCAGAGCACCUUCAAAGACCAAGGGCUGACUAAACAUUGUAAUUCAUGGCAAAGAAGAUCCAGUCACAGUCAUACUCAACACAACUAAAAGCAAAAGCAUAAAAAUGACAGAGGUGCUCUCUAAUUGGUGCUUUUGUAAGAGGAGGAUGACUCAACAGGAACAUAAAUAGACAGGCCCUUCGCAGAGGGAAGCAUUGAUUUGCAGAGGUGCCAGGGCUCAAGCUUUGAAAAUGUAGAUAAUAAUAUUGGGUGGCAUGCUUUCAUUGUCAACGCAAUGACUAAGAGUUCUCACCAUCUUCCACGCUACACAUGCUAUAGGCGGAUCCCAAACAUAAAAGUAAAGUUUUGACUCCCCCACCACCAAUCAAUCACACUCCACGACUAGCCGAAUCCUCGGGUGCCGUCCACACCAACAUCAAUCCAGGGGGAGUUUUGUUUGCAAUUAUCUUUUCGAUUUGAGCAUGGAACCGGGCAUUCCAAUUACCGGCCCCUUUCUCAUGAAUGAUAGUGAAUAAACACAUAUCGAGGAUAACACGCCUAGCAUGGAAGAUACUGAUAGCCCCCUGUCACCACAUGAGCGAUUCGGGCAUGCAAAACAGAUUAUUUCUUGAAGAUUUAGAGAGUGGCACAUGCAAAUUUGCUUGGAACGGCAGGUAGAUACCGCAUAUAGGUAGGUAUGGUGGACUCAUAUGGAACAACUUUGGGUUUAUGGAAGUGGAUGCAUAAGCAGUAUUCUCGCUUAGUACAAGUGAAGGCUAGCAAAAGACUGGGAAGCGACCAACUAGAGAACGACAACAGUCAUCAAAAUGCAUUGAGAUUAACCAACAUUGAGUGCAAGCAUGAGUAGGACAUAAAUCACCAUGAACAUGAAUAUCAUAGAGGAUAUGUUGAUUUUGUUUCAACUACAUGCGUAAACAUGCGCCAAGUCAAGCCACUUGAAUCAUUCAAAGGACGAUACCAUCCUAUCAUACUACAUCAUAGUCAUCUCAAAAUUCAUGUUGGCAUCCAAGGCAAACCAUUAUAAGCUCCUACUAAGUAAGCAUGGCAUCAGAAACUAUGAUCUCUAAGUUGUCAUUGCAAACAUGUUUCUCUCACAACAUAGCUGAACUAGGAACGAUGAGCUAGUCAUAUUUACAAAAACAAAAUAGAUCGAGUUCAUACCAGCUUUUCCAGGCUCAGUCACUUCAUCAUAUAUCGUCAUUAUUGCCUUUCACUUGCACGACCGAACGAUGUGAACAAUAAUAAGCGUGCUCGUGCAUUGGACUAAGCUGGAAUCUGCAGGCAAACACAAAGGAGAAGACAAAGUAAUAUGGCUCUUUAACAGAUAAACAGAUAUGCAUGCGAGAGCCACUAAACAUUGUAACCAUGGUAUUCUACCUUGACCCAAAGAAAAAGAAAACUAUUUACACGGGAAAGCUCCCAACAAGCAAAAGAAGAACAAGAAAAUCUUUUUGGGUUUUCUCAAACUAGACAAACACACGAAAAGAAAACGAGAAAGAGAAAUAAACUAGCAUGGAUGAUACAGUGGCAAAGUGUGAACACCGACGAACAAAGUGAAAGCAUAAGCAAGAAUGUAAAGUCGGUGAGAAACACGUACUCCCCCAAGCUUAGGCUUUUGGCCUAAGUUGGUCUACUCCUAAGGAGGGAAAUAACCAGCUCUGGGGUACUCCGGAGUGAACUGAGGAUGCCACUGUUGUGUGAGCUCCUCUGGCUCCCACUGAUAAACUGGCGUCUCGUACUCGACUGGUGGCUCGGGCACGGGCACCUGUGGUUGGGCUAAGCCCCAAUAUGCGUAUAUGUCCGAGGGCAUAAUAAUGUACCUGCCUACAUGAAGAUUGAACAAAGAGGGAGCAGACAAAGUAAUAGUCUCACGAGCACCUUGACUAAAUACCAGGUUAUAAAUCAUCCUUCUGUUUAUAUCUCUAUCAAGAAAGUCAUGGCGAACCAUGCUAUCAUAAUCUAGAUAUCUCUCAGGAAGAAGAAUCUCUUCUUCCUCAUCCAGUCUAAUGGGUAUCUCAAAAUGUCUAGCGAGACGAGUAGCAUAGAUACCUCCAUAGACAACGCCUUUAGAACGGUUCGUGUUCAACCGUUGAGCUACUAUAGCACCCAAGCUAUAAGUUUUAUCAUUAUAAAGGGCUUCGCGCAAGACCGCAAGAUCUGGGGAGCUAAGGGACCGAGCUUUCCCACGGCCAAUCAAACAUUUUCCCACAAAUAAUGAGAAGUACCGAAGCACGGGAAAAUGUAUGCUAGUAGCUCUAGCACAAGACACUCCUCUUUCCUCUCCUACAUCAAUAGUAUCGAUGAAAGUCUCCAAGUCCCGUGGAUGAGGUUCAUGAAUAUCCCCAACAAAAGGCAAUUUGAAAACAUUGCAAAAAUCCUGGAGUGACAUGCGCUGGGGGAUAUCAUAAAGUUUGAACUCAACCAUAGGAGGAUUCUUCCUCGGAUAGAAGUUAAAGCUUUGUACGAAAAUAUUAGUGAGGAGGAGGUAUUGCAGACACUUAUCUUCAACGAAGGCGGUAAGGUCUGCGUUCUCCACCAAGUAAUAAAAGUCCUCAUAAAGUCCGACGGUGCGUAAGAACACAUCGCUUGGCCACUCGCACGCUCGAACUUCUGCAACUCGAGGGACCAGAUACUUGGUCUUCUUCUCACUUCCAUCAUCCUUGGGGUUACGACUUGAAGAGCCUCUUAAGAACCUCCUCAUCUUUUCCCUUUUCUAUCUCUGAAAUUUUUAGUGACUCUAAGGAAAAGUGAAUAAGGUUCAACGAAAAUUGUAGCAACUACUCCCACAAGUGCCUAGAGGCCAUGUUACGCAUCAAAACUACUUGGGACCAACUAAAAUUAGCAUGCAAAGCUCAAGAACAUGGUCACCAAGGCAGCAAAAAUACGCGAAGUAUAAGGCACUAGAGAAAAAACUAAUUGGACCAAUGGAGGAGUCACUUACCAAGGAGUAAUUUCCCCAAAACAGUUCGGAGAAUGGUGCUUUGAGCAAGGAGAUCUAAAAUCCCAGCAAGAAGAGCAAGAACACGGGUUUGAGCUACGAAACAAUUUUUUCUGGAGGUAGGAGAAGCAGAUGGGAGCUAGAAUGAGUGGAGGGGGUGCACGUGGGCCCCACAAGCCUGGUAGGCGCGGCCUGGGGGGUGCCCGUGCCUCCACGGCUUGUGGCCCACCGGUGCAGCCCCCAGACUAGCUCUUCGUCUCAGUAUUUUUCAAAAAUUUCAGAAAAAAUCAUACUUGAUUUUCAGGAUGUUCGGAGAACUUUUAUUUUCGGGGUACUUUUCUACAGGACGCUAAAACAGAAAACAGGGAAAAGUAAACUAAAUCUAUCAUUUUUCUUCUAAGCAACCGAAGGUGACAGCUUGGAACAGAGGUUUGUGACUCCUCGAUUCAUCCAUCUCAUGGUCAUCGAAAGAAAUCCGUCAAUGAGGUUGAUCAAGUCUCCUUGACAAACUUUUCGAAUCGCAAAAGAAGACGGGGAAUUUUUGAAUAGUCACUAGGUUACCUCAAUGGGAUGUGUAUCUCCCCAACAAGAAAAUCACACUUCAUCUUAACAAGAGGAAUAGGGCAUUCAAAGCUCCCAAUAAGAAUCGAUGAAGUCUUUUCGAUAGCAUUGAUGCAAUGUGCUUGAUAUUGUUUCUUCGGAAAGUGCACCGUAUGCUCAUUACCGUUGACAUGGAAAGUGACAUUGCCUUUGUUGCAAUCUAUAACAGCCCCUUCAGUGUUUAGAAAGGGUCUUUGGAGGAUGACAUCCAUGGCAUCGUCCUCAGGAAUAUCCAGAAUAACAAAGUCUGUUAAGAUAGUAACGUUAGCAACCACAACAGGCACAUCCUCGCAAAUGCCGAUAGGGAAAGCAGUUGAUUUGUCGGCCAUUUGCAGAGAGAUUUCAGUGGGUGUCAACUUAUCCAGUUCAAGUCUACGAUAAAGAGAAAGAGGCAUAACACUAACACCGGCUCCAAGGUCACAUAAAGCAGUUAUAACAUAGUUUCCUUUAAUGGAGCAAGGUAUAGUGGGCACACCGGGAUCACCUAGUUUCUUAGGAGUUCCACCCUUGAAGGUAUAAUUAGCGAGCAUGGUGGAAAUCUCAAGCUCGGGUAUCCUCCUCUUAUUAGUCACAAUAUCUUUCAUGUACUUAGCAUACAAAGACAUUUUGAGCAUAUCUGUCAAACACAUUUGCAGAAAGACAGGUCUAAUCAUUUCAACAAAUUGCUCAAAAUUCUCAUCAUCCUUUUUCUUGGAUGGUUUGGGAGGAAAGGGCAUGAGUUUAUGAACCCAUGGUUCCCUUUCUUUACCAUGCUUCCUAGAAGCAAAGUCAUUCUUAUCGUAUCUCUUAUUCUUAGGUUGUGGGUUAUCAAGAUCAGGUUCAAUCUCCACAUCCUUAUCGUUGCUAGGUUGAGCAUCUUCAUGAACAUCACUAUUGAUAUUAUCAUUAGGCUCAUGUUCAUCACCAGAUUGUGUUUCAGCAUCAGAGACAGAGACAUCGUUUGGACUCUCAGGGGUAACAGCAUCCGUGUUGCUAGCGUGCAAGUUCCUAUCAUCUUUCUUCUUCUUCCUAGGAUGACUAGGUGCAUCAGUGCUAACUCCUUGAGAAUCUUGUUCAAUUCUCUUAGGAUGACCCUCAGGAUACAAAGGUUCCUGGGUCAUUCUACCGCCUCUAGUGACGACUCUAACAGAAUUGUCAUUCAACUCAUUGAGCAAGUCAUUAUGAGACUUAAGUACUGGUUCUACUUGAGUAGUAACCAUAGAGGCAUGUUUACUCAGAAGCUUAAGAUCAUUGACAUUUCUGUCCACACAAGCACUUAAAUGACUAAGCAUACGAGCAUUCUGUUCCAAUUGUGUGCUAACAUAAUCAUUGAAACUCUGUUGUUUGGCAACAAAGUUAUCAAAUUUAUCCAGGCAUAGGCUAGCAGGUUUAUCAAAAGGAAUAUCACUCUCAUCAAACCUACGCAGAUAAUUUACUUCUACUACCUGUAUCGGGUUAUCGAGACCAUGGAUCUCUUUGAUAGGUGGUAGAUUUUUAACAUCUUCAGAUUUAAUGCCUUCUCUCACAUAGAUUUCUUAGCUUCUUGCAUAUCUUCAGGACUGAGGAAUAGAAUACCUAUUUUCUUCGGAGUUGGCUUAGGACGUGGUUCGGGAAUAGUCCAAGCAUUCUCAUUGCACAAUAUGUUAUUCAAUAGAAUCUCAGCUUCUUCUACGGUUUGUUCCCUAAAAACACAACCGGCACAACUAUCUAGGUGGUCUCUAGAAGCAUCGGUAAGUCCAUUAUAGAAGAUAUCAAGUAUUUCAUUCUGCUCAAGAGGGUGAUCAGGCAAAGCAUUCAGUAGCUGGACGAGCCUCCCCCAAGCCUGUGGGAGACUCUCUUCUCCAGCUUGAGCAAAGUUGUAUAUUUCCUGCAAGGCAGCUUGCUUCUUAUGGGCAGGGAAAUAUUUUUCAGAGAAGUAGUAGACCAUAUCCUGGGGGCUACGCACACAACCAGGAGCAAGAGAAGUCAACCAAGUCUUAACAUCAUCCUUUAGCGAGAAAGGAAACAGCUUGAGGAUAUAGUAGUGGCGAAUCUUUUCCUCACUAGUGAAUAUGGUGGCUAUAUCAUUCAGUUUGGUAAGAUGGGCUACAACCAUUUCAGACUCAUAACCGUGAAAAGGAUCAGAUUCGACUAGAGUGAUUAACUCAGGGUCGACAGAGAAUUCAUAAUCCUUAUCGGUCACAAAGAUAGGCGAAGUAGCAAACUUCGGGUCAUAUUUCAUCCUAGCGUUCAAAGAUUAUUCUUUCCACUUGAGCAGUAAUUUCUCAACAUCAUAGCUAUCCUUACAAGCAAGAAAUUCCUCAGCUAUCUCUCCCUCCAUAACAUAACACUCAGGCAUAUCAGGCAAUUCAUGUCUAGGAGAGCUAGUUCUAGCAGGCAAAAUAGCAGGUUCUACUUCAAUAGUAUCAGCAGUUUCAGAAGUAUCAUCACAUCUAGCAGCAACUCUAGCAAUUUGUGCAUCAAGGAAAGCACCUAGUGGCAAAGCAGUAUCAAGCAUAGCAUCAUCAGGCAAAGCAGUAUCGAGCAUAGCAUAAUGGACAACAAAAGUAGCAUCAUCAAGCAUAGCAGGAGGUGGUGUCGCAAACUUACUCAUAACUGAAGGUCAAUCAAGUGCAGAGCUAGAUGGCAGUUCCUUACCUGUCCUCGUAGUUGAGGGCAAAACUUUAGUUCUUGGAUCUUUCAGAUUCCUCAUAGUGACCAGCAGACGUAAAUCCCAAGUGACUCAGAGAAUAUAGCUAUGCCUCCCCGGCAACGGCGCCAGAAAAAGGUCUUGAUAACCCACAAGUAUAGGGGUCGCAAUAGUUUUCGAGGGUAGAGUAUUCAACCCAAAUUUAUUGAUUCGACUCAAGGGGAAGCCAAAGAAUAUUCUCAAGUAUCAGCAGUUGAGUUGUCAAUUCAACCACACCUGAAAGACUUAGUAUCUGCAACAAAGUAUCAGUAGCAAGGUAAUAUGAUAGCAGCAGUAGCAAUAGUAACCAGUAGCAGCAAAGUAACAACAGUAGCAACAGAGUAACAGUAGCAGCAGCAGAGUAACAGUAGCAGAAGUGACAACAGUAGCGGCAAAGUAACGUAGCAAGGACCAGUAGGAAAAACUCGUAGGCAUUAGAUCGGUGAUGGAUGAUUAUGCUGGAUGUUAUUCAUCAUGUAACAGUUAUAACACGGAGAGAUAUGUAACUAGCUCCAGUUCGUCAAUGUAAUGUAGGCAUGUAGUCCGUAUGUAGUCAUACAUGCUUAGGGAAAAGAACUUGCAUGACAUCUAUUAUCCAUCCCUCCCGUGGCAGCGGGGUCCUAAUGGAAACUAUGGGAUAUUAAGGUUCUCCUUUUAAUAAAGAACCGGACCAACGCAUUAACAUGUGGUAAAUACAUGAACUCCUCACAGUAUGGUCAUCUCCAGGAGUGGUUCCGGCUAUUGUCACUCCGGGGUUGCCGGGUCAUAACACAUGGUAGGUGACUACAACUUGCAAGAUAGGAUCAAGAACACACAUAUAUUGGCGACAACAUAAUAGGUUCAGAUCUGAAAUCAUGGCACUCCGGCCCUAGUGACAAGCAUUAAGCAUGGCAAAGUAGUAGCAACAUCAAUCUCAGAACAUAGUGGAUACUAGGGAUCAAUCCCCGUCAAAACUAACUCGAUUACAUGAUAGAUCUCAUCCAACCCAUCAUUGUCCAGCAAGCCUACGAUGAGAUUACUCACGAACGGUGAAGAGCAUCAUGGAAUUGGCGAUGAAUAAAGGUUGGUGAUGACGAUGGCGACGAUCUCCCCUCUCCGGAGCCCAAAACGGACUCCAGAUCUGCCCUCCAAAGGAAGAACAGGAGGUGGCGGCGCCUCCGUAUCGUAAAACGCGAUGAACUCUUCUCCUUGAUUUUUUUUCCGGGCGAGACGGACUAAAUAGAGCUGGAUUUGGAGGCGGUGGAGCGGUGUGGGCCCCACAAGCCUCCAGGCGCGACCAGGGGAGGCCCCGCGCCUGGUGGGCUUGUGGGCUCACAGCUCCACUUCCUCCGCUGAUUCUUGCGCCAGUAUUGUUCGUAAAUUCCACAAAAAUUCUCCGUAAUUUUUCAGGUCAUUCCAAGAACUUUUAUUUCUGCGCAAAAACAACAUCAUGGCAAUUCUGCUGAAAACAGCGUUAGUCCGGGGUAGUUGCAUUCAAAUCAUGCGAAUUAGAGUCCAAAACAAGGGCAAAAGAGUUCGGAAAAGUAGAUACGAUGGAGACGUAUCACUGGACAAGGAGUCUUCGUGGAGCUAGAUCUUGAGUCGGCAGUCGAGGAAGUGCCUACAUGUCGAAACAUGGGAACGCGCCGCCGACACGUCGGGUAAGGUCAAAUUGGAUCUGACGGGUCUUGUUGGGUUUAUUUGGUGGCUAAGAAAAAAAAUCAAUCUGUUAUGAAAUUUGGAAAUUGGAAAAUAUCUAAUCUAUGGAGGCGAUUCAAUCAUUGAUUGAUCAGGUGCCGCGCCCCCGGAGAGAGAGGAUUAAUCUUCCCGGGGGCGGCGCGCUGCGAAAGUGGUGAAGCAACCUAGGAUCGGCAAUUCAAAUGGAGAGCGUUUUAACUUAUGAGGAGAAGCCGGUCCUAGGUUCCUUCACCACUUCUGCAGCGCGCCGCCCCGGGGGAGAUUAAACAUGUCUCUUCGGGGACACCGUAUCUCUCAAAGGAAUAUCUGCCAUCUCUGCAUGACACUUAUUCAGCUGGGAAAUGUGAAACACAUCAUGAAAUUGUGACAAACCCUUUGGUAGUUCCAACUUGUAUGCAACUUCUCCUGUGCGUUCCAAAACCCUAUAUGCCCCACGAAUCUUGGUGCUAACUUUCCUUUGACUCCAAACCUCUUAAUACCUCAAAGUGGAGACACUCGAAGAUAUACUCUAUCUCCCACUUCAUAAAUCACUUCCUUGCAUUUAGCAUCUUCACAACUCUUUCGUCUGGAUUGAGCUAUCUUGAGUCUAUCACGGAUCAACUUGAUCUUCUCCUCAAAAUCUCUGAUCAAAUCUGACCAAACAAUUUGCGAUCUCCAACUCUAUCCCACAUCAACGGUGUUCUGCACUUCCUUCCAUACAAAGCAUCGAAAGGGGCCAUCUGCAAACUGGCUUGAUAGCUGUUGUUGUAUGAGAACUCCGCAUAAGGUAAGUAUCAUCCCAACUAGACCCGUAGUCUAGCGCACAAGCUAUCAACAUGUCCUCCAGAAUCUGAUUUACUCUCUUUGUCUGCCCAUCUGUCUGCGGAUGAAAGGUUGUGCUGAACUCUAGCCUCUAGCCAGGUACCCAAAGUUUCAUGUAGUUGAUGCCAAAAUUUUGAGGUAAAUUGUGUUCCUCUAUCUGAUAUGAUGGUCCUCGAAACUCCAUGCAAACAUACGAUCCUGGUCAUAUAUAUCUUUGCCACCUUAGCACUUGUAUAGGUAGUCUUAACUCGAAUGAAAUGUGCAACCUUGGUCAAGCGAUCAACUAUUACCCAAAUGGAAUCAUAACCUGAACGGGUCCUGGGUAAUCCUGCGAUAAAGUCCAUGCCAAGUUUAUCCCAUUUCCAGUCAGGUAUCUGUAGUGGCUGGAGUAAACCGUCCAGUUUCUGAUGUUCUGCCAUUACCAUGUGACAUACAUGACAUACUGGUACAUACUCAACAAUUUAUCUCUUCAUACCUGUCCACCAAACACUUUCCUUUAAGUCCAAAUACAUCUUGGUAUUGCCCGGGUGUAUCGAGUAAGGUGAAUCAUGAGCCUCGUGGAGAAUCAAUUUCCUGAUCUCUGGGUCAUUAGGUACAGAAAUACGCUGCUCAAACCAUACGUUGCAUCCUCAUCCUCACGGAAUCCUUCUGCCUUCCCUUUGUUGAUCCUCUCCUUUAUCUCAGAAAUUCCUUGAUCCAACUUCUGGGCUUCUUUGAUCCUUCCCAACAAGGUGGACUGAAUCUCGAGUGCGGCAACAUAUCCUCUUGGAACUAUUUCCAAUUGGAGAUCUCUAAGAUCACCACACAUCUCCUGAGGUAAUCCUCCUGCGAUAAGAGUGUUAACAUAACUCUUACGGCUCAAAGCAUCUGCCAUGACGUCAGCUUUUCCUGGAUGAUAAUGAAAACUCAUGUCAUAAUCCUUGAUGACUUCCAACCAUCUCCUUUGCAUGAGGUUCAACUCUUUCUGCAUGAAGAUAAACGUCAAACUCUUGUGAUCUGUGUAAACAUCACAUUGAUUUCCGAUGAGAAAAUGCCUUCAGGUCUUGAGUGCAUGCACCAUCGCUGCAACUCCAAAUCAUGCAUGGUAUAGUUCAACUCAUGAGGUCGUAGCUGACAUGAAGCAUAAGCUACCACCUUUCCUUUUUGCAUAAGUACGCCUCCAAGUCCUUGGCGUGAAGCGUCGCAAUACACCUGAAAAUUCUCGUGUAUAUUCGGCAGAAUUAGCACUGGGUUGUAACCAAGCGUUUCUUCAACUCCUGAAAACUGGCUUCACAUUCCUUAGUCCAGUUAUACUUGGUGUCCUUCUUCAACAAUUCCGUCAUGGGCUUUGCAAUCUUGGAGAAAUUCUCGAUGAACCUCCGGUAAUACCCGGCAAGUCCAAGGAAACUACGAAUCUCACUGACUGGCGUUGGUGACUGCCAUUCGGUGACUGCUUCUACCUUGGAAGGAUCCACGACUAUUCUUUCUCCUGACACAUGUCCGAGGAAUCUGACUUCCUUCAACCAAAACUCAUACUUGCUAAACUUGGCAUACAACUGAUGUUCUCUAAGCUCCUUGAAAACCUAGUGCAAAUGUUCCUUGUGCUCUUCUUCAUUCUUCGAGUACACCAAUAUAUCAUCAAUGAAUACCACAACUAACUUAUCCAAGAAAUCCAUGAAUACCUUGUUCAUCAUGCUCAUAAAAUAGGUAGGGCCAUUAGUCAAACCAAAAGACAUGAUUGUGUACUCAUAAAGCCCAUACCUUGUGGUAAAAUCUGUCUUGGGUAUAUCCUUUUCACGGAUCUUCAACGAGUGAUAACCCGAUCGAAGCUCGAUCUUAGAGAAUACACUAGCUCCCUAUAGCUGGUCAAACAAAUCAUUGAUCAUUGGUAGCGGAUAAUUGUUUUUGAUGGUUACCGCGUUCAAAGAACGGUAAUCCACACACAUCCUCACGGUUCCAUCUUUCUUCUCCACUAAGAGUAUUGGGGCUCCCCAAGAUGAUGAACUCGGGCAAAUAUACCUUUUCUCCAGCAACUCUUCAAUCCGCUUCUUGACUUCUGCUAGAUCAUUAGCGAGCAUCCGGUAUGGCCUCUUGGAGAUAGGUCCGGUGCCUGGUAACAACUCAAUCAGAAACUUGGGUAACUCCUCUGGAAAUACAUCGAGAUAAUCCUUUACCACUGGUACUUCCUCCUGGACAACCCCCGUAAGAGUGAUCACCUGAGUCCUCUUAGGCUUAAGCCUAUACACAUACUUAAUCCUCUUCUCCUCUAGGGUGGUGAGGAAAAUCAAAUACUGGCACAGUCAAUGUUUUCGUGAUACUUGGACAUCCAAUCCAUACCUAGGAUUACAUCCAAUCCUUGUGACUCUAGUACGAUCAUAUUUGUGGGAAAAACAUGUCCCCCUAUGUUCGAAGGUAACUGAAAACAUCCAUGACUAGUCAUAGACUCUGCUCCCAGGGAACUCACUAGGAUGGGUGACUUAAGAGCUACGGUCGGUAACUUAAGUUUGUCCACAAAUCCCCUUGAUAUGAAUGAAUGUGAUGCAUCAGUGUCAAAUAGAAUGAGUGCUGGAAAUGAAUUAACCAAGAACUUACCAAUCACUGCAUCAGGCUGCUCAUAGACUUCCUCCACAUUAACAUGGUUCACAUGCCCCUUAGUGAAAGGAUUAGGCUUCUUGCAUGUAGAACUUCCAUUGUCGUUCCCAUUUUGCAGCUCAAGACACUCAUUGGAGUAGUGUCCUGUCUUCUUGCACUUGAAGCAGGUAAUGUGACUCAGAUCCUUCCUCAAGGGUGUAGCAAGGUUGAGAUGAUGGUGAUUGUCGUUUCCUCCAUUCCCAUUGCCAUUCUUAUGACCAUUGUGGUUGUGUCCAUUGCCUCCAUGCUGAGAAUGACCACCAUGGUUAUGAUGGUUGUGCCCUCCAAACUUACUAGGUCCUCAAUCGGAAUAUCCCGAGAAAGGUGCGGAGUGGGACUUCUGCCGAGCUCCAGACUGAAACUUGCCUUGACCAUAUUUCCUCUUGUGGUUCUCCAUCUACUGAUGCUUGCCUUCCAGAGUAAUAGCCUUGUCCACUAACUCUUGAUAGUUCUCAAAAGUCGCUACCAUCAACUGAACUCCCACCUCAUCGUUCACUCCCUCCAGGAAUUUCUCCUGCUUGGCUCCAUCGGUGUCCAGUCACUUGGUGAAUAACGAGACAACCUGUUGAAGUCCUCAUCAUACUCUGACACUAAGCAACCUCCCUGGUGCAAGUCAUGGAACUCUCUCUUCUUGAGAGCCAUAGCUCCAGCUGAAACAUGAGCAGUGCGGAACGCCUGCUGGAAUUGAGCCCAAGUCACAUACUCCAUGGGGUACGUGACGGUGUAGCUCUCCCACCACGAAGCGGCUGGUCCGUCCAGUUGGUGAGAGGCAAACCUCACCUUCUCCCGACCAGUGCAUCCUGCUAUGGCCAGCUUCGUACCCCUGUUGCGAAGCCAGUCAACUGCGACGAUCGACUCCGAUAUGCUCGUUAAGAUUGGUGGGUUUAGCCUUAGAAGGCUAUCAAUUGGUGGUGCAGGUGGAGGUGGAGGUGGGUUGUUGUUUUGGUUCAUGUUCUGCAUCAACAUGUGCAUCAUCUGGGUCUGGGCUUGAAGCAAUUGUGCCAAGGCGGGUGGGACAUCUUCCGGUUCACGCCUUGGUGGCAUCUGUUGGGUCAGCAUAGGUGAGGUAUAGAGAGAAUUAGGCCUAAGGGAGAAACACUACCCAUAUGCAAUGAUAGCAAUUAAAAUCCAAAUCAUUCCAAUUCAAUUUUCAAUCAAGAAAGUUCACACGAAAACAAAUCUAAGGUGAGCCAUGUCACAAGAGUUGACCAGGUUUCACAAAUAAAUCAAAACGAAAUACUAAUCGAAUAUCGAAUCCUAAGUUCUCAUGAUGGUCUAAAUCUACUCCUCAUCGGAAGUCAGAUCUAUCGUGCUCAUGUAAGCUCCAAUUGCAUCACUCCGUAUCUCCUCAUCAUCGUCCUCGUAAUCCCGGUCUUGGCUGACAUAAUCCCCAUAAGAGUGAUCCUCCUGGAUAUUCUCCCCGUUAUAGAGCUUUACCUCGGCUUCCUCUGGCUCAAGCUUCAGGUCGUCAAACUUAUCCUGCAGCGCAUCGAUCUCCUCCUCAUGUUUUGCACGAGCGUCCUGGAGUUCUUCCAGCUCGGCCUUGCGGGUCAUACUUAAUAACAAAGGUCUUCUCCCCUUUGAUAACUGCAGCAACAAUGCAAAACUCGGAAUGAUCUUGCUUACAACAAGCAAUGAUCCUUUGGUCUGAGUUUCUGUGAUACCUAAAGUCUCUGGCCUGUGUGAUGUGCAAGCUCAACAAAGCUUCUCUGAAUUGAUGUUGAUCCUUAAAGCACAUGUACAGACAUAAAUGCUGAUGUGGUUGCUCAAGUUUGUCAUUGUACCAGAUCCUUGGUUUACUUUUCUUGGCCCUACUCUUCCUCCCUUUAAGUAGCACAAAUGAGGGUGGCUCAUUGUCACGCCCAAGAUGCGACCCUAUCCUCAAUUUGGCACGAAGGCCUCGUCAGGGAUAGAAACGCAUCUCGUCGUGUCGCAAGAAUGGAUAUCGUUACAAGUACAUGUACUGAAAAGAAGAGAUAUAUAAAGAGUUGGCUUACACUCGCCACAAGCUACAUCAGAGUCACAUCAGUACAUUACAUAAUCAUCAAGAGUAAGAGCAGGGUCCGACUACGGACAAAAACAAACGACAAAAGAAGAACGACGUCCAUCCUUGCUAUCCCAGGCUGCCGGCCUGGAACCCAUCCUAGAUCGAUGAAGAAGAAGAAGAAGAAGCAACUCCAAAUGAACAAUCAACGCGCUCGUGUCAAGUAACCUUUACCUGUACCUGCAACUGGUGUUGUAGUAAUCUGUGAGCCACAGGGGACUCAGCAAUCUCAUUUCCAAAGGUAUCAAGACUAUCAAAGCUUAAUGGGUGAGGCUUGGUUAAGUGGUGAGGUUGCAGCAGCGACUAGCAUAUAUUUGGUGGCUAACUUACGAGUACAAGAAAUAAAAGGGGGAAGAUCUACGCAUAACGGACGUGAACUACUGAUGAUCAAAUGAAUGAUCCUGAACACCUACCUACGUCAGACAUAACCCCACCGUGUCCUCGAUCGGAGAAGGAACUCACGAAAGAGACAGUCACGGUUAUGCACGUAGUUGGCAUAUUUUAAUUAAGUUAACUUCAAGUUAUCUAGAACCAGUGUUAAACAAAGCUUCCACGUUGUCACAUAACCGCGGGCACGGAUUUCCGAAAAGAUUUAACCCUGCACGGGUGCUCCAACUAGUCCAUCACAAAUUACCACAAGCCGCAUAGAAAUCCUCAAUCACGAAGCUCGUGAUCUCGUCGGAUUCCCUAGUGGAAAACCUCAACUCUGAGAUUACCCAAAGCAUCAUCGGAAUCCCGAUGCACAAGAUAUCUCGUCAAAGGUAAAACUAAUCCAGCAAGGCCGCCCGACGUGUCGACGAUCCAGAUAGGAGUCGCGUACCUCGUUCUCAGGACACGACGGAUAAGCGAAGCGUACGAGUGCCAAACCUCGAGUUUCCUCGCGGUGGCCCCGCACGGUGCUCUGUUUUGGACCAACACUCAUGAGGAGCACUGGCCCGGGGGUUGAUUAAAAUAGUCCGCGGGUGCCGGCGGGUCCCUAUGCAUUAUUAUUAGGUUAUUAGGCAAAUGUAGUACCAAAGUUGGGCCUUGCCAGACCAGCUUUAAUCUAAAACGAAUUAUCAAGGGGGUCCCCAUAACAACCCCGAUCGUGUUAGGAGCGCUCAUUUAUGGAACAUAACACCGGUAGCCGAAACUAAGGGGGCAAAGGUGGAACAAAACACCAGGCUAGAAAAGGCCGAGCCUUCCACCUUUUACCAAGUAUAUAGGUCCAUUAAAUUAAGUAGCAUUAAUAUGGUGAUAUAACAAGGAACUCAUGCUUUCGCAAGGAAGCAUAUGCACCUGCAACUAGCAACGCUAACAACAUGGAUAAGCAAGCGGUAACAUAGCCAAUCAGUGGUUUGCUAGGUUGAACAGGUUGAAGGUUUCAUGGCAUUGUUGAGAGGCUGAUAUUUAACAUGUGGUAGGCAACAAGACAUAACGACAGAAACAAUAUAACUAGCAUGGCAAUGAUAGUAAUGGUAUCUGGGGAAAUGAUCAUCUUGCCUGAGAUCCCGCUUAGAAGAAGAAUACCUCCGUGAAGCAGACGAACCAACGUAGUCGAACGGGUCCUCACAAUCCGGCACGCUGCGGAACUCUAUCGAGACGAAGCAAACCGGAAACACAAAUCAACACACGAAAUUCACCACACGAUGCACAACACAAAUGAUGCAUGAACAGCUGAAUACAUGCAAGUCACGGCAUGACAAAUCACACCAUCAAACACUACACAUUAAGUGAAGUUCAAUAUGCAACGAGUUGCAUAUUGACGAAACUCCACGUUAAUUAUUUAGUUCUAUCCCGAUUAGGUACACGGCAAUAUUAAAUGUUGUUAAACAUGGCAAGAGGUGAAGCGUAAUUAAACUACUAUCUAGGCAUUUUAAAUGAGGUCGGAAAUGUCAUAUAGCAUCUCCGAGACGACCUCACAUGUUAAUUUACAAUUCUGUCCAGAUCUGAACUAACACAUUUAAUUGGUUGUUAAACAGCAAAACAAAUAGGUUCACAUGAUUCUACGCGUCAAGGCAAGCAAUCUACACAUAAAGAACAUCUCCAACGGAGCUACGGAUCAAAAGUUACAAGCACCGCAAGAUAUGAUGGCAUGAAUGCAAUAUGUGUGCAACGAUGGUCACGAGCACUUCAAAACAUACAAACAGCAAGAGAACAUGAAACUACAUGAGAUUCUAAGCAAGUUUCAUGUAGGACACGAUCAAAUCGGAGCUACGGUUCAAAAACUACGAGCAAAACAAGAACUGACUACAAUCUGCCAAAAUCAGCCACAUAGCAUUUUCUACACCCCACAACUACGGCUACACAACUCCGAUAUGCACAAGCAAGGCAUGACACGGAAGAGGGCAAGAAGCACUACUACGAACAACUAACAACAACUAGCAUCGCAGCAAGGAGCACUAGGAAAAGAAGACACAAAAUGGCAUCUCACACACUAUUGCAGACUUAGUGAAAAUAACACCUCAUGAAAGUGCAGUUUUCAGCCUGGAGCUAUAUUGACAGCAGCAAAAUCUAUAGCUACACGACUCCAAAUGGCAUGAAAAUUUACAGCAUGCUAGAGAAACACAAGGGGUACAACUAACUCCAUUGGACCAACCUCAAAAGAGCUACAGAUCACAAGAUGCAAGCAACACAAGACAGCAACAAAAUAUAACAGAUUCCAGACUUAGAAAUAUUUCAGCUCCUCUAAAACAGCACUAUUUCUAGCAACUUGAGAGCAAUCAAACCACACCUAAACAUGCAUUUCUAUUGCAACUAAAAAUACCAGGGGCUAAACAAAACAUCCAAGAUCAACUCUCUAGUUGACAACUCCGUCAAACGACGCACGGAAUAAAUCCUACGAAUUAAUCAAAAGGGCAACAUAGAAAAAUAUCUCGCGAACUAACUUGCUCUAAUGCUAAAACUAAUUGCACAGAAAAAUCCAUGGGAUUUUCUACCCCGGAAACAUAUAAAAUAUGUGGGGUUUGCAACACAAAAUAAUGCCACACAUUAAUGCGGGAAAGUAACCUAUAUACGGGAAAAUAAACUAGAAGCAAUUCCCUACACGCAAAAAUACAAAUGAACACUCUAAAAUACAUGGAAUAAUGGUCCCUAAAAUAUAGGCAUUUCUAAUACGGCAUUCGGGCAAUACGGUCUAGCGCGAAAAAUAAAUACGGCGUCUAUCCUAUAGAAACAGCACGCAAAACUAGGCGUUUGGCAUGUUAGACUUCGACGAAUGAUUAUGCAAGUUGUAAAUUCGGAUUCUACGCGAAAUUCUACACGAGAUCCAUAUCUAAAUCAUCGCGAUCCAACAAACGGUUUAAAAGUUACAAACGUUUAAAUAUACGGUUAUUUUCUGGAAUUUAUCUAAUUCCGAAAAAAUUUCCUAAUUAACUACUGGGCCGAACAGGGGGGUCUCACCUGGGCCGCCUGGAGGAAGGAGGCGAGGCGUUGGAGGAGCCGGCUCGAGGCUGGGCCUGGGGAGGCGCUGCGGCACCGGACUGGGCCUGCUGCGGGGCCCAGCCGAUGGGGCGGUUGGCGCUGGGCCGCGGGGGAGGCCGAGGCGAGGCGCCAGCUGGGUCGACCCACGGCUGCUGGCGAGGGGCUGGCCGUUCCCGUCGUUCUGCUCGUGCUCGAGCAUGACAGGGGCGACGACGCAAGAGUUGACGGCGAGGUGGGGCUUCAGGCCGGCGUCUCCGGUGGCCGGCGCGGGGGCGCAAGGGGAGCAUGGAUCCGACGGGUACAGGGCAACGGGGGUCGCGGGGAGGCGAGAUCUACGCGGCGGCGGCCGGCUCGAGCUGGUGGUGGUUGCCGGCGGCUGCGAAGCUGCUCGGGGCGAGGGCUGCGCUCGUACGGCGGCGGCGAGGCACGGGGCGGGCGGCGGGGCCGGACGGGGACGGGGCCGGCAGGGCGCUGCGGGCAGGAGGCGGCGCCAUGGGAGGCGCUGCUCGGUGCGAGGGGCACGAGAGCACGGGAGGCGGCGGCUGGCGGCGGUUGGGCGGCGGCGCGCCGGAUGGGCUCGGCCGGGCCCGAUCUGGGCCUGGCGGGCCGGCGGCGCGGGGGAGGAGAGAGAGAGAGCAGGUGGGAGGCUAGAGUUUUGCGUAGGUGGCAUGGAUUUCGAGGCAGAGGGGGAGUGGCUCUCUAAAUAAUGGCAUGGGGGCUAUAUAUAGACAAACGGGGGGCUCGGUUACCCGGAAUCGCGUUUCGGAUCCAACCGCGGGGUCGGGUUCGGACGAUUCCGAACGCGGGAAUGGGUACGCGGCCGUGUAGAGGGGAUAUCCGGAGACGAGAGGGAGAACGGGCGGUGCGGCAACGAUUUUUAAAACACCGACAAACGUCCGACGGUAGACCGAAUACGGUGCCGCUACGGUCGACCGUUCGGGUACCUGACGGACUCCGAUCGCGACAAAAUUCGACAGGCGGCCUAGCUAUAUUAAAAUAAGACCGCACGACAAAUCUCAACCCGAUCAGAGAAAGUUUUACGCACACUUUAAAAACAGGGUUUCGACGGUGCCGCGGGCGCGUGCGUGUGCGGUCAGGCUCGGAACGAACAACGACGUUAACCGGCAGCUAACAACGGAUGCAACAUUUGAAAACUGGCGGCAACGAAGAUGCCGAUGCAAUGCAGAUGAUGCGCAUGAUGCGAUAAUGACACGUCAAAUAAAAUAAGCCACACGACGAAAAUGGAAAGAGAGGGGAAUCUUCUGGAACGUCGGCAUCGGGCUGUCACACUCAUGUCCAUCAUCUUCAUCCUCAAACAACAACCAAUCAUCUUCUUCAUCUGCUGAAGGAAUGAAAUCAGGUAUCACCUCCUCUAACACACUACAAUGUGACCUAGUAGUGGGGCCUUUCCUAACUUCAAGUUUCUUCCUCCUUUUUGCAGAUUUUUGCAUUGGAGGCUCUUCUCUUGCAAAAACAUUGACAUCCUCAUCUUCCUGCUCAAACAAAUCCUCAACAUCAGUGUCACCCUCAUAAUGUAAUUGUUCCUCAUCUGAGUCUUCAGAUUGAUCUACAUCUUCUUCCUCUCCUAAUUGUGAGUUGUUAUCUGAAUUGUUAUCACUGUCAUAUGCAUCCUCAGUUUCAUCACUACUAUUGUGUGACUGUUCAAACAAUGGCUCUUCCUCCAUUAUAACAUUCAGAUUGUCCUUUCUGAAGUUCAUGCUCUCUUGGGUGCAAAAGGCAGUAGGUUGACUAGGGCUGCUAUGGAAAACAACACCUUCUGGAUCAAUAGCAAGAACUGCAGGCUCACUAAGAUCAUACAGAACAGGUGGUUCAUAAACUAUUGCUGCUAAUUUAUCCUCUCUAUGACUGACAGAAAUCAUAUUACUUAAGUUUGUUCUCUCUUCAGUUGCUGCACUUGCUGCUAAAUAAGUUGUUGUUGCCCUCACUGGCAAAUUGAGAACUAAACUGUGCUUAUAUACCUUUUUAGUUCCUGCAGUUUGAUGUUUGUGUCAAUUAAUUCUAACCCUGGUCUCUCUCCUCUCCUAUUCCUAAAUUCCUCAUGUGGUAUAACUCAUCAGAGAAAUAAAAACCUUGUGUUUGCAACACUUCAUACAGGUUCAGAAAUGUAACAUCUGAGCUUCUUAGCUUCAUAUCAAUAUUUGGCAGUGAAUUCGAAGCUCCCAAACAUCAUCAUUCAAACUACAGUUCAGACAUAUAAAUUAAGAUAAGCAGAUAAGCAUAUAAAUUCAGAUAAGCAAACUCAUCGGUCAAACUAUAAUAUUACUUGCUGUCUUCAUCAAUCAAACUAUCAUAAUUCUUAUCAACACCACAACACCAAAGCCUCUACUAUAAAUUCUGAAUUGCACACGAGCAACACACAACCUCUAAUUGACAAGUAUGACAUUGCAGAAUUACAGUAACAAGAUUGAAGACUCUAAUAUGAACAUAAUCCUAAUAAUAUCGAGCCCAGGAGCAACCCAAAAGAAAGAAUCAACUAGCCUCUACCAUUGAUACAACAUAAUGAAAAGGCUAGGGUUCUUUAGUGACUUACAUCAAGCCGCCACCAGCACCACUGGUCUAGUGAUGGCUACUGCUAGGGUUGGCGACCCAGAUCUCUGCCAUCUUCACCCUGUCCUCCAUGAACAGCGCCGCCUCCUCCUCCAAAUCCCGAUCCUCCAAACCAGCGCCGGAGGAGUGGUUCGAACUGGAGCCGCCAUCGUCCACAGCCAGACCUACGUGGUCAUCUACCCCGAGGCCGGGGAGGUCUCCGUAGCUGCCCGCAACGUCACUGCCGCCGGGAGUCGCCGCCGCCAUCGUCGGAGAGCCGCGCACAGAGGGAGAGGGGAGAGCAAGGCUAAGGUUCGAGCGAGACCAAGUGAUCAGGAGAGGGUUGGUCCGGUUCGACCAGGUUCGAGCGGAGACCAAGUGACCGAGCCGGUACGUGUACGCCAUCGUGCCGACUGACAUGCGAGCCCGGCACGUCAGAUACAUCGUCAAUACAGGUUAUAUGGCUGUCAGAUCGUAUUGUAACAAUUAAACUAUAAAAUGAUACUGAUACGAAAAAAAAAUGACUAUUGAUACGUAUCCGUCACAUGGUGCGGGUAGUGCGCUGCAAUUACCACUGGUACUUCCUCCUUUGGGGUGGUGACUCUGGAAAUACAUCGAGAUAAUCCUUUACCACUGGUACUUCCUCCUGGACAACUCCCGUAAGAGUGAUCACCUGAGUCCUCUUAGGCUUAAGCCUAGACACAUACUUAAUCCUCUUCUCCUUUGGGGUGGUGAGGAAAAUCAAAUACUGGCACAGUCAAUGUUUUCCUGAUACUUGGACAUCCAAUCCAUACCUAGGAUUACAUCCAAUCCUUGUAACUCUAGUACGAUCAUAUUUGUGGGAAAAACAUGCCCCCCUAUGUUCGAAGGUAACUGAAAACAUCCCUGACUAGUCAUAGACUCUGCUCCCGGGGAACUCACUAGGAUGGGUGACUUAAGGGCUACGGUCGGUAACUUAUGUUUGUCCACAAAUCCCUUUGAUACGAAUGAAUGCGAUGCAUCAGUGUCAAAUAGAAUGAGUGCUGGAAAUGAAUUAACCAAGAACUUACCAAUCACUGCGUCAGGCUGCUCAUAGACUUCCUCCACAUUGACAUGGUUCACAUGCCCCUUAGUGAAAGGAUUAGGCUUCUUGCAUGUAGAACUUCCAUUGCCGUUCCCAUUCUGCAGCUCAGGACACUCAUUGGAGUAGUGUCCUGUCUUCUUGCACUUGAAGCAGGUAAUGUGACUCAGAUCCUUCCUCAAGGGUGUAGCAAGGUUGAGAUGAUGGUGAUUGCCGUUUCCUCCAUUCCCAUUGCCAUUCUUAUGACCAUUGUGGUUGUGUCCAUUGCCUCCAUGCUGAGAAUGACCACCCUGGUUAUGAUGGUUGUGCCCUCCAAACUUACUAGGUCCUGAAUCAGAAUAUCCCGAGAAAGGUGCGGAGCGGGACUUCUGCUGAGCUCCAGACUGAAACUUGCCUUGACCAUAUUUCCUCUUGUGGUUCUCCAUCUGCUGAUGCUUGCCUUCCAGACUGAUAGCCUUGUCCACUAACUCUUGAUAGUUCUCAAAAGUCGCUACCAUCAACUGAACUCCCACCUCAUUGUUCACUCCCUCCAGGAAUUUCUCCUGCUUGGCUGCAUCGGUGUCCAGUCACCUGGUGCAUAACGAGACAACCUGCUGAAGUCCUCAACAUACUCUGACACUUAGCAACCUUCCUGGCGCAAGUAAUGGAACUCUCUCUUCUUGAGAGCCAUAGCUCCAGCUGAAACAUGAGCAGUGCGGAACGCCUGCUGGAAUUGAGCCCAAGUCACAUACUCCAUGGGGUACGUGACGGUGUAGCUCUCCCACCACGAAGCGGAUGGUCCGUGCAGUUGGUGAGAGGCAAACCUCACCUUCUCCUGAUCAGUGCAUCCUGCUAUGGCCAGCUUCCUACCCCUGUUGCGAAGCCAGUCAACUGCGACGAUCGGCUCCGGUAUGCUCGUUAAGAUUGGCGGGUUUAGCCUUAGAAAACGGGUAAGGCUAUCAAUUGGUGGUGCAGGUGGAGGUGGAGGCGGGUUGUUGUUCUGGUUCAUGUUCUGCAUCAACAUGUGCAUCAUCUGGGUCUGGGCUUGAAGCAAUUGUGCCAAGGCGGGUGGGACAUCUUCCGGUUCACGCCUUGGUGGCAUCUGUUGGGUCAGCAUAGGUGAGGUAUAGAGAGAAUUAGGCCUAAGGGAGAAACACUACCCAUAUGCAAUGAUAGCAAUUAAAAUCCAAAUCAUUCCAAUUCAAUUUUCAAUCAAGAAAGUUCACAUGAAAACAAAUCUAAGGUGAGCCAUGUCACAAGAGUUGACCAGGUUUCACAAAUAAAUCAAAACGAAAUACUAAUCGAAUAUCGAAUCCUAAGUUCUCAUGAUGGUCUAAAUCUACUCCUCAUCGGAAGUCAGAUCUAUCGUGCUGAUGUAAGCUCCAGUUGCAUCACUCCGUAUAUGCAGGAAACCCCUUAUAUAUUGGGAUAAAUACAAAAGCGGAGCAAAACGCUUAUAAAUUAGAAACACCAAAAUCCUGAAGUAACCACUGUAACCAAGUCACCUCUGCCGUCAAAAGAGCCAUCGCUCGCAACUCAGCCUCUGCACUCGAACGGGAAACUGCAAUUUUUUCUUCGUCUUCCAGGCAAUGAGAGAACCAUCGUCUUCCAGGCAAUGAGAGAACCACCAAGAAAAACAAAGUAAGCAGAAAGUGAACGGCGAUCAGAAGGAUCACUAGCCCACGUAGCAUCCGAAUAGGCCUGAAGCUGUAAAGAACUGGAGCGAGGAAAGAAUAGACGGUGAGAGAUCGUGCCCCGAAGAUAUCGGAGAACACGGAGGAGAUGACUAUAGUGAAUCGAUGUGGGAGUAGAGACAAACUGACUCAGAAUAUGAACCGGAUAAGAGAUAUCCGGACGAGUGACAGCUAGAUAAACAAGAGUGCCAACAAGAUGACGAUAGCGCGUCGGAUCAGGCAGGGGAUCACCAUCAGUAGCCGAGAGGUGAACAUUGAGCUCCAUAGGAGUCUCAACAAUGCGCUCAUCAGUAAGAGCAGCACGAGCAACAAAAUCCUGGAUAUACUUUUCCUGGGAUAUAAAGAAGCCAUCAGAGGUAGAAGAGACUUCAAUCCCAAGAAAGUAGCGAAGAGGUUCAAGAUCAGACAUAAGGAAUUGCUCACUAAGACGGGCCUUGACAAAGGCAAUAUACUCGGGGUCAUCCCCAGUGAUGACCAUGUCAUCAACAUAGAGAAGAAGAAGAGUCCGAUCACGAGGAGAAAGGUGAAUAAACAAUGCUGGAUCAUGAACACUGGUGAAAAACCAGCGGCAGUCACCACAGAGGCAAAACGCUCAAACCUGGCGCGGGGGGCUUGCUUAAGGCCAUAGAGAGAGCGACGAAGACGACAUACCAUGCCAUCAGGAACAGAAUACCCAGGUGGAGGCUGCAUGUACACCUCCUCACGCAGCUCACCAUUAAGAAAAGCAUUCUUAACAUCAAGCUGAGAGAUAGACCAGUGGCGUGUAGAGGCCACGACAAGAAGUGUACGAACAGUGGUCAUAUGAGCCACAGGAGCAAAAGUCUCGUCAUAAUCACGACCAUGCUCCUGCUGAAAACCACGAGCCACAAGACGAGCUUUGUGAUGCUCAAGAGAACCAUCGGAGCGAGUCUUAACCUUGUAGACCCACUUACAAGUGAUGGGAUGGACUCCGGGAGGAAGGGAAACAAGAUCCCACGUACUAGUGCGUUCAAGAGCAGCAAUCUCCUCAGCCAUCGCAAACUGCCAUUCAGGAUGAACAACAACCUGAUGAUAAGUAGUCGGCUCAAGAACAACAGCUCCAGCGGUGGAAAAUCCAAAGCGAUCAACAGGCGGACGAGGACAAGAACGCAAGCCAUAAGUAGGUUGAGACGAGGAUGACGACAGAUCCACAGAGGCAUCCACGGAACGUGAACGACGAGUGUAACACUGAGGAAAAGAUGGAACAAUGGAAGGAGGAAUCACCAAAAUAGAAUCGGGGAGUGGCGACGAAGAAGUCACCGGAGGUGAAGGUGUAGAAUCCGGUGACAUGCUAGAUGAGGAGACCGUGGAAGAUGGUGGCGACAAAUCGACUGGAGGUGGAGAAGCAGGGGGAGCGGAACGAGUAGGCAAAGGCUCGACGGGUGUGAUAGGUGUGUCAGGAAAAGUGAGAAAAGAGAUAUCCUCCACUGAAAAAGUCGAGGAAGAUGGGCGUGGGUAGAAGGGACGAGACUCAUCAAAAGUCACAUCCCGAGAGAUACGCAUCCGACGACCGAUAGGAUCCCAACAACGAUAGCCCUUAUGCUCAUCACUAUAGCCUAAGAAGACACACUCAACAGACUGAGCGGUCAGUUUGGUGCGUUCGCGAGGGGCAAGAAGAACAUAGCAAACACAACCAAACAAGCGAAGCAUCGAAUAAUCGGAAGAACGAUCAAAAAGACGCUCGAAAGGAACACCACCCUGUAGAGCAGCGGAAGGCUGGAAAUUGAUGAGAUAGGUGGAGGUGGAGACGGCCUCAGCCCAAAAAUGAGGCGGGAGAGAGGCAACAAUCAUCAACGCACGAGCCGUCUCAAGAAGAUGACGAUGCUUGCGCUCAGCCACGCCAUUCUGAGCGUGAGCACCAGGACAAGAGAAUUGAGAGAGAGUCCCUUGCUCAACAAGAACAGCACGCAACAUCUUGGAGAUAUACUCGCCAGCGGAGUCAGCACGGAACACACGAAUGGGAGAAGAGAACUGAGUAUGAACCAUGGCAGCAAAACGCUUAUAAAUGGACACCUCACUACAAGAAGUCAUGAAAUAAAGCCAUGUGUAACGAGAGAAGUCAUCUAUGAAAAUAAUAUAGUAUUUAUGACCCCCUUCCGAAGCGAAGGGAGCCUGACCCCAUACAUCAGAAUGAACUAAAUCAAAAGGACGCUUAGACACUGACUCACUAUGUGGAUAUGGUAACUGAAUCUGCUUGCCAAGACGACAACCCUGACACUCUAAAGAGGCAUCUCCCGAGACAGACUUCAGAAGACCUCGACGAACUAACGACGACAAACGAGAACCACACAGAUGACCAAGGCGAUGAUGCCACUGCUGGAAGGAACCAGUAGCCGAGGCAACCAAAGCGGAAGAACUGGCGAUAGAGUGGGCAGCGGAAGGAACAUGAAGCCAGUCCAACUCCCAAAGACCCUCAGAAUCAUGGCGGCGAAGACCAGCCCCAACCAGAGUGUGCGUGCGACGGUCCUGGACAGAACAAGAGUCAAGGUCAAGGAUGACACGACAACCAGAAUCAGCAAGUUGACCAGCUGAAAACAGAUUCAUGGUAAGUCAAGGAACAUGAGCAACAUCAGGAACAAAAUAAGGAGUGGUAAGAUUGCCUCUACUAACGACAGAAAGGGGAGUACCAUCAGCGGUGAGGACAUGAACGGGAGAAUCAAGUGAUCGAAGAGAGGACAGAGUGGAAGAAUUAGAAGUCAUAUGAAAGGAAGCUCCAGAGUCCAGAACCCAUGGGGAUGUACCUGACCGUGUAGAAGGUGGUUGCUCAGUGCGGGAAGCCUCAGUCACAGAACCAGCAGUACCCGUCGAGGAAGAACCUGAAGCAGCGAGCAGACGCUUAAGUCUCAGAAUAUCCUGCUCAGUCAAAGCGAUGGCUGAAGCUGUCGAGGUAGAGGACGAAGUCGCUGUAGAUGAUGAUCGCGCCUUGCGCAAGUGUUUUUUCUUCGUGUAGCAGUGUGACUCAAUAUGACCAUCAUUGUUGCAGUAGUCACAAUGUGGACGGGGGCGACCUGAGCCUCCAGAACGGGUGGGCAAGAGCGGCGGAGCACUGGAGCGAGAAGGGGCCGGUGCAGCAGGUGGCGUAGAAAAAGUCCAAGCAGCGAGCACCGAGGGAACCUCCAGCAAACCAGCACCACGUAAGCGAGUCUCCUCAGCACAAAUCUCAGAAAGCGCCUCCAUGAGAGAAAUACGGCCACGAGCAAACAACUGAGCACGCCGGGGCUCAAACUCCUUACGGAGCCGAGACAGGAACUCGUAGACGCGAUGAAACUCCAAGUCGGCCUUGACAGCCUGGCAACAGGGGCAAGUACGGCAACCAGCACUGCGGAGAGAAUCAAGCUGGCGCCAGAUAGCAGAACUCUGUGCAUAGAAGUCAUCACCAGUAGAGUCACCCUGCUGAAGAGCAUGCUCCUGACGGACCAUAGAGAGGUAUAAGGCAUCACCAGAGGGCUCAUAGCGUUGACGAAGGCGAGUCCACAUCUCAAACACAGUAGAAAGGCUCAAUAGCAGAACGCUAGCAGUAAGAAUAGCUGCAGCACGAGCAUCAUCAUCAAGCCACUGGGUGUAAGCAGACAGAGGACCAUGAUAUGUCUGAAGAGCCUCCUCAUAAGCCAAAACCUUCUCAUCAUAAGCACGGAUAGCGGCCUCAUCAGCAAGCUUAGCUGCAUCCUUUGUGGCCUGAGAAGCAUCCGCAGUAAGAGCCGGUGGGGUCGGCGGAGUGGGAGGCACGGGAGGAACCGGACACGGCGGACAACAGACCUCGCCAGAAAGAAAACCCCAUAGGCGGAUGCCACGCAUGUGAAUGCGCAUGAAGCCAAUGAACUCGGUGUAGUUAGUGCCAUCAAAGAUCACCGGAGAACGAGGAACAACAACGUAGCCGGAUGCUGCAGACAUGUUUUUUUUUAAACGCAGUCAACAAACCGCAGCUGCGUCAGGAGCCGCAUCGGUCUGAGCCAUGUCGAUCUGGAUCGGCAGCUGCGUCAGGAGCCGCGUUGAUUUGGAGCUGCCCUCAGUAACAAAUCCGGCUGGGAGGACGGGAGAAACCGGGAUCCAGCAGCAGUACGGCAGGUGGGAGCGGUGGGAUCCAGCAGCAGGUCUGGAGGCGGCGUCGGGAUCCAGCAGCAGUACGUCAGGUGGGAGCGGUGGGAUCCGCGGUUGACUUCACCGAUCCGACUGGGAUCCAGCAGCAGGUCUGGAUCCGCGGUUGACUUCACCGAUCCGGCUGGAAUCCAGCAGCAGGUCUGGAGCGGUGGGAUCCAGCAGCAGGUCUGGAGGCGGUUAACUUCACCGAUCGGGGCAGGACGGGCAGGGGCUGGCGGCGGCCUCGAUCGGGGCGGGACGGGCAGGAGGCGAUCUGAUCGGGACGGGAGGGAUCCGCAACGGAAUUGAUCCAAUCGGGUGGAUGCGCUCGAGCAGGACGGGAGACCGAGGCAGCGGCUUCGAUCGGGGCGGGAGAAGGAGAUCGAGGACGAACUCGAUCGGGAGCAGAGAGACGGAUCAAUCGCACGAGUUGCAGCGUGCAAAAAAUUGACCUAGCUCUAAUACCAUGUUAGGAAUAAGCAACUUGUAUUCCCAUGAGGCCAUAGGUCGGUAUAUAUACAUGUACAGGUGAUGGACUAUAUGCAGGAAACCCCUUAUAUAUUGGGAUAAAUACAAAAGGGUACAUGACUUAUAUUAUAACUCUAACACUUAUGACCCCCUUUCGAAGCGAAGGGAGCUGGGCCCCAUACAUCGGAAUGAACUAAAUCAAAAGGACGCUUAGACACUGACUCACUAUGUGGAUAUGGUAACUGAAUCUGCUUGCCAAGACGACAACCCUGACACUCUAAAGAGGCAUCUCGUGAGACAGACCCCAGAAGACCUCGACGAACUAACGAUGACAAACGAGAACCACACAGAUGACCAAGUCGAUGAUGCCACUGCUGGAAGGAACCAGUAGCCGAGGCGACCAAAGCAGAAGAACUGGCGAUAGAGUGAGCAGCGGAAGGAACAUGAAGCCAGUCCAACUCCCAAAGACCCUCAGAAUCACGGCGGCGAGGACCAGCCCCAACCAGAGUGUGCGUGCGACGGUCCUGGACAGAAAAAGAGUCAAGGUCAAGAAUGACACGACAACCAGAAUCAGCAAGUUGACCAGCGGAAAACAGAUUCAUGGUAAGUCGAGGAACAUGAGCAACAUCAAGAACAAAAUAAGGAGUGGUAAGAUUGCCUCUACUAACGACAGAAAGGGGAGUACCAUCAGCGGUGAGGACAUGAGCAGGAGAAUCAAGCGAUCGAAGAGAGGACAGAGUGGAAGAAUUAGAAGUCAUAUGAAAGGAAGCUCCAGAGUCCAGAACCCAUGGGGAUGUACUUGACUGUGUAGAAGGUGGUUGCUCAGUGCGGGAAGCCUCAGUCACAGAACGAGCAGUACCCGUCGAGGAAGAACCCGAAGCAGCGAGCAGACGCUUAAGUCUCAGAAUAUCCUGCUCAGUCAGAGCGAUGGCUGAAGCUGUCGAGGUAGAUGACGAGGUCGCUGUAGAUGAUGAUCGCGCCUUGCGCAAGUGUUUUUUCUUCGUGUAGCAGUGUGACUCAAUAUGACCAUCAUUGUUGCAGUAGUCACAAUGUGGACGGGCGCGACCUGAGCCUCCAGAAGGAGUGGGCAAGAGCGGCGGAGCACUCGAGCGAGAAGGGCCGGUGCAGUAGGUGGCGUAGAAAAAGUCCGAGCAGCGAGCACCGAGGGAACCUCUGCAAACCAGCACCACGUAAGCGAGUCUCCUCAGCACGAAUUGCAGAAAGCGCCUCCAUGAGAGAGAUACGGCCACGAGCAAACAACUGAGCACGCCGGGGCUGAAACUCCUUACGGAGCCGAGACAGGAACUCGUAGACGCAAUGAAACUCCAAAUCGUCCUGGACAGACUGGCAACAGGGGCAAGUACGACAACCAGCGCUGCGGAGAGAAUCAAGCUGGCGCCAGAUAGCAGAACUCUGUGCAUAGAAGUCAUCAACAGUAGAGUCACCCUGCUGAAGAGCAUGCUCCUGACGGACCAUAGAGAGGUAUAAGGCAUCACCCGAGGGCUCAUAGCGCUGACGAAGGCGAGUGCACAUCUCAAACACAGUAGGAAGGCCCAGAAACUCAGAGGCAAACUGAGGCAGAACGAUAGCAGUGAGAACAGCUGCAACACGAGCAUCAUCAUCAUCAUCACGAGCAUCAUGAUACGUCUGACGAGCCUCCUGAUAAGCCAAAACCUUCUCAUCAUAAGCACGGAUAGCGGCCUCAUCAGCAAGCUUAGCCGCAUCCUUUGCGGCCUGAGGAGCAUCCGCAGGAAAAGCCGGUGGGGUUGGCGGAGUGGGAGCCACGGGAGGAACCGGACAUGGCGGACAACAGACCUCGCCAGAAAGAAAACCCCAUAGGCGGAUGCCACGCAUGUGAAUGCGCAUGAAGCCAAUGAACUCGGUGUAGUUAGUGCCAUCAAAAAUCACCGGACAACAAGGAACAACAACGUAGCCGGAUGCAGCAGACAUUUUUUUUACUCGCAGUCACCUAAACGCGUAUCGCGUCUGAAACCGCGUCCGUGUCUGGGGCCGCCUCGAUCUUGGGCCGCCUCGGUCUGGGCUUCUGGCAAACUCCACUCCACCAUGAGCUGGACGAGAUCGGGAUGAGAUCUGGUCACGAGCGGGAGCGGCGAGCGAAAAGAACCAGAGGACGGGGGCGGCUGGAUCCGGCGCGAGUCGAUCUGGAGCGACGCCCUCGACCUGCCAGGUGAAGAACCAGAGGACGGUGGCGUCUGGAUCCGGCGCGAGUCGAUCUGGCGUGGGCGCGAGUCGAUUUGGAGCGACGCCCUCGAUCUGCUAGGUGAAGAACCAGAGGACGGGGGCGGCUGGAUCCGGCGCGAGUCGAAUAUGGGAUUGGAGCCGCCUCGACCGAAACUCCUCCACGUGAGAGCGGGACGAGACGAGCGGAGCAGACGAGACGAGCGGGACGGGGUCGACGCGACGCAGCGAGAAUUUCACGACGAGGCGAGCGGGACGAGGUCCGGCACCAGAGGGGGAAGAUUAGAUCGGGAAGAGCACGAGUUGCGCGUGCGAAAAAAGAACCUAGGCUCUAAUACCAUGUUAGGAAAGCAACUUGUAUUUCCAUGAGGCCAUAGGCCAGUAUAUAUACAUGUACAGGUGGUGGACUAUAUGCAGGAAACCCCUUAUAUAUUGGGAUAAAUACAAAAGGGUACAUGACUUAUAUUAUAACUCUAACAGAAAUAUCAGAAAUAACACACAUCUUUAUUACAUCGAUAGUCCAAGAAUGAAAUAUUUAUUACAAUAGUGUGGCCUAAGGCCAAAGAGAACAAAAUACCGCGGAAGCAAAGAAGUGUAACGAGUCCAUCAACUCCAUGAGCAAAAAUUGAGUGUAGAACAUCGACCUAUCGUACCUUAAUCCUCAUCGGAUAAAUCUGCAACAUGAUAGGUUGCAGCUACAUGGAAUGUACUGGCAAGUCAAAUCAUAAGAGAGUAAUGAGCCUACUUGUACAUGCAAUUUGGUUGGUGGAAAGCUCUAAGUUUAGUUUUGCGUAAAGCUGGUUUUUCCUUAACAAAAAUAAUUAUUCUACUUCUACAAAUAUCAUAAGAUUGAGAUGAAAACCCCAACUCAAUCCAUUCCCCAAGUUGUGUGUCAAUACCCACUUGAUUAAUUCAAGAGUGACGAGACCUCCUGGCAUUUCCACUACUAAAAGCUCAAGUCCGUAACCGGGGACACGGCUAAUCGAUUAGAUUGACACUCUGCAAAGGUUGCGCACUUUUCCCCACAAGACUCGACCACUUCCUUGAUCGGAAGAUCGAGACAUAGCCUUUCGAAAGCAUUUCCCUUAUCCCACGGAUAGGCCGGUGCACCUACAUCAUCUACAUCUGCUAGCCUAUCCCGGAAGAGGUCAUACCAUCUACUCAACUAAGCCAGAGCCCAUAUUGGCUUGUGGCUGCACACAUAAGCUUAUAGACAUGAAAAUACAUUUGAUCCCUUUGAGCCUGGGUGGACGAACCACUAGUGUGCACUCCCAUGGAUUCCCCAUGAAUGCUCCCACUGUACUUCGCCACCAUUCAAACCAAUUUCCGCCCAGGUAGUUCAUUAGAAGUAUUGGUCCUGAUUACUACUUGGCACUCAUAUCUCAAUGUGAAAACACUCCUCAAUCCACGUCUACUUUGGCGAAACAUCAUAAUCUAACACGGUGGCGACAAAGUAUGUACGGUUCAGACCUACCUCAUGUGAACUACUAGGUGCAAGCAUAGCCAUCCGGCAAAAUUUCCUACCAUGCAAUCCUACCACCAAAGGACUAUGUGCAUAUAAAAACAUAGGUAAAAUCAGGUAUGAUCAAGAUGUAGACUUGCCUUGGCACUGGGAGUGAAGUUCUAGAGAAUGAUAGUACUCGGCUUCGCACUCCGGACAAUCUAGCGCAAAAUUAAAAUGAACACACAUAAACAAACGUUCAUACAAUUCAAAGUAACAUGCAACACAAAUAUUCGUAAAAGCCAAAUAAUAUCCAACACACGUAAAUAGCAUGCAAUUUUUGUAAGUAUAAAAUAAAGAUGUGAAAAUAUGGUUAAAAAUCGUGAUGUGCACUAGUGUUCCUACAAGGCAUGCUAGCAAAAUUAUCAAGAACAGAAGCUAAUAACAUGGAAAAUAGUGUGACACUGAUCCCAAGUCAUAGGAUUUAUCUUAGGUGAUGAAGUGCAAAAAGAUUCAAUUUAAACGGGCUUACGGUUUGCAAGACAUGGCCUAAUAGAGUUUGAAUUCAAAUCUGAAAUAAAUUCAAAUUUGAACUUGCAAAAGUUUGCAAUGAAAGGUUCUCCGGAUAGAUUAUUCGAGACGAAGAAUUUGCCGCUGGUUUCAUCUCGUUUGGAUUUACGAGCACACAGUUGUGCUAUUCGAAGACUGGAAGCAAAUCUGAAAAAAAAAAUCUGCACUAGACAGAUUCUUGGCCACAUGGCGACACACGAGUGGCUGGGAGGUGUUUGCUGCCUAGCUAAUCUAGCGGAUGGCCGGCAAUUAAGCAAAACGGCGGCGACAACUAAUUAAAAAAAAACUGACAUUCGGUUUUAAAUAAACCGUGCGAUUUAAGGGAUACUCCGGUUAACCAGAUACCCCUUCGAUCUAAAAAAACAAAACACCUAAUCUAAUAUAUAGUAACGUGAGGGCAGCGGCUUAUAGAGGCAACGACGCUCGCGUCAGGCAGAAGCUCGGCGUCGGCGUGGCGGCGGCUGCGGCCGUCCUCGAUAGCGGGGAAGGAGACGGGCGGGUCCGGCUCGGCGAGGGCGGCCGAACGGUGGUGGUGCGGGGCAUCGAUGACGUCGGGGUAGAGUAGGGCGAGGUGGUGAAGCGAACUCCGGUGGCGCAGGGUCGAACGGGAGGCGUCUUCGGCGAUCCUAGGGGCACAAAAACGUGUCAAAUACGUGCACAAGGACUUGGGCGUCCGAUUUUCGAAGAGAAAAGAGGCCACGGUGGUUUAUUGGCGGUGUGGUACUCCGGCGAAGACGGUCCGGCCGGCGAGAUGCAAACGGACGGGGUGGUGGUUGUGAGCGGCGAGAGGAGGAAUGGGACGGCUGAAUGGAACGAGGGGCUCGAGGGCCUUUUAUAAACGUCGCUAGGGCGUCCGGGAGCGAGGGGGUAAACCUUAUGCCAGGGGUUUCGUGCGGCCGGUGCGGGAGGACGAGCAGUGGUGCCUAUCCCGCUGGUGUCGCGGGAGGUUGGGGACGACCUGCGGCUAGGGCCCAUGGGCCAGCGGCGGCAGCGAGCGAGAGACGAGCGAGGCGAGCUGGCGAAAGGGACGCUAGGCGCUGGCGGCCUGACUGCCCUGUGCGUGCGUGUUGUGUGCCCCUGACCGAAACCUUGUUUCGGUCGUGGUGUGCCCCUUUGGACAUAAAGUGCUUUGAAGAUAAAAACAAAAUAAGAGUACACAUAAAAAAAUACCAUAGUAAUUUAUAAAAUCAGUAUUGAUAAUAUAGAGCAUAGUGGACAUUAAUUCAUGCUCAUGAUUUUUUUUUUGAAAAUAAGUAUUUUAUACAAUAAAUGCAUUUUUUGGCAAUAAAUUAAUUAUCAACAGAACACGAAAUUCUCCAAAUGAUAUUCCAACACCUUCCCAGCUCAUUUUAUAUUUGAGGAAGUCAUAUUAUCCUCUCUCUUUUAUUUUUCUUGAGUGGGAAAUAUUUGAAAAUCAUAAACUCCAAAAUGCAAUAAAUCAUGAUAUGCAAAUGAUGAUUCUAUUAACAUCCAAAUUUAAUAAAAUUGGGAUGUUACACACAUGUUCGACACGAUGCCUGAGCUGCACUGACACCAUCUUGGUGUCAGCGACAGCUUCCACCGAAACAUCAGGUUCAUCCAAGGUCACCGUCAAUGUCGUUCCCGAGCUCUGCUGCCUUGACCUCGAACCAUCGGAUGUCCUUGAGUUUGUCACAAUGCUGCCCACAUGUUUGACAGAUGGUCUGAAUGACGACCCCUUGGUCAUCCCUGAGCAGCAGGACCAUUCCAAGGAAUGUGAAAAUUCAGUACAAGAUGCCAACAUUCCCUGUGAGUUUCAUGUCAUCAACGUAUGUGAGUUCCCUGCAUCUGUCACCCGCCAGCUCCUUUGUUGUGAAUUGCCCAAAAUUGUUACUGCCUUCGUUUGGGAAGUCUAUGAGGCUGGCACCUGAUCCACUAUAUGGGCAGAAGAACAAGAGGAGAUUCCUGAAACAUGAUCCGAGUGGUCGUUUCUUGUUGGGGCAGAGCGGCAAUAACAGUGAUUUAUUUCAUACUCUGUUUGUUAUUGACAAUCUUGGUACCCAGCAAUAUUUGUUGUUUCUGAUAGCUGAAGAAGUCGCUCACUCUCUGUAUCUGAAGAUGAACUGAAGAACAGGUUGACAGUGGUUCUAUUUUCGCCGUCGAACUCGACAACUUUUUCUGUUAUUGCCGUAUGUAAACUUAUGACGAUUACAAGGAUAACAACCUCCCGAUCAGCUGCGCCGGAUCCGCGUUUGUCGCGCCAUCCCACGACUACUUCCCCAGAGCUUGCGGAUCGGGAGUCUAACAGAAAACAGAAAAGCUAACCACUACCUGAGAUCGUGCAACAGCACGUCCCAGUUCCUAGCUACGAGCAUGCGCACAUGCAAGUGCUUAUUCGACGCUGAAACCCUACUGGAGCUGAGCUUAGGUCCAAGUCCUACAAUAUUUGGGUUGCCGGAGAGUUUUCAAGUCUCAAGGAAGGCUCCACAAGGUAUUAUCGACAGCAGAUAACCCCAUUUCCAAUAUGAAUUACAAGUUACUACAACGGCCAUGGGAUGUAGGAGAUUGGAGUGUCGGUUGUUCCAGGUCCUACCUGUUGGCUGGAGGAUGAGGUAAGUGGCCACGCAUAUAUGGAAUUGACACUAGUAGCAAGCUACUUGUUACAGCUCACGUUGUCAAUGGUACGGCUCGCUUACUUACCGUUAUCCGGUACAGUUGUGAGGAAUUAUUGGCAUUGUCGUGGGAUCCUGGACAGCGAGCAAUUAAUUCAACUGCAAUUAUCCGUGCCCGAAGCUGUAUUUUCAUCCAUCGGCUGGGUCGUAAUUCCUCAUAUAAACACCAGCAGCAACAAGUUUUUACAACAAGCAGUGAACUAGUAGCAAGUGAUGGGUUAGCAUGGAUUGCAUGCUUUCUUGAUGCUUGUGAAAUAUUGGGUCCUGAUUUUGAUGCUCUUGCACUGCUAAUAAUUGGACCUCAGUUGACAUACAUCUGCACGAGAGACCAAUGGAAUAUUGCUUGGUCUUAUUUGGGUUGAAAUCAUUGUCAGUGGCAGCCUGUUCCAUGGUCACCAUUCCUCUUAAUUCCAACUGAAAUGCAGCUGAUCAACGUACUUGACUAUUGCCAACAUGAACAGCUGAAGCAUGCCAGAGACUACUGUACUUUUCAGGUGUUGGGACCACUUUGUCUGCCACCAACGCGAGAAAGGGAUUCCUUGCAAUUUCUUUGGUUUGUGAUUGCUCUGGUGCAUUUCACGGAGUGGUAUUCUAGCCUGUACCCUGACAAGUUCUGGAAUCCAAGUUGUUUUUGGUCUAGUCAACGCUGGCAACUACUAAACCGACAGCAUCAGCGACGCUCGAGCCUGACCUCUUCAUGCCACCGCGAACGACCCGCUCUGUGGUGUGCCUUGACAAGCCUGAGGACAAGCAACAACAACUCCUAUAUCAGUUCAACUCUGUUAGCAUUUUCUGUCAGCAUUACAUGGAACGCCAUGUUGCUUUGACUUCUACAUAUCCUGCACUUUAUGCUGAACAAGCGACCAUUGAGGACAGCCUGUCUGGAUUUUUCAGUCAGUUUCAGUUGAUUUUUCAACCACGAUAUCUGGAAGCAUCCGAGUACUUGUCACCGGCAUCAGAUUUAGUUUUUUACCACAGUGCACCUGUAACUGCUGAAUGAUUGCUCCAUAUGGUUCUGUUUCUCUAUGGAAAUUUGCAUGGUCCAACUUGUUUGACAUUUUGAGGGCGAUUCAGAACACAUGUGCACUUUGGUCAUGCAUCCUGCGGGCACAGACUGAAGUGUCACUUCUUAUCUAUGGAAAUUCAACUUUGAAGGGACCAAGGGAGCAAUGGGUUCCAAGCAUUCCAAAGAUCUUCCAUAUCUGCACUCGAUAUUACCAUUUCCUGUCACCACAAAUCCAGUGCGGUUACAACAGAGCUAGCACACAACAUAUUUCUUCAGGCCGUGUUUAAGUUAUACACCAUGAACUAUGCUUAUCUACAUGGUCAUGCACAUAUCCAGAUAGCAAAUUCGGUUAUGGACAUUAGUCCCUCCCCACUGGAUUACUUGUUGCAAUCUUGCGAUGCUAGACACAUGUGCUCUGGUGGUUCUGCUUCCGUUUCAUGUGAGAUGUUUGCAAUUGGAAAUCUCUCAGUGGUACUAAAUGAAAAGUUGCAGUUCUCAUGGGAUCUUGGUGUCCCAUCUUUCUUGGGAUCGUUCACACAAGUGGGAUCAAAAGGGAGUAGGAAUACCGCAAUACCAACAUACUGCUGCAACCAGUACCUCGGCCAAGCUUACUACUUCAACAUGGUCCAUGCCGGCCGAGACUUCUACCUUGAUCCCUACCUCGAUCAAGACCCUGUUGGCGACGACUACUACAUAAGCCUCACUCAAGUCCAUUCUGACGACAAGUACAACACCAGCCAUGGCUACCAUGGCGACCACACUACAAUCAAGCUAAGUCAAGUGCCAUGGGAUCCAGGCGGUUUCAUAGGCCAUCUGCUCGAGGUUGUUAGGAAAGCAACUAAUCUUUAUUGAAGGCCCAAGGGGCAUAUACAUAUAUUACACAUGACUUGAGGUGCAAGGAAAGUAACAUAGACUAAUAAGGACUCCUAGACUAAUACUAAUACUUCCUAACACCCCCCCUCAAAUGCAAAGCGGAUGCAAUAGCAUUGCAUUUGAAGAAGUGUAAUACUAAAAAAAAUGAUAAUCCAAAUCCGCGUCUUGAGAGUGUCGUCGUAGCAUGAAGAGUCUUCAAAACUUGUCGAGUCGCCGAAGGAGAGAACGAAGAGAUGGCACAUCAGAGGUAGACACCGCAUCACUUGAAGAUACAAGAUAAGUAUCAAGAGAAGAUGGGUUGUCAAAAGAAGAUGACACAUCAAGAGAAUAAAGCAUUGUGCAGAAAAUCAUAGUCCACGACAACCGUCGGCGAAAGAAGCUCGGCGGAUAAGGCACGAUGGACGUAGAUCGACAAUGCAAAAGAAGUCCAGAAAAUCCUAUAGAAAACAACAAGGGCAAGUAGGCCACAAAAGUUGCAUAGAAAGGAUCAGGACCAGAGAAAGGCUGACGGACUAAGGUAUGGUGGACUCGCAUGGCAUGAGAAAACACAAAAUAUCAACAGAUUUGGUGGACGCAGCGGAAAACAAAGAAAACUAGAAAACUAACACUAGAUUAGGGAUGAUGGCAGCAGAAGAGAAAAAACAAUAUCAUGUCGGCGAAGGCCAAUUCCAACCAGAAUGUGCGUGAGACGAUCCUGACUGUGUAGAAGGUGGUUGCUCAGUGCGGGAAGCCUCAGUCACAAAACCAGCAGUACCCGUCGAGGAAGAACCUGAAGUAGCGAGCAGACGCUUAAGUCUCAGAAUAUCCCGCUCAGUCAAAGCGAUGGCUGAAGCUGUCGAGGUAGAUGACGAAGUCUCUGUAGAUGAUAAUUGCGCCUGGCGCAAGUGUUUCUUCUUCGUGUAGCAGUGGGACUCAAUAUGACCAUCAUUGUUGCAGUAGCCAUAAUGUAAACGGGGGCGACCUGAGCCUCCAGAAGGAGUGGGCAAGAGCGGCGGAGCACUCGAGUGAGAAGGGGUCGGUGCAACAUGUGGCGUAGAAGUAGCCCGAGCAGCGAGCACCGAGGGAACCUCCAGCAAACCAGCACCACGUAAGCGAGUCUCCUCAGCACGAAUCUCAGAAAGCGCCUCCAUGAGAGAAAUACGGCCACGAGCAAACGACUGAGCACGCCGGGGCUCAAACUCCUUACGGAGCCGAGACAGGAACUCGUAGACGCGAUGAAACUCAAAGUUGGCCUGGACAGCCUGGCAACAGGGGCAAGCACGACAACCAGCAGUGUGGAGAGAAUCGAGCUGACGCCAGAUAGCAGAACUCUGUGCAUAGAAGUCAUCAACAGUAGAGUCACCCUGCUGAAGAGCAUGCUCCUGACGAACCACGGAGAGGUAUAAGGCAUCACCAGAGGGCGCAUAGCGCUGACGAAGGCGAGUCCACAUCUCAAAGGCAGUAGGAAGGCCCAAAAACUCAGAGGCAAACUGAGGCAAAACACUAGCAGUGAGAACAGCUGCAGCACGAGCAUCAUCAUCAAGCUACUGGGUGUAAGCGGACAGAGCAACGUGAUACACCUGAAGAACCUCCUCAUAAGCCAAGACCUUCUCAUCAUAAGCAGUCACAGCGGCCUCAUCAGCAAGCUUAGCCGCAUCCUUUGCGGCCUGAGGAGCAUCCGCAGUAAGAGCCGGUGGGGUCGGCGAAGUAGGAGCCACGGAGGAACCGGACAUGGCGGACAGCAGACCUCGCCAGAAAGAAAACCCCAUAGACGGAUGCCACGCAUGUGAAUGCGCAUGAAGCCAAUGAACUCGGUGUAGUUAGUGCCAUCAAAGAUCACCGAACAACGAGGAACAGCAACGUAGCCGAAUGAAGCAGACAAUUUUUUUUUGCAAAGCAGAGAUCACGAUCCAAUCGGGAUCAGGACGGGCUCCAACGGCAGGUGGUGGAAGCAGCGACGGCCGUUAGCGCUGAUGCGAGAUCCGCCGCGAUCUGGUAGAUGGGGCGGCGUCGGUGCUGGGCGAGCUGGAUCCGCCUCAAUCUGGCAGGCUGGAGGCGGCGGCUUUGACCUGCGGGAACGAGAUGUCGCGGCGGCUGAUGGAACCUCGAUCUGGCAGGCUGGAGGCGGCGGCUUGGACCUGCGGGAACGAGAUGUCGCGGCGGCUGAUGGAAUCUGGUAACCCCGUGACGGGUGGCGGAACGCGGGGCCGGUCCGGCUUGCCACGGCAACGCCAGGGAAGAGAUGUCGCGGCGGCGAGCCUGCAGGAGAACGGCGAGCAGAGAAACCGGAUCGAGGAUUGUUGGAGGUGGCGGAACACGGCGGCCGGCGACGGAAUCCGUCCGGAGCCGAGACGGCGUCCGGCGACAGGAUCCGGCUGGAGGACUUGCAACCGAGGCACGGCCAGAAGAAGAUAAGCUAGCAGAAAAGCUAGCAGCAGCAAGACGUGAGGAGAGCAUGUCCGCGAGAAGAGAGGAUCAAAGAAAAAUACAAGAACAAUACAAAAUCGAUCUGUACGAGCACGAGUUGCGACGUGCGAGAAAAAAUAGCCUAAGCUCUAAUACCAUGUUAGAAAGCAACUUGUCUUUAUUGAAGGCCCAAGGGGCAUAUAUAUAUAUUACACAUGACUUGAGGUGCAAGGAAAGUAAACAUAGACUAAUAAGGACUCCUAGACUAAUACUAAUACUUCCUAAUAGAUGUCAAGCCGAAUUUUAAGCAAGGAGGAAUGUUAGCGACCAACCCUACUCUCGUCUGGGCUGGGCCAUGUGUGCUGGGCUCGGGCUACACGGAGCCUCGGGAGGGAGCAGCUACAUAUACGAUGGAAUUCGCUACAGACAACUCGGCUAGGAAUUGGAUGGCUCCGGCCUUCUCUGCUUCUCUAUCUCCUCCACUGUAAUGGCUAACCCUUGGUGAAUCCAUGACUUGUAGUUCAAAUCGUUGAGCAGUUGACCUAUCUAAUAGAGUGUUGUUAACACCAUAGCUCAGAAUAAUGGUGCAAUAGAGAGUAUUGAGAUAUUCCUCUUUCCGACGAAUUCCCCUGCAGUAGUAACACUAUUAUCAAAGUGGACUGUUAGAAAAGAACACUCUUUCUAGUUCUGAUUUGUUAUGUAAUCUAAUCCGUUCUCAAAUCAUGAUGUUGGUUCAGUUGCUGCGUCUAAACUUAGUCUGUAUUUGCAGAUCCUAAUUUGCAGGUUAUAAUUUCAAUGACAUGGUAUCGAUCUUUGGCAGUCCAUGAUAUUUUGUAAUGUGCAUUUCUGUAAUGCUCUAGCAGAGCAGAUAUAGUAUUGGUUUGAAUUUUUUUGUUUUCCAAGCUUUAUUGUAAGUUCUCCGUGCUGAUUUAUCGUAUCUCUUCUUAUGAAGAUUCUUGCAUGAAAUGGACAUGACAUAUGCUGCUACUGAUGUUGUCGUUUCUCGAGCUGGUUCUGUGGCUUGCACUGAGAUAUUAGUCACUGGGAAACCGGCAAUUCUGGUAUCAUAUAUCACAUUAAUUUACUUGUUAUGUAAUUCCAUUUGUUUUCAGUAUAUGUACCUAACUCUACCUUUUAACAACAGAACGUAACCAGGUUAAUCUUUGUUGUGCUCAAAUUUUAACUUUCGUGUUUAAUAGUUAACUUAUUUUAAAACCAAUUCCUCUUUGCUGUGUUCAAAGAAAAAACUUGGAUGCUCUAAUUAAAUUGAUGUUAUGAGUUGUGUCAAAGCUUAAAGAAUAACCAUGUAGUAACAUAUUUGGAGUGCAAUAACUAGAUAGGUCUUUUCACUCUGAGACCCAUAAAAUGAUCAAUGCCGUCAUGCUGUGCCAAAGACCUAUUGCUGAAAGUAUUUUUAUUUUAAGUUAAUAGAAAAGGUGGACUAAUCAUGUGCAUUUAUUGGCCACAAACUGCAAAACCAAACUACAGUACAUGUUAUAAGUUUUAUCCUUUUUCUCAAAAUUUGCCUGUGCAAAUUUGUUCACAUCAUUUGUUUCCUGUUUCUUUCAGAUACCCUUACCCACAAUUGUGGAUGACCAUCAAACGAAAAAUGCAUAUAUCAUGGCAGAUGUCAUGGGAGCAAGGGUCAUUACAGAAGAUGAACUUGAUUCUAGUAGCCUA